RNAcentral lists this long non-coding RNA (92814 nucleotides) under Oryza sativa (Asian cultivated rice). The record is from RNAcentral. Lineage: Eukaryota; Viridiplantae; Streptophyta; Magnoliopsida; Poales; Poaceae.
CUCCGCGCACCUUUGGUACUUCAGGAGGGCAAGCUGUUUUAUAGUGACUUCUUUCUUAGGGUAACACGAAAGUUGUCCCUUUAUUAUGGGGAUUUACCCAUAAGGGAGAUGCACAGAGGAAGAGAACGAACUUCAUAUAUCCCUUUUUUACUCAAUCAAGAAACAACGAGGGGUUUCACGGUCGUGAGCUCCAUUCCAAUUCAACAGACUCUCAGAAUUAUUCGCUCUAUUAUUGCCUCAGGAUGUGAUCGGGAUUAAGCCGCGUGUCGAUACCUGGGGGGGGCCGGACUCAAGGGAUUCAUUCUUUGUUGGCGAAACGAUGGGGGGGGGGGAGAAAGCACGCCAGUGGAGAUGAUCCCUCGGUUCGUCUGAGCCGGACCGGAGUCGAAUACUUCGGAUCCUGCAUCUGCUUCAGUUGAUUAGGUGCAAAUGUGCCUUUUGGACCGAUCGAAUCUUAGGAGCUGGUAAUCACUGAUAUGCUCAUAUUGGUGACGUUAUUGGUAACAUGGUUUUUUCGCUUGGAUUUUCCUCCUUUGAUAGAUCAUAUUUAUGAUACAGUAAAUAUCCCUGAAUAUUUAUAGUAUCUUCGAUAAAGUGCUAAGAAAAGAACAAGUAAACUAAGGGACGGCCGAGAACGAUGUCCUUUCUCGUGCCUAAUGCCUAAGCGGGAGCGCCCCUCUGUCUGCUACCACCGGUUGAGAUUUAUGCCAUAAUCAAGGAGUGCCCAAAAUGGUACAACGUUUGGAUACCAGAUUCAGAGACAUUUCAUUACUGUUCGCGAGCCGGGCUGGGCCUUGAUUCCUUUCAUAAAGAUGAAGGGACAGAGGUGACUCUCUGCAAGCAAGCGCACUAAUAAACUGAGUAAGGUCAAUGCACUACCCCAUUUCUACUACCGAAAAAACCUAAUUCAGCUCUACGUAAGAUAGCAAAAGUACGGUUGAGCAAUCGACAUGAUACCAAGCCUGCCAAGUGGGAGAAGGGGCGAAGCGAGAACUCAGGAAUGAGGCUCAUAUGACUCCACUCGUAGCGCAUGUGCCAUCAGAUCCACUAGUCUCACUGUACCAGGAAGGUCGAUUAUUUGUGUCAGAGCCGUACGAGAUGAAAUUCUCAUAUACGGUUCUCGGAGGGGGGUUCGGGCUGUGUUAAUGGGGGCGUGGUUUGGUAAUACGCCAAUUUGGCCUACCGUAAAGUGAUCACAUACCGAUUCGCCACGUGAAAGCAGGGUUAAGGUAGCUUGCCCGCCAAGCCACCUAUAGGCGAAGGGCCGAAGGAUGGAGUGUACAAAGUCGAUCGUGCACCUGUCGUGUGACCCGACUACAGAGACUACAAGCCAACGCCGGAAGCGACUCGCUUCUAUUCUACGAUAACCCGCAUAUUCUACCUUUUGUUCCCCUUCCUCUGGCCCCAGAACUCUGAUCGUCCCUAGUAGCACUCCCGACCCCUUGUUGGGCACGUUUACGCAUCUCUUGACCUAUCCACAUGACCCGCUUGGCUAACUAAAAGAAGCUUCUCGGAGCAAUGUGAAGACCAAAAAUGCCGAACAUGCAUUCUUUUCUCGGUUGCGGUGUCUGCGCUGGUGAAUGGAAGCCCCCGCAGCAAAAAAGAAGAGGCUCUUCCCACGGCUCUGUCACCAUUGACUCUAUUUAUUAUUAUGGUACCCUCCCACCAAAAAAAGAUGUGUGGUUCGGUGGUUCGACCAGAAAUGCUAUGCUUAUGCACAAUUCGCCAGGAAGUUGGUGGGCUCAUCAUGAAUUAGGUCGGGGUGGCUGGUGAUUUCGGGAUCCCGUAGAAAAUGCGUCUUUACUUGCAUUUCUUUGUCCUACUUGGGCUUUAUCUGAAGAUGUGCGAAAAAGUCUAGAUUUCAUCAUCAAACGUAGUGAGAGCACUCAGAAACCCGGGAGGCCAGGCAGUGAAACGUUCCGUAGACUGCUCACCCGGCCACACCUCGGAGCCGAGAAGUGCAUUGUUGGAACUGGAUUGGAACGCCAAACAGCUCUAGAUUCGAAAAAACACUAUUUUUUAUCCAGCAGCUGCUUUUAUUUUCUCUACGAAGAGAGUGGCUAGCUAGUGCAACCACCCUUGCUUUUGGUUUAUUUUCAGUCAACCAAUAGUAGAUACAGGAGGAGGUGGAGCAACAAGAUAGAAGGGAAAACAUCUGUACUAUGGGGAGGACUAUCCAAGCCGAGAGUGGAGUUACGUGAAUAGCCGUCUGAUGGAAAACAACUUUCAUGUUCGGUUCAGAGAGCACUUUUUUCGUUGAGAUAAGAUUCAAGAGCUAUAAGCUCACCUUGGGGUUCCUUAUAAGCACUUGUCUUCUUUCUAACAUCACCAGGUGUCAACCCAACCGGUUCUCUUCGUCUAUCCUUCAGUAAGAGUUAUCCGGUGCUUUGGCUUGGAUUAGGGCCGAUAGUAGUACACUGUUUGGGACGGAGUCAGGGCCCUUCUCACCUCCUACAGCUGCCUCCCCGGCACCACCACCAUAAUGAAUGGCUCAAACAAAUAGGAGAUGAGAGAGCCCUUGAUGCGGAUGAUGCCCCCCCUCAUUUUCCUAGAUCCAAAGCCGCUGCCAUUGCUAUUAUUAAAGGUACUAAUGAAGCUCUUUUACCAAGGAAGGUCAACCUCUCCAAGCUUUGCCACAAUCAAUAGUUUAGUUGGUUGGGUCCUGUCGAUCAAGUUAUAGGAGCUGCUUGCUAUCUAUCAAAGGGUAGUGGCGGGCGCGUGAGUGUGCCGACUGCAGAGACUACAAGCCGACGCCGGAAGCAAGCACUUGCCCGCAGCUCCUGCCGCCUGCCAAGCGGGCUCCGCGCUCGUUAUCCUGACUUUGAGCCAUCAGUCAAAUUAAAAGCAGCGCCCUGCCGGCAUCUCCUGACCUCUGUUCCUAUGGGAGAAAGAAGGUGUGGCUUUGGACCCCAAACUCUUCCAUGAAGCACGCCCGCCCCGUGUGCGUCUUUCACGACAUGCCCUGGUCCCGGGUUUCUUCCUGUGAGGCAUAGCAUAAAUGAGACUGCUGAUCAUUUUGCUUGAUUGAGUUGGAGGGAGUCAGAGACUACCACGGAAUCCUUCCAUAGUCACCACCAGGGCCCGGGCCUAGUGAAGCGGGUCCUUCCGGAUCCGCUGCGGGCAAGUCAGCUGACUAUAUGGAAAAUAGAGGUCUAGCCACAAAAGGUCUUCCUCACUCAAGUAGAAUUAGAGAACUGGCUAAUUGUACGCAGCAGGAGCAAGGGAACUCCCCUGGAAGGUAACUUGCCCGGGGGAAAAGUGGCAUCCAGCACGGGUCCAAUAAUUUGAUCGAUAGACAUUCCACUGCUGAAUGAUGGAAACGGAAGCUUUCUCUUACUGAUGGACUGGGAGUUCAGACUGACGGUUAGAUGGUUGUUCGCAAACUCAGAUUUUGACUAUGAUUGGGCCGAACAGUGGUAGAACCUGGUGAACUGGGCCUACUACUAAACAUUGAUUCUCUCUCCUAACCAUUGCUUAGGUGCAUCCUACUGGGUAGUCCUAAACUUCAGUACUGCUCCAGAGAAGGGAAGGCAGAUGUCAGUGAAACGGGUAAUAAUACACCCUCGACUCAACCAAAAGCUCAUAACUUGGUUUAUUCUUGUCGUUUCGAGUCCUACGCGGGAGACCAACCUAGAGCAUGAAUACUCUUAGCGUUUUUAAGCUGGCUGCCUUUUCUAGCGCGCGUACUCUUCUGUGGAGUCGCACAAUCCUCCUUCAUGAUUCGUCUCCUCAACCAUCUGUAUGUUUCACACGGCGCACGAUUCCAUGGAUAGUUUCAUUCGAGCUUUCUUUUUUUUCAACAGCUCUUCUUCUUUGUCAACGCUACUAAGGACCUGACGGUUCGCCUCUUAUCUGGCUUAUGCGGCCGAACACGCAUCUUUCCUAAAAGCAAUUUCUGAGGAGCUUUACCAGUUAGAAAUUUUGAGGAAAAAGGGGGGGAAUAAGAAAUUGGUGUUUCUUUGAUUGAGAGAAGGAUAAAGCAGAAAAAAAAGACUUUACUGAAAUUCCAUUCCAAAAAUAGGAUACUUACGGCUUCCACCCGCCCGGAUGGGUUCGCCCCUACCACAAUUCGAAAGUAUGUUCUCGUUCAUGUUCCAAUUUCCAUUUCCUAAAUCGUUUGUUUGGAGGUUGUAAAGAAGAUAAGUUGACUCAGGCUAUUUCUUCAGCUUAGAACUAUAAACUUUGAGGUACCUUUUGUGCUUUAACAUGUGAAUAGCAUCCGGCAACCAAUAUUCGUCUCCUUUUCUUUACGGUUAACAGGGUCAACUAACCAAAAACCUUUGCGGUUCAUCACCAGUUACGGAUCAACUAUCACCAUCACCCCGAUCACUCCGAUAACCCCGCCCCUUUCCUGUCCGUCCCGACCGGCAGCAGUUGGGUUUCCCCAUCUCUCCUCAGCUUCCCCAGUCGCCUAAGCCCGGCCCGGCCCGCGUUAGAGGGGAAGAUUAGCAAGUAAUAAUUCUUUUCUUUAAGAAAGGGAUCGUAGGUGCGUGAAUAAUAAUCUUGGUUGGAACCAUAGUCCACUUGACGACUUUACCCCACCGGGUUGUUUUCCCUAAUACCUCUAUAUGCUGUAAAAUGAAGGUACUCUUUUUUUCAUGCUACGACCGCCGAUUGUUCCUGUGACCACACAAAGCAUAUUCUCUUGAUUUCUUCACUGGCACCCUUAUCCAACUGUAUUAAACCUUAAGCAAUCAGGGUUAAGCUAGCUCAUUGCCUGAAAGUGGAGCUCGUAUUAUACACCUUGACCCCCACCUUUUUUUAACACAUAGAAAAAGGGCUGAAGAAACCAGUCCAUGACUUAACAAAAGUAAAAUGCUACCCCCAACUUCACUAGCGAAAGACUUGAAGAAGGAAGCAUUAUGAAGGGGAGUACUCUUCUUCUACUGAAUGCGUAGAGAGCUCCGGAUUCUUUAGCAACUAGGAGAGCGACAGAGCUUCUUUUUUGAAAAGGCUAAAUCCCUUUCUUCAAUCCCACCUGCGGAGGCCCCAGUCUUUUUAUUCCCCCUAGCAUCUGUCACGGUCACAAAGGUCUUAUUUUUCAUUCGGGUCGGUCACUUUUCCGGGCCGGGAUCGAGAAGUGGAAGUCAUAAAAAAGAGAUGUUUCUCUUCGCACCUCAGAUCAAGAGGAAAGGUAGCUUGUCAAGCUGGUCUCACUAUUGGAAAUUCUAGCUUUGUAGAUCGUGUGUCCUGCGCAUUGAUCCGGCAGCGAGACCCGCCCUCCUGCACUUGGUUGACAAACCCUGAAACCAUAACACAGAUUUCAAUCUGCUCUUGGAAAUCCUCGAAUAGAAAGCCCUUCUCAAGAAAGUGAGCCACUCAAUCUGAGCCAGCGGAUUCUCAUUCAGCUGUGCCGGUGCGCAAAGUAAGCACGCUUAGACAACGAUGUCCUCAGUCAAAUCCAAUUCAAUAAAGAACAAGAAAAUGUAGGUGAACAAAGAAAGAAGGCAACUGCACUGCUUCCUGUGGGAAAGGCCAUGUUAGGCCGUGUGGUCGACGCCUUGGGAGUACCUAUUGAUGGAAAAGGGGCUCUAAGUGAUCACGAACGAAGACGUGUCGAAGUGAAAGCCCCCCUAACCUGAUUUUGAUGUCUUCUUCGUUCUCAGUCCCUAUGGUCCAUUGUAGGAUGAUUUUUCUAAGGCCUUGAAUUCGUUGGCAAGGUGAUCAGGGUCCUCUCCCUGGUCCUAUCGAACCACAAAAUCAAAAAUUCAAUAAAAGGUCAUAAUGGUCGGAAGCUGUUCACUACUUUAGAACCAUCCAGAAGGCAAGAGAAAAAAGCACCUGAGGUCAGGUGUUUCUUAGGAGCAUUCAGCCUUUUCCUUCAGCUUAGCGCCCUUACUUCUACUUCUCUCUAUUAAGCUGCUCUCUGGGUCCAUCCAUAAGCAUGCAUACUGGCGCUCUCUUAUUGGCUAUACACACACACACACACACAUAUAUAUACAUAUAUAUAUAUAUAUAUGUGUGUGUGUGUGUGUGUAUAGUACUUUUAGAUUUGAUUAAAUUACUUCCUAUACAUUCAUAAUGCUACGAGGUGACUACCUAUUAUUGUUUUCAGUCAAUUCCGUAAUUUGUGCUGAUUAAUUUAGUUUCUAGAUAGAGUUAUGUUUUUAUCCCUACAAUGGAAUUACCCCUAAUGUUAUGACAAAGUUACUUUCGUUUUGUCUGAAGUUACUUCUAUAAUAUAUGUAAAUUACAUUUAAACUUUAUUAAAUUUACUUUUGUAUGUCUAAGAAGUAAUUUAGUGAUAUCCAAAAGUAAUUUAGAUAUAUUAUUGUUAACGACCCAAUUUGGUAAUCCAAGGAUCAGAUGUGAAGGAGGAAUCGAGAUAGAGAUUGUCCCGGAAACAGAGUGAAGAUCGGCUGAAGUCCGAAUCGGCUACGACUAAGAUCAGCAGAGUUCGAGUCGGACGGGGUUAGCCGAUUGAGCCGAAUCCGACAAUAUGACACAACAUAUGUUGUCGGUUUAGGUUGACGUGCUUCAUGACGAUUGCCACGCAUGGAUAGAGUCCUGAGAAGGCAAUUGUAUCUAUUAGUUAGUAUAUUUUAUGUAAUUUCCUUAGAGAUAUGUUUAGGUAAAAGUCUGUUGCAAAGACUUAUGGUAUCUUAGAGUUUGUUAGAGAUAAGAGUCGUGUCCGAUAUGAACAUAUUUUGUAAUUCUCGGGUAUAAAUAGAUCCGAGCCCCAUGUAAUCAAACUAACACACGUUCAAUACAAUCUCGGCGCAUCGCCACUCUUUUAUUUUCAUUUUGUUUCGACGAGUUCUUGCUUUCAGGUUGAGCUGCAUAGGUUUCGAUCUUCAACAAGAGGUAAAACUUGUUAUGGUGGCUUGCGUUCUCGGGAUUAGUGCUUCCAUCUUCAUGAUACUUUAAUCUUGUUUAUGUAAUUCGACGAGUUAUCAUAUAUCUUAUAUAAUCUCCGGCAAUAUCGCUAUCUAACCUACAAUCGGCUAACAUUUGUUACUAGAAGGCAGCCGAUUAGGUUAAAUACCGAUGUUGACUUAGAUUAUAUAGGAUAUCUACCACUCUAUGACAUAUCUUAUGACUUGAUUGUAUAUUGUCCUUCUUUUCAUACUUAUAGCUUCAUCAGUUGAGUUUGAUCUUAUGAGUCGUGAUUAGAAUCUUAAUCUCUAGCCUGUCUUUGGUUGCUGAUUAGGGUAGUAUUGGGGUUUCAGCCGAUCUUAUCUGAUUUAACUACAUUUAUCCUACAUGCUUCUUUGACAUGUUAAAUUUGCCCUUUAUGUUAAGAUCUCGUUGCAUUUAAGUAUAUUAGGCUUUUUGUUUGAUAUAUUCUACUCGCUUUAAUAUCCUAAUAUAGAGUAGUAUCGGAGUAUUAGCCGAUACAUGCUAGAUCUAUCUGAUCGGCUAUGCUAUGAACACAUAUAAUCUCAUUAUUAGUAUAUAUUUCGAUCUAAGUGAUUUAUACUGUCUCGGCAUGACGACCGAUCUAUCCCAAUCACUUGAUUUAAGUAUAUAUCGAUCUAAGGAUUAUAUAUUGUUAAUAUCUGCAGCCGAUCGAGUAGAUUUAGUUCUUUGUUAUUUCUUAAUGACUGCCGAUCGAUGCAAAUAUGACGUCGGCUCAAGGAUAAAUGAUAUCUCAUCGGCACUUAGCCGAUCGGCUAUCGUUUAUGGAUUUAACCGCGAUUUUCUUUGUCUUAGUUUCCUGUUGAUUGUAGGAUCAAAUCAACUGGCACGCUCACACACCCAAAGGCAAGUUUUGGACCUGCACUGGAGUUAAGCAGAUCUCCCAGGCCUCGUGUUUUUACAUCAACAAUUAUAAAAGUAAUUUGUAAGUUUUCAUCAUAAUAUAAUCAUGUUAGAUCUUGUUGUAAAGAUUUAAUUGCAACGAACACAAUGGUGUAAUCGGAUUGUAGACCGGAUAAGUAAUUUGAGAGAAAAUUUUAUAAGAAGGGAAAAAAGACAUGGAUGCCUAACAUUCUGAUGCUUCUCUCAAAUUCUAAACUCUGAUGCUUCUCGACUAAAUCGGAUGGCCGCGCCAGGUAUCACUGCGUAAGACCAGAUCAAGAGGCCUCUCGUUAUAGAUUUUACGUUUUCUUCUAUAAAAGGCAAAAUAUGGAUGGAUGCUAUUAUUCUAUAUUUUUAUAAUAAAAGAGAUAAAUGUGUUUCAAAUCUACAGUCCAUUUGGCUGUUAACGGUCGUUAAGUGCAAACUUUAGGUAUUAAUUCAUGCAUAAAAGAUAUCAAAUAUAUUAUCAAAACUUAAUCGUAGUAGUUUACUACUAAUCACUUCCAAUAGUUUUAGUAAAUAUAUGUAUGCAGGUCAUUUAAUGAGAAAAUACACUAGUCAUGCGAUGAAAAUGACCCUCCAACCAAUCAUGCACGAGUACCAGGAUUAGAGGGCCCACCUGACAAAUGAAACCGACUUAAAGUGGGGCCAAACCAUCCUAACCGCGAUAAGGGCCCACCAAUCAGUCUCCUAGUCAACAGAGAAGACUAGGAGGUGGAGCCCAGGGGUCACCCGAACCCCUGGUUCAGCUGAACCACCUCUGGCGCAUCUCAUCCUAGCCUUCCAUGUCUAGGUCCCAAAUGGCUUUCCAAUGAUGGUUAUGCCCGAUUCUCGGCCUGGAUAACUGUUACAACCGUCAUAUAGAGGCUAUAAAAGGAGGAGCUCAUGCACCUUCAACACACACAACUUGAGCUCAACUAGAGUAUAGCUCACUUGUAGUUUAAUAUUUAGUAUGUUGGCUUAGUAGAGAGUGAAGGGAAGCUCUAGAAGGAAUUCUCCAAAAUAUCAAAGUUCCUCCAAGAAUUUCACGAAGGAGUGCCGGAGUGUUAACAUUCUUGCAACGGAGUUUCGAAGAAAGUCGGAAUUGUCAGCCAUCUUCUCUCGCUUGUACCUCGACAGAUGGUUCUUUUGUCAAAGUAAGUGUUCGAGUUUCUUUAUGUUCUUUAAUUAGUUUAUUUAAGAGAGUUAUAUUCUCAUCGGUGCAGGUUUGUCGCUUAGUGUGCAAUUUAGUGCUCUAGUACUAGGACUCUGGAUAAAGAAGGAACUUCCUUUUUGAGUUAAUGCAAGCUGUUGGGUGUUGAGUCAAUCAGUGUAGAAAAACAAGGGUUAAUUGAAUCCAUGCCACUACAAAUGUGUCAAAUCAGAAAAACGCCACUACAAUUCGUGAUAUCCACUUGGUGCUACUGAAAUUUUGUAAAAUUAUAAUCAUUUCUUCGCCGUUCACUUUUCUGUCAUCCUCGUAAGAUCCACAUCCCUUCCCCAUCCGCUGUCGUGCCCUCCUUCUCCGGCGUACGCUAGAGAGACGAAGACGAGCAAGAUGCGUGGCGAGCGAGCGGCCGUACUGGCGAGCGGUGGGACCAGCAAGCGGCGGGAUGCGCAUCCCGCUUGCCGCCGCCCUCACCGACGAGCUCUCCUCCUGCUCCGCCCCUUCCCCAUCGCCAUCGUUCCCUCUGUCUCCUCCGGCACAGGCUGGAGACGAAGACAAAGACGACGAGCGGCGAGCGAGAGGUGGGACCAGCAAGCUGCGGGAUGGGCGUCCUGCUCGCCGCUGCCCUUGCCGAGGAGCUCUCAUGCCCUCCUGCCCCUUCCUCAUCGCCGUCGCGCCCACUUCCUCCUCUGGCGCAGGCUGGAGCCCAGACGAAGACGACAAACGGUGAGCGAGUGGCGGGAUGCGUGUCCCACUCGCCGAGGAGCUCUCAUGCCCUCCCGCCCCUUCCCCAUUGCCGUUGCACCCACCUCCUCCUCCGGUGCAGGCUAGAGCCCAGACGAAGACGACGAGCGGUGAGCGAGUGGCGGGAUGCACGUCCCGCUUGCCGCCGCCCUCGCCGAGGAGCUCUCCACCCGUCCCGCCCCUUCCCCAUCGCCAUCGUGCCCCCUUCCUCCCUCGGCACAGGUUGGAGACGAAGACGAAGACAACGAGCAGCGGUACCGGCGAGCGGCGGUGGGAUGCGCGUCCCGUCCUACCCCUUCCCCAUUGCCGUUGUGCUCUCCUCCUCCUCCGGCGCAGGUUGGAGACGAAGACGAAGAUGACGAGCGGCAGGACAGGCGAGCGGCGUGGUGCGCGUCCCGCUCUCAGCCGCCCUCGCCGAGGUGCUCUCCACCCGUCCCGCCCCUUCCCCAUCGCCGUCGUGCCCUCCUCCUCCUUUGGCGUAGGCUAAAGCCCAGAGGCGAAGACGACGAGCGGCGAGUGAGCAGCAGUACCAUCGAGCGGCGGGGUGCGUGUCCUGCUCGCCGCCGCCCUCGCCGAGGAGCUCUCCUGCCCUCUUGUCCCUUCCCCAUCGCCGUCGUGCCCUCGUCCUCCUUCGACGCUGCUUGGAGAUGAAGACGACAAGGAGAUGAAGGCACCGUGACAGAAAAUGUGACAAAAAUGACGGAAAACGUGAUGGAGUGUCAUGGUUCUAAUUUUAGAAGAUUUCAGUGGUAUCUACCCUGUCGAGGGAAGACCCUCAAUAGCGGGGAGUCGUGAGACCCUCCUUUCGUGAGUUCGGCCGGAGGCUCGUCUCUCGUUAGUCGCUUGCUCGUCCCUACGACUCUCAGGAGUGAAUGCACGCAGUCGGAUUAUACAGGUUCGGGCCGCUAUUGAGCGUAACACCCUACUCCUGUGUUUGGGAUUAUGGAUGAGUUUUACAAGGGUUUUUUUUCCUUGAGAGAGCGCACUUGCUUCCUCUCUUCUGGAGUUCGGGUUUUCUUUUUCUUUUUUUGGCCCUCUCCCCCCUCCUUUUCUUUCCUAGGUGGGCAGGGUCCUCCUUUUAUAGCUUAAGGGGAUACCACAUGUGCCACCUCUACUUCCCCUCCAUGGGGGGGGGGGGAAACCCCACUCCACCUUUUUGGGUUUCAAACCGUGCCUUCUCUCGGAAGCUAACCAAUAACCGAUUCUUGCGCGGAACUCGGCGCCGUCCCCCCUGACACGGGGGUCAGCCCUGUCAUUCCCUUAUAAAUGAACGAUGACAUGCAACAGCCCUUCCUCGAGUAGCGUCCGGAUGUGACGGGUCAUACCCACCCCCACUCCGCCGGGGACAAGGGCGACAUGAGGACAUGAUUGCCUUAUCCAUCGGAUGGGACGGAGACGGGCCGGUCACAAACCGGUCAUACCCGAUGGACAGGGGUUAGCUAGGCGCGCCGCACGUCUGUCCUGACCGCAUUAAAUGCGGUGAGGGACAGUUGGGGCGUCGCACAUUUAUGGCUAUUCAGCCUGCGCUCCCUUCUUGCUCUCUCUCUCUCUCUGCCGCGCGGCAGCCGAGCGAGGGCCUCGGGGCGAAGCCGCGGGAGAGCCCGAGGGGGUGACGUCAUGCCCCGAGGCCCCCCCCUCCCGCGCUUCUACGACUCGCGUGGCGCGCGAGUGGGGCCAACCUGCGGAGUCACGUGGCCGGAAGGAAAAUAAUUCUCCUCUACUCCACAUACCCCCGGGCCCAUAUCUCCGACAUACCCGAUUUCAUGAAUAGUAGUGGCAUUUUUCCAAUAUGGCAUAUUUACAAUGGCAUGGAUCCAAUUAAGGGAAACGAAUGGGCCAUAUUGUUAACAUUUGUGCUUGAGAAGCCUACGAGCCCAGGAGGCCGAAACUUCAUUUCAUCACAGAAAAAGUACACAGAAGGUCCCUCAACUUGUCAUCGAGUUACAAAAUCAUCCCUGAACCAUAAAACAAGAUAUCCGGCGUCCCACAACUAAUCAAAACCGGUCACUUUAGGUCCUUCGGUGGUUUUGACCCUAGAUUUAUCCAACGUGGCGUCUGAGUCAGCGUGGGACCCACGUGGGCCCCCACGUGUCAGUAUGCCACAUCAUCAUCCUCUCUCUCCCCUCCUCUCCACUCUCCCUUCCUCCUCCUCCUCUCUCUCUCUCACUCUUCUCUUCUCUUCUCUUCUCUUCUCUAGGCGAGCUGGCCAGCAGCUAGGGAGGAGGCCGCCAGGGCGAGGCAGGAGAGGAGGAGGCAGCGGGCGGCGGCUGUGACGCGGGGGAAGGUCGUUGAGCAGCGAGCAGCAGGGAACAACAGAGGCUGAGCACGUUGGCGCACACACGCAGCUUCAGCGCGUCGCGUGGGCACGACGACGACCCGGUGCUGGCCGCCACGGCCAUGGUGAGGAGGCUCACCGCUAGAACAAGCACCGCCUUCGCCGCCAUUGCUAUAGAUCGAGCUUUGCUAGGCUGCUAGCUUGUACUUGUAGCUAGCUCGAGCUUGCACUGCUACUGCUGCUUUGCUGUGUGCUGGGCCUGGGAGUGUUCAUGGCGAGGUGUAUUGUGUAUUUAUAGUGGCCUUGGAGAAGAAGAUGAGAGGAAGCGACGGCGCGGGAGCACCGGACCAGGAGGGCCUCCCCCCACGCCGCCCCCACCGCCACCGCCACCGCAACCGGCAGGUGGGAAGGAGGCCGACGGGGCGAAGCGGGGAGGCCGGUGAGUCUGCAAAGUCGCAGAUGAUGCCGCCGUGAUGAGGUGCUCCUCCUCUUCGACGGAAACGGGGAGCAGGCCCACGCCAUGGGCGUCGAGCUCGACCUCUCCGACAAGCCCGCCGGGCUCGACGUCCGGUCUCGCCGCUACGCGUUCCUGGCAGAGGACGGCGCCCACUGGGUCUAGCCGAUGGCUGCCACUGCCAACGUCAAGCUCCUCUCCGACGGCCGCUGCUUCUUUCCCCGCUAGUCUUCGCCAGCUAGCGUCGCUGCUGCCAACGAGGGCCAACACCGCCAAGUUUAGGAGGACGCGCGGGCGACCGCUGGAGUCGCCUCCCGUCGAGCAGAGCGGAGAGCGAGACGACGCAAGGCGAGGGCGAGGAAGAGGCUGUCGCCGGUGGCGCCGCCGCCGCGUCCGUCUCCACCUCCGCUCCUCUCCCCGCCCAUCGUCAGCCUAGCCCCGCUCCUUCCUCGCCGCCCGUCGCGCCGGCCCUCCUUUCCACUGCACUCCCCCCUGCUGGCCGCCAGCCACGCCCGCCGCACACGACCCUCCUCCCCUGCCGGCUGCUAGAUGCCCCCGCCGCACACGCUGGGCCAGGGCCUCCUCCCAUGCUGGGCACCGGCCGUGCCCGUCGCGCUGGCCCUCCUCCCCUGUUGGCCGUCGGACACGCACGCCGCACUCGCCGCGCAGGACCUCCUCCUCCGCCAGCCGCCUGCACUCAUCCCCUUCCGGCCGUGAUCCUGCAGAGGAGAAGUGAGAGAGAAAGGAAGGGAGAGGAGCUUACGUGGCAUCCUGACAUGUGGGCACAUAUGGGUCUCAUACUGACUCAGCCGUCACGUAGGAAAAAACUGGGGUCCGAGGGACCUAAAAUGAACGGCUCUGUGAGUUGAGGUACGUCGAAUACCUGGUGUGGUUCGGGGAUGAUUUUGUAACUGGAUGACAAGUUGAGGGACCUUCGGUGGACUUUUUCCUUUCAUCACCGGGCGGCAGUCCAACGGCCGGAAAAACCAGAGAGAGAGAGAGAGAGAGGAGGAAAAACAAAAACAAAUCAAAACCCUAACACAUCCCAGCGGCCUCCUCCGCCAUGCCAUCGCCGCCGCCGCCGCCGCAGCCGUCGCCGCCGGAGCUGCCGAUCUCGGAGCACGAGGACGAGAUCAUGGCUGCGGUGGAGGCGAACCCAGUGGUGGUGGUGAUCGGUGAGACCGGCUCGGGGAAGAGCACCCAGCUCUCCCAGAUACUCCACCGCCGCGGCUACACCCGCCGUGGUGCCAUAGCCGUCACCCAGCCCCGUCGCGUCGCCGCCGUCUCGGUUUCCAGGUAACCCGACUCCGUGCUUCGCUUGUCUUCCCCCACGGUGGCACGGUCGCACCUGCGCGCGCUCGUUGUUAUCUGCUACCUGGGAGUUUAGUACAACUUCCCCCUUUCUAUUCAUGUUGUUAUUUUCAAAUGUUGGUUUCCUUUUAGCUCAGGGUACAUUCUUACUGGGUUCGUGUGGGUCUGGUUAUGCCUGAAAAGCUCUCAGAUGUGUUGGAUUUUGGCCAUUAGCACUUAAGGGAUACGAAAAUUGCAGAUUCAUCUUGAAAUUUAGAAUCGUGAUGGUGGAGAUACGAGAACAUCGUUUGUAAAAACUGCAGCUGCUUUCUGGAUAGCCAAGCCAUUUAUUUUAAUUUAGAAGUGUUUUAAGGGGAGAAAACUUAAGAACCUGCUUGUUAAGAAAUUUUGAAGUGGUUCUUCCUGGCGAGCAGCACUAUGUUUACAGCAUAUGCAUAUUUAUACAUGUACAGAGAAGAAUAGUUUUCCAGUGUAGUCUUGUGCUAUGCCUAUAUUCAAGUGUGGAAAAUGUUUUUUAGGAUGCCAUUAUGAAUGCUGGCAAUCUGAAUAUUUGCAGGAGAGUAGCACAGGAGCUCAGUGUUCCCCUUGGUGAUGAAGUUGGUUAUGCCAUCCGAUUUGAAGAUAGAACUUCAGAGAAAACCUGCAUAAAGUAAGCCUCAGAGGGUGUUUAUGUGACUUGAAUUUCUUCUUGAACAAUAUGCGAACUCAUUCUAUUUUCGGAUAUGCAGGUACCUGACAGAUGGUGUUCUUCUGCGCGAAAGCCUUUCAGACCCUGAGUUGAAGCAGUAUUCAGUAAUUAUUCUGGAUGAAGCUCACGAGCGCAGUUUAAACACGUAUGCGUUUUAUAUGUUCAACUGAUCUAUAAGAGUUUGAAUUAAAGUUUAGCACUUUAUCAAGUUUGCUGCUUACUCUUCAGUUAUUCCACACCCAUUUCUUGUUGUUUGAAUUGAAAACUUGUGAUUUGAAAACAAAAUAAGAUAAUUACCGGGAAUGGGUCAUACACUACAUUUAGUUAUAGUAAUAUGCUAAACUUUUGUUGCUUAUACACUACAUAGAUUUACCCAAGAUUGAUUGCAUGCCUGUUGAACUUUUGUUGCUUAUGUGUCCGGUUUUUGGAACAGUGAACAAAACAGUGCUGGGAAGCCAUUCUGUGUGCCAUGAAACUGGGAGUCAACAUAAAUGUAUUGGUUAUAUUUGGUCUUCCUGUACCUAUUUUAUAUAAAUCAACUUAGCUUUGCCUUUUCUUCUGAUGCGUUCUUUCUCUACUGCUAGGAAUUAGUACCUAUACGAUAUUUUCACUCACAAGUAAUGUAGACAUCUAGUAUGUGUUCUCAAAAUUGACUUUGAUAUAAUCGAUAGUUCUCUAUAUUAGAUGUUUACCUGGACAACUUUGAAUGGGAGGGCCUCGGAUCGCAAAUGCCUAGUAACUAUUUACUAACUGUAGGAUGCAACUUUACUGUGGUUUUCGUUCUCCAUAUUUUGCCCAUAUUUAUUAUAAUUGGUUCUCAGAUGCUUCAAUUGUAAGCUAGCAAUUGUAUUUUUAAAGUGAUCGAUAGUCAGUACUAACUUUUUCUUGUUUGGCAUCGGCCACACGACCGCUGGAUUUUGUUGCUAUUUGUUGAAAGCUUUAGUCGCGUUCUGAUAUUUGUUUGUUUACAGUGAUAUUCUUCUAGGUUUAAUGAAACGAUUAAUUAAGGAUCGAGCUUCAGAUUUGAAAGUUCUGAUCACUUCUGCUACUCUUGAUGGUUUGAAAGUGUCAAAGUUCUUCUCUGGAUGUCCUGUGUUGAAUAUCCCUGGAACCUUAUUCCCUGUGGAGAAGUUUUACAGCACAGAACAUCCAACGAAUUAUAUAGAAUCUUCUCUGAGAACCGCUAUAGGUAAUUAUCAUUUUCUUUAUGUGGCUAUAUUUUAAACCUUGACAAUGACAUGUGAAUAUUGUUGGUGCAUCUCUAUUAAGUCACUAUGUGUUAUUUCACUACUGGAAUACAUCAAUCAUUGUCAUAACAGAUAAGCUAUGUAACAAAUGUCAUGGAUGGUUUUGAUAUGUGCCCAUGAAUGGGCUAGCAUUAUAGUGGCAAGAGGGUAACUAGGCCAGUUUCCCUUGAAUCUCUCUUACAGUAUUCGUCCUGCUAUGGUCAAGUUGGAUGGACAAAUAAUGUAAAAAAAAAAGAUGAAAUAAGUGCUGGACCUGCUACACCUAUGAAUAACCUCUUUAAAGCUCUGGCGAAUUUGGGAUGUGUCUGUAUCUGAUGGCUCUUAUUUAUGUUAAGUACACUCCGCACUGGUUUUACUAACAUUAUAAAACAUCAUUUUAAAAAACUACUUUUUUUAAAGCCAUAUCUUGGGAUACCAUCAUGGUUGUUAAGGCGCCCCUAAGGCGGUAAGGCGCUGCCUCCGCUUUACGGGAAAAACUAGAGAAAGGGCAAAAUCAAGGGGAUAAACCAAUCCUGGAGAAGGAGCGGCAGCAGGGGAAGGGGGAGGAAUGAAAAUAGCUGACCUAUGUGGUUGUCGCUGUCGUCCCCGACCACUGGCAAAGCCAGAUCCACCUUCCUCGAUGCCCAGCACCACCUGAUGAUGAGGAGCGGUGGCGGCAGGGGAAGAGGGAGGACCAGAGGGGAUGGACGCGACGGCUGCGGAGAGGUCUUGCCGUCGGUGGCAGUGGAGCGGAGGCGAGUAGGUGGCGCCGAUGGGAUUGAGGAUGGGGAUGGGGACGGGGAUGGGGAUGGAUAGAUAAAUAUCUGUCACCAUCUUCCAUUUUAGUCCUUGGACUCUAGAUAUUACAAAGAAGUCCUUCAUUUCCUAUUUUCAUCUUCCAUUUUAAUCCUUGGACUCUAGAUAUUACGAAAAAGUCUUUCAUUUCCUAUUUUUCUAUCUGUAUAAGGCGUUGCCUCGCCUUAUGCCUUACUGCCUAAGGUGUAAGGUGUGCUGGGUCCUCGCCUUACGCCUUACCGCCUUAACAAUACCAUGAUUUUUUUAACGAAAUACACAUAUUAGUGUCAGAGGAGUAUGUCUGCUGACAUAUGAUUUAUAUUCAUGCUGGAAAAAUCAAAUUUUUUAUUAUUUGAAAAUAAUAACAAUAUAUUUUGUUAAACUUUUGGGCCAUGGUGUUUCAUAUUUGCUUAACUAUUUGAUAUCUAUACUCCUUUAAAAGAAGACAAUGGUGGUGGCAGUGAAUCUGCCACCCACCAACUCUGUUGUAUUUUUUUACCAACUACUCCUAUGUGUACUUUAAUUUUAUAAAACAGUACUUCUACAUAUUGUUAAUAUCUUAUUUCAUCCCUAGAAUUUAUGUUUACCAUGCAAAGACAUCCACAGGGAAUCAGGGAUGAUAUUGUUCCAAAAAUCUUACAAUUAACUUGUUCCAAACAAUGUUAGCACAUGUAUAAUUCAUUUUUAUCCAUAGCAAAUCACAGGUAUUUAGCUAGUGUUUCUAACAGUUCCAAACAUUCUUUUUCUUCAACAGAUAUUCAUGUUAAGGAAUCCCCUGGUGAUGUCUUAAUAUUCAUGACAGGAAAGGUUAGCAGAAUAUAUAUUUUUUUUGCAUGCUUGAGCUUGAUGUUUCUGAAACUUUGAAGGAUAUUUUUUUUGUUCUAUUUGACACUAAGGAUAUCGUCAGAGAUAUGCUAUAAAAUCAGUAAUACUCCUGGAUUUUUGGGCUUUCAUCUAGUUAUAAUUUAAUGCCCCAAAACAGCCCCGUGUUUACUUUAUUGUAUAUCUCUACUACUUAAAAGCGGAGUCCUCCUCCUUACUCUUCUUCCAUCGUGUAAUCAGUUGUAUCUCGAUUCUCCCUCCAUCCCUUCUCUCACCCCACCGCCCAUAAGUGGUUGGGUCUCGAUUCACACUCCCAACCCAUCCCUAGUCAUAUGGGCCCAUGCAACCCAUUCUAAUCAUAUGGGCAUGUUGCAAUGCAUGGGCAUGUUACUAGUAUGGCAAAAAAACACAACGUUUACUGGUCUGUUUUUGGAACACUGAUUAACUAAACAUUUAUGGAUCAAUGGAUGAUCUCCAUUUCUUUGCUAAACUUUUCUCCCUUUCUUUUGUUGUACUCCGUACUUACACAGACCUUUUGAAUUAAUUGAAUGGUAUUUUGUCAGGAUGACAUUGAUAAGAUGGUAUCAAAAUUGGAGGAAAGAAUUCAAAAUCUAGAGGAAGGUUCUUGUAUGGAUGCUCUUGUCCUUCCACUUCACGGUUCUUUGCCACCUGAACAACAGGUAAUUCAUUAAUCUUCCAUUCUAGUGUAUUGUUAUAUUUGUUUCUUGCAUAUAUGACAUCCCAUGAAUGCUUGUAUAUGACAUUUUGGACAUGUAUGUGGUCUCCAAUAUGCGCCUUUGAAUACUUUGUUUGAUUAUGCUCAUGAAAAUUUCGUGGAGCUUUUAUAUUACUACCUCCGUUCUUUUUUGGUGACUUUUGGGACAUGACAUAGUCAUAAAAUUCAUUAUUGAUAGCGAUAUGAAAGUAUUCUUCAUGACGGGCCUAUUAAUUUCAUUUUCACCUAUAAAUCUUUUAGGUAUUCUUCAUGACAGGCCUAUUAAUGUCAUUCACCUAUAAAUCUUAUAGCGAUUAGGAGGUGUUUGCAUUUGUUUAUGAGUCAAGAUUCCAAGGUUUGACUGCACACGUUCUAAAACAUCAUCUGUUUGAGAAUAGACGGAGUGUGAAAUACUAUUAUUAACAAAUUUGAUAAUGUCAACUUCACCUGAAAUAUGUUUUUUAUAUACUGAUGUUUGAAUUUAAGGAAAUUUGAGUGUAUGUUUUAGAUUAUAAUACAAAUUUGAACAGAGAAUAUAUUUUAAUCUUUCAGUUACUUAAUCAAUUUAAUUUUUCGUAUAUGAGCUUAUCUAGUGAUCCAUAGCUACUGAACCUAAUAAACACACCUGGCCAUGUUUCUUCUCCAUUUCUCUAAUUGAUCAAUGAAGCUUGGCAUUGCAAUGUACAGUUCCUACACUAUUGCAGCUAAGUGAAAUUUCUUAGCAGGCAAAAGUCUUCUGAACAAGCCUUACAAUUACUUAUCUAGUAGUAGAUUAUAUUAAAGCAAAAUUUGUAAGAUUUUGUGAUGUCACUGAAAAAAAUUGCCAACUAGGAAUAUUUCAAUGUUUAUUUUUCCUUUUUUGUUGUGUGUAUUGCUUGCUGUUGAUCGACUUUCUUGGGGGACUAGAGUAUCUUUUUUAUUCUGUGCUUGCUGCAUUGCUGCAACAGGAUAACCUUGGAUGAUAUUUAACCAACCCCCUAACAAUAUAUGGCUAUGAUAGCAAAAUUUAACUACCUGGGGAUCACGUUCUAACAAAUGGAUGCACUGAUGGAUGCGAAUUAUAAUAGGCUCAACUGAGAGUUGAAAAGCAAGGUCGAUCCCGAUUUGUUGCCAAAGCUGCUGUUUUGGUCUAAUCUUUUUGGGUUUAAGCACACUUAUUAGUAUUUAUAUUCAUUAAUUGUCCUUCAUUCCAUUUGUUGGUAAAUGUUUGAUGCUCUAUAGUAUCAUUGCUGAUGUAUUCCCUUGUCACAAUAGGUCCGGGUAUUUGCUCCAGCACCUCCAAAUUGUCGACGCUUCAUUGUUGCAACAAAUGUAGCUGAAACAUCUCUUACUGUGGAUGGUGUUGUGUAAGCAGCAAACUGCAAACAUAGUCAGUUAAAGUGCACAUAUACUUUCAGUUUCCAUCUUCAGCCUUUUUUAUUUAUUUAGUGAUAGAUUAUUGUGUUUAUGAUGUAUUUAGCUGAUUUUGUGGAAAAGUAUAUGCAAAUAAAUACUUUUUUUAGAGUUAUGCAAGGAAAUGGCUAGAAUUUUUGUUAUGAACUACUAGUAACAUGCUAUUAAAUUUAUGAGAGUUACAUCAACUGAUCUGCUAGUAUCAGUUUUUGAAGUGUAUUUUUGUAAAAAAAAAUGGUAGGAGCAAAUGGCUAUAAUAUCAUUAAAUUCACAUGAAUGCUUAUAUUCUUAAACUUAAAAGGAAAAAAAUAUAUGGUUUAUAUGUUGAAUUCACAAACUAAUUAUCUAUUUGAUUUUAUAUAAAAGAAAUAUGCAUAACUUGGAGAUACCUUGUACAUGUCUAGGAGGAAAAAGCUUGAAUAUAGCUUUGCCACUCGCUCUUUAAUGUACGUACGAAGUUGUGAUUUGAGUAUGAUCUUUCAUCCUGAGAAAUUAGUGUUACGAUUAAAAUAAUGUGCUGAUGAACAUUUGUGAUUUCAUUAGCUGUUUUGUUAAUAAAUAAGAAACUGCUGAACUGAUAUUGCGUUAUCAAAAUUUGCAAUCUUUCUAUUACCCUGCUGAACUUGGAAUGGCUGCAAUUUUGUUCUUGGAGACGUGUUUUUUCCUUUUUCUUUUGGGUUUGUAUGCAAAUCACUAAAAUAUUUUUUUAUGCACUAGGUUUGUGAUUGAUUGUGGUUAUGUAAAGCAACGCCAGUAUAACCCAUCGUCUGGAAUGUAUUCACUUGACGUAGUUCAGAUUAGCAGGUAAAUACUAUGUUGCACACACUGUGGUUAUCUGUCUACUGUCUUCAUCUGUUCAACUAGAUCAUGAUCCUGUUCAGAGAUAUCUAGUUAUGAUCCAUAAUAUUUACCAUACUACUUCUUGAAUAACAAGAGUGCAGGCUGACCAGCGAGCUGGGCGAGCUGGAAGAACUCGGCCUGGGAAGUGCUAUAGGUUAUACCCAAUUUCCAUUUAUCAAAAGGAGUUUCUCGAGGCUACAAUCCCAGAAAUCCAGCGUUCUUCUCUUGCCGGAAGUGUUUUGUAUCUAAAAUCGUUAGAUCUACCUGAUAUCAACAUACUGAAGUUUGAUUUCCUUGACCCACCAUCUCGUAAGAUAAAACUCCAGAAUUCUCUAUUCUUAAUUAUAGCUCUUCAAUCUUCAUCCAUCUUUAAUGCUUUUUUGUUGUUAGAAAUCACUUUAUCUAUUGGAUUAGCUCCAAAAGGCAAACAUAGACAACGGCCAUUGGCAAAGGAAAACGAGAAGAACACCCUAAUCUACAGAAACUAGAUAUAUACUCCCUUCGUAUAUAAAUAUAUGAUCCCAUUGACUUUAUUCGUUCAAUUUUGGAAAGUUUUACCAUCAAUAGCUCUCAAAAUAUUUAUUUUGAAAACAUAAAAAAUCAUAUCGGUAGGUUUUUCUUUACAAGUACUUUUACAAUAUUAUAAUUUGUUAGAUAUUAUCGUUAUAUUCUAAUAGACAAGUAGUGGUCAAAGUUGCACACCAAAGAUUGAAUAAAGUCAAUUGCCAUAUAUUUGAAUACAAAUGUAGUGCUAUUCACAACAUAAGUAGCUGUUGGUAAAAUCUUGGUUCUGCAUGGUUUAACUUAAGUUAUUACAUUUAUUGUUCUAGGUCCAGCCUCCACCCAAAUACUUUCAUGGUGGCUGGACGAGCCUAUUUCAAAAGGCAUAUGACCUACUCCUUCCGUCCCAUUUUAAGUGCAAUCAUGAGGUUUCGUGCCCAACUUUGAUUGUCCGUUUAUUUGAAAUUUUUUUAUAAUUAAUAUUUUCAUUGUUAUAAGAUGAUAAAACAUGAAUAGUACUUUAUGUGUGACUUAUGUUUAUAAUUUUUUUUCCAAAAAACUUUCAAUAAGACAGACGAUCAAAGUUGGACAUAGAAAAUCAUGGCUACACUUAAAAUGGGACAGAGAGAGUACUAACCUUACGCUCCAUUUGGCACUGUGGUGGAUUAUGAUAAUAUCUUUUGAUGCACCUGUUUUAGGAGUUGAUGCCCGCUAACUCCUAAAGCCCAACAUGCAAGUGUGCCACAUGAUCACCCUCUAGCAUUUAUUAUCUAGAAUAUUUUAAAUCACAUGCAAGUGUACCACAUCAUCAUCCAUAGCAGUUAUUAUCUAGAGUAUUUUAAAUGUCAUGCAAACAUGACAUAUCAUUUACAAUUUUGUUGUAUUUUUAGAACUCAAUAUGCAAGCAAUGUCAAAUCAUUAUUUCCACAUCAUUUUUACAUUAUUUAAACAUAUACAUAUACCAUUUAUACAAUGUACAAUAUGCAUUCAUCCACAUAUCCCGCAGCAAAGCGCGGGGAUAUCAACUAGUAGCUUACUAUUCCUGUUUGGUAUCAGGAGAUCCUCAGUGAAACUGCAUCCACUUCUUUGCCUGUACAAAUUGUCUUGUGAAAUAAAAACUAGUAUUGUCUAUCUCUUACCUUUGAUGCACAAUGACCUGCAGGUGAAUCAUUAGAAGAUGCUUUGAGGCAAUUAUACCUCAUCGAUGCAAUUGAUGAAAAUGGGCAAAUAACAGAUGUAGGACGAAUUAUGGCAGGUAUUCUCAGCUUGCUUGUCCCAUUUCAAUUGAAAUGAAAUCAGGUGGUUAUUUGAGUUUGUCUUCACUCUUGAACAAUGUAUGCAAUUAAAGUUUGAUCAAAUCACGAGCAUAUCUGGUUUCUUUUUCUUUUAUUUGAACUUCACAUGGUCUAAUUUUAUUUGUUGCAUACCAAUAUAAUAUUGUUGUAUCUUUAGUUCAAUAUGUGCAUGUGCGUUUUUGAUGACUCUGUUAGCACAUCCAGCACAUGAAGUAACUGUUGAUGUGUGGAGCGGCAGCAUGAACAGGGAUGAUCAUUUUCUGUGUUUGUCAUCUUCUUUUUGUUAACCUUUUGGCUUUAUUUUAAGAAGUUUAUACUCUUAAAUAUGUAACGGUCUAACCUCUAAUGUUCUAUAUAAGGAGGCCAUACCUGGCAAUGUUUUGAUAUUUCAAUUCAGAAAUGUCUGAUAUAUACAACUGUUAAGAGGUCUAAUGUUUUUGUGCAAAGCUUCAGGCAGUUUAUGUUGACAUUGUUGUUUUAUUGGUAUUUCUAACAGGAAUACUUACCUAGUAGCCUCCGGUCAGAUUACUGCGUUUUGGGGAUUUUUCUUUUUUUUUUACCCCUCCAGUGUUUGCCGCGUGUUAAACUGUUUUCUUUCCUAGCUGUGACUGGCUCUUUUUUCUCUUAAUGACGUAGCUGGUGUCCAGUUUUGUUUGUUGACGUUUCUACAGGGGUUUCGUAUACGUGCCGGUCUUUGGGUUUUUACAAUUUUUGUAGUUGACUUGCUUACCUGGUUAUUUCUGCUCUGCGUGUUUUUUCCUUGGUGUGUUCGGCUGCUGCUUGUGCACGGCUUGUGUUUGCAUGCGUCCUGCACGUGGUGCCAUGCGCUUGUGUGUGUAGCCUCGUGGGUGUGCCCAUGCUGUCUUACGUGGCUGCUCCCAACCCUUUUGUUUCUACUCCUAUUUCUUAUUUUCUUUUUCCCUUUCAUAUAUUUAGCCUUGAUCGUCCCAAAGUUUUUCAUGCUUGCUGUAUGUUACGUUUCCUUAAUCAACGUUGUGUUGUCAUCUUCGGUUGCUAGGUCGCGUUGUGCUGCUGUUCGGUGCCGUUCUUGUUUUGAUCUUCAAGCUGGCAAUGGUCUGUUUAUUGUUUCUUGUUUUACUUUUAUAAUUUGUACAGUUUUUUUUCCUUAUACUACAACCGUGUGUUUUUCCUCCCGUUGACUCAAAUCCUUUUUGUGUUCACACUUCACAGUGUGUUCUCCGAUAGAAUUGCUAUCGUUCUCUUAAUUUUGCUUUGCACUUAUGCGGGUAUGCCACUGGUUGCUUGGCGCUACAUAUAGUUUGUGCUGGAUGAUUCUGAUGAUUCUAUUGUUGCCUCUUCAUUGAGCAUGAAGGUAGCAGCAGGAAUCCGUCCACAUAUACCCCAUGCCAGGUAGCCUGAAAUGUCUACAGGGCUAGAAAUCUCAAUAAUUCUCAUCUCAUCCAUGAGCUGAAGGAAUUUAAAAGAUUAUGAGUUUGGGUUUUUUUGUACCAUCCUUGAGAAAUAUGUUGAAGUACCAAAAAUUUUUAUGUAAAAUUAGUAUCUCGAGGUAUCAAAAUUUUACACUACAAAAUAUAGUAUCUCGAGUUUUGUCUUUUCCACUGGUUUCCAACCAGAAGCAGCCUUCAGGAGUGUAUAGUGCACUUUUUUCGGUUUCAAGGUAGUGCCAUGGUUUCUUACACUUAUCUAAGUGCAAUUCCAGGUCAAGGAAAACUCCAUUCCUAAUCUGUUAUCUGAUCAACUGAUAAAGCAAUGAACCAGAUGGAUUUGUUCUCGCAAGAUGCUUGUUGGGCAUAGACUAGUUUACUAAGCUAGAAAACGUACUAUAUCUAUGCUUGCUUUAAUGCUUUGAAGUGGAACAACAGGCUAAUAUGGAACCACAUGAGAGCGAACGGAAAGCAUAUUUGGAUUUUAGGGGUUUUUACAACAAAGAGUGAAUUUUUUAGUUAAUCACGGCACAUAUGCAUGUUUACAAGUUUCUAUAAGCAAUAUUAUAUGAUAGUUGAUAUUAACCUGUGCUGUGAUCAUCAUGUGUGGAUGUGCGAUCAUCAAGUUUCUAUAAGUUGAUAUUUUAUCUUACAUUAGCCAUGUGUGGAUUGUCAUCAUGUGUAUAAAAUAUUUUUAGUAUUCUUUUAGGCCAAAUAAAACUGAAGUGAAACGAGUAAUUGCCUGAGCGCGGCGUGUCGCCGCGUGGGCACGUCUAGUUUUUUAAUGUCUGGUGAGUUUUUGUGUAGUAAGAUUUGUUCCCUGUGCAAUGGCCAUAGUUUUCCUCUUGUUUUGUCUUGAGUAUGAGCCGUUUACAUGUCUAUAUAAUGUUUGGAAUUUGAAUAUCUCCACAAUGUUAUAGAACCUGUCUUGGGAACAAGCUGUUGCUUUUGUAAUGAUCUGGAAAUUUCCACAGUUUUGUACUAUCUGCUUCUAAUUUUCUAGAUAUAUGAUAUUUAUUGGGAAAAUUUUGUAUUUGCAACUAGUAACUUGUCUAAUACUCCCUCUGUUUCAUAUUGUAAGAUAUUUUGGGUUUGUCAUAAGUCAAACUUCUCAAGUUUGACCAAGUUUAUAGAAAAAAAGUAAUAACAUCUACAACACCAAAUUAGUUUCAUUACUAUUUGUAUACUAUAUUUGUUUUGUGUUGAAAAUAUUGCUAUUCAUUUUUCUGUAAAACUUGGUUAAACUUAUAGAAGAAUAGAAGAUUGACUUAGGACAAACCCAUAAUGACUUAUAAUGGAAGGAAGAAGUAUCAAGUUGUCAACUAUAUAUUCGAAAACCAUUCUUUUCACAUGCCAGUGUUCCAUCAGGUCACAUUCUUACAUGACUGGUAUAUGAGAAAACUGUUGUGAGAUUUUUACUUGUAAUUCAUAACUUCUUAAAUCCUGCAAUAUGUUGCUAGGCUUGAUAACCAAUUGUUUACCUAUGUCAUCUGAGCCCAUUAGUUCCCAUAUAAAAGCAGUGGUCAAUAUCUCCAGGUCCAGCAGCAUUGCGCACAUGAACAGUACCCGCGUGGUUACUGUUCAAACGUAUGAAGCUCACGUGAUUGCUUUAAUUUAGAUUAAUGAGUUAUUUAUUACCAUGAUCUUAGAUAUAAGUUUCUUAAGAGGCAAUAUAAGGAUGGGGCUGUAUUUCUGUUCAUUAAGCAAGAGAUAAACAAGUGUCUUUAGUCUCGCCAUCUUCUUGCCUGCCCUUGUGGUACACAGCCUCCAUGGUGCCAAUGUGCCACUUGGGUCAACUAUGCCUAAGGCCCUUAUCUUAGUAAUGCCCAUUACAUGCUAUUGUAUUUUAUGAUUGUACGCGACAUGAUUUGCUAGACUAAAUAUGGUGCUUGUAGUAGAUAUAGGAGUAUGACGUGGGUGUGGGUCACUCUGUUUGUACCUGUUGACUGACUCUGGUUCAACAAAACCAAUUUUACUUUUGUUGAACUAGAGUGGGUCAACGGGUACCCACAGAGUAAUUUGUACCCAUCUAAAAGUAGCUAUAUUAUUCCUACCCCUUUACUAGAAAUGUUGCAAUUGCUUAUCUGUACUGGAGUACAUAACAGAACCUAGUGGGUACUGGGUAGCGAUGAUGCUGAAAUUGUGAGUGUGUGAUAAAUUAUGAUGGCUUCAUGAUGGACUGUUAUUCACAUGUGAUGAAUUCUGUUUGUUGGAUAUGAUUUGUGUGUAUGCCACUGAUAGAUAAAUUAUUUGUGAUGGACACAAUGUGCAAGGGUGAUGCCAAAUUUUUGUGGCAGCCAACGCACCCCCUUCUGCCUAAAAAGACUUGGUGCCAAUAACCCUUGGCUCCAGUUACCUGAUGUUGACCCAUGGCCACGUCGGGAUCCAGCGUCGCACAGCUGCACCAGGGUUGAUGGUGCUGGAAUGUUGUUUAGAAAAGAACCAGUACGUCAAAAUUCUAGUGUCAAGUAACUUAUGGACUUAUGCAAGAUAUGUUGUCCCGUGAUAUGUGUGCAGAGCUCCCUCUUGAGCCUUCUCUUUCAAGGACUUUGAUUGAAGCAAACGAAUUGGGAUGUCUAUCUCAGGCAUUGACUGUUGCUGCAGUUCUGUCAGCUGAAAUCACAUUCCGGUCAACUAGAAGGUGGGCAUUUUGUUUUGUAAUUCAUCUAAGCUACUGUAACACAUUGAAUUUUAUGGUGAACUUAUUGCACCCUUACAGCAAAGACAUGGAGGGAAAGAGGAAAAGGCAAGAGCUUCCUGAUGGUUCUGGUUGGGGCGACCAUAUACAGUUGCUUCAGAUAUUUGAAAGUUGGGAUCGAACAGGCUAUGAUCCAAGAUGGUGCUCAGAUCAUGAGUUGCAGGUGAAUGAAAAUAACAUUUUGAUUCUAAUAUGAUACAGUGAAAGGAAUAAAAUUAUUAAGUACUAGUGUUGCAAAAAUAAAUGCAACUGUGUUGGACCUUCCUGCAUAGAACAAGCCGAAUCACAAAGCAUGAUAUAAUACCUGAAUUUUAUUUUAAAUAGGUCAUCGAAGCAUGUCAUGUUAAAUGGGAACAUAUCCUAUGUACACAAGUUUCUGAUACACACUCUGUGCACAGCAAUUAACAAAUGUCUUCGAAAAUUCUAGAAAAAAUUGGACAUGCAAUCCUAAUAGUACUCCCUCCAUUUGGAAUUGAUAAGUGCAAAAGCAAAACAUUCAGAAUUGAUCAGUGCAUAAGAGCAGGUACAAUAGCAGGCUAUUAGCCGGCUAUAAACAUAUUUUAAUGAGAUAAAUGAUGAGAGAGAAGAGCAGCGGGCUACAGAUUUGUAGCCAGCUGCAGCACGGACUCCAAGACACAAUGUGUGUAUGACAGGUGGGACCAUAUAUUAAUAGUAUAGUAAGCAACUAUUGUAUGAAUUGGCUAUUAGAUUGGCUAUAGAUGAAUUGGAGCUAGUAGUGAGCUAUACUAUUGAACUUGCUCUAAGGAUGUGGUAGCUGUUCAGUUUUGCAUGUAAAUUUAUUGUUUUCCCAUGCAAGGAUUGGGUGGCUCUUUGAUUUACAUGCUAGCCAAUCAGUUUUGCAUGCAGAUUUAUUGCUUUGGCAUGCAAGGAUUGCCUGGCUCUUCGGUUCUCAUUCAAGCCAAUCAAUUGAGCAAAAAUAGGAUGCUUCAUUGAAUAAAAAUUGGCUGCUCGUCUUCUCAUUUUGCAUGCAAGUGUUCCUUAGUCUGGAGCCCAGGUGAAAUAGGUUGAUCAAAUUCGAAUGGAGGGAGUAUUACACAUAUGUGUAAAGUCUCAUCUGAAAAUUCAUUAUAUUUUAGCCGUAGCAAAAAAAGAAAAAACUGUCAGGUAUAAGAGUAUACUAUCAGAAUUUUGUCUUUUAUGUUACGUCUAAAAAUAAUUAAUUCAAACAUGAGAUUUCACACAUAGGUGUAAUACAAUUGAGAGUACAAGUCUACUUUUUUCUAGAAUUUUUGGAGAUAUUUGUUAGUUGGUGUGCAUGAAGUGUGCACCGGAAGCUUGUGUGCAUAUGAUACGUUCCCAUCUUAAAUUGCCUUUUAGCAUUUAUAGUUUUCAUGCUAGCAAUGCAAACUUUGAAACAUAUAACAAGGAUAACAUUGUGUGAUCAUCAUAUCUAUAUGCCUGCAUAUACUGUUUGUCAUGAUACUUACAGACUUUAUACCCCCUAGAUAGUUUUCUAGACAUUAGAUUACAAUGUAGAUCACAGAACUAUCUUUUGCAGGUGAGAGGCAUGAAAUUCAGCAAAGAUGUGAGAAACCAAUUAAGUCAGAUUAUUCAAAAAAUUGCAAAAGGUCGGUGAUCAGUAAUUCUAGUUUCUGUUUUAUUGUGUACCCACCCUUUCAAAAACCUACUACCUGUUUGCUUCUUCCUUUCCUGGGACACCUCUGUUGUUGAGCUGUUUUUUCCUCUUUUGUCAAUUCGUUGUUCUACUUUUUGAAUUUUAACUUCUAGGAACUACCACAAAGAUAUUGUUACAUAUGCCCUCCAUGAAGAUGUACGUCCUACCUCUAGAACCUCAGUAAUAUCCAUGCAGUGCUCGACUACAGAUGCAAUAUAACCUGAACUCAUCUUGCUCGUAUUGCAACCAAAAUAUGUAAUAGAUCCAGAGCCCAGCGCAUUACGUAUUCCAAUGUUCACUCAACUACUAUGUUUAAGUUUGGCCCGUAUAUCAAAAACUACUAAACCUACCUCUUUUUUUGUAAAUUUAGGUUCAACAGAUGUGCAAGCAAAGAAAGAGCGGAAGAGUGACCCUGAUUAUAGAAAAUUAAGGAGAGCUCUAUGUGUUGGAUAUGGUAACCAGCUCGCUGAGAGGAUGCUGCAUCACAAUGGUUAUCAUACGGUUGGAUACAGGGCACAACUAGUGCAGGUAUUGACUUCUGCAAUCUAUCAGAUUAGUUUUGCUAUAGUGUCAAGCAUAAAUGGCAAGGGUAAAUUGAGAUGAUUCUGGCGAAUGAAACAUUAGCCAGCUUAACCAAACCAAAAGGUAGCAGUUUUUUGUGCCAAACUUUUUACUAGAUGUAGAAGCCAAUGAAACUUUCAGUUGCUACUUGAACUGUUUAGAUAUGCUGAAUAUGCUUUGCUGAGAGUAUGCAGUUUGUUCUCGGGUAAUUGUCGACAAAGUAUUUUAGAUAUGCUGGAUAUUAGCUGCAAAUAAUAGUUGUCUCAUGCAACAGGAACGCAUGAAUCUCACAGUGACUGGUUUAAGCUGUUUUUGUAGAAUUUUGUCAUUUUGGUUUUGACUACAUUCUUUAGUUUACAAACUUAAUUACUGUUGACCCUUUACAGUUUGUUAUAUAUUCUUUUUGCAGGUGCAUCCAUUUUCCGUACUGGAAGGUGAUGAAUACGGGAAACUGCCGGUAUAUGUUGUCUACCAUGAGUUAAUAAAUACUACUCGUCCUUUCAUGAGAAAUGUUAGUGCCGUGGAUCAGUCUUGGGUUAAACCUAUAUUGAAGAAGCUUGAAAGAUUGGACAUGAACAAAUUAAGGUAUGAAAUAUAUGGGUUAAAAUAAUUACUAUUUCUAACAUGGCAAUUUAUGCUACUACAGUAAUAAUCUCAAUUAUAUUACAGUGGUGGUUCCAGCGGAUCGAAAGAUCCAGAACCUCUAGAGGAUAAACAAGUAAGCUCCCCAAAGAAAGCAAUGGAUGUUAAACAAUCUGACGUGGACAGUAAAAUACAGGCAGCUCGCGAGCGCUACCUGGCUCGAAAAGGCAAGAAAUGACAGUAUGUGCUUAACCAAGCUAUUCUUUGGAGGGUAGGUCCCAUACGUAAUGAGAGGAACAGGGAGUGAUAACAUGACAAUCUUCAGUAUCAUAUUUCCCUACCUCUUAUUACUUACCAUAGCAGAAGUACUGUAGGUACAAGCAGAGACAUUUAUGUGAGUCUAAAUUUCAUCAUAUCCAUCCAUUUGUCAAGCUUGAGAACUUUGUAACCGUUUAAAGGCCUGUUUGGCUGGUGUCUUGGUGCCAUAUGCCUGAGGAUUUUGCAUGCCAGAGAGCCACCCGAGAUGAUGAAUUUUGCCUAGUCAGGCAGCAUGUCUCUUUUGAUUGUUUGGUUUCGCACAGCUGUCUGAGGAAAAAUUGGGUUAGGCUUUAGAUGAUUACUGCUAAUCAAAUGUUGAUCGGAAGAUAAUCUUGCUACCAUUGCAAUCAUGCAUCGCCCCUUCAAACAAAAUCCAUCCACUGCCAACUUUCCGUAAACAAAUAAUUUGCAUACUAAAAUCUAUCCAAAUAAGCUCUUGAAUCUAUUCAGCGAAGUGGAAGCUGCAGAGAUGACUGGCGGUUCACAUGAUGGCUACAGUGCAGCGGCGGCGCUGGCUGCAACAGCGUUGGCAGCUUCGCGCAACGGCCUUUGCGGCGGCAAGAUCCUGUGACCGAGGGUACCAAUCAAGGGCCACAUCUUUUACCCUACAACAUAUAUGUUGAUGAUAUAUGUUGAUGCUAAAAUGUGAAUCUUAAAAUUUAAUUUUCGAGUUAAUUUUGAGGGUUUUUUUUAUCGUAGUUUCAUUUUCAACAUUGGCGUUCAAGUCAUUAAGAACACAUGUAAAAGUUUUAAGAGUAAAUUUCACAAAACUACAGGUAUUUUGCAUAAUUUAUCAAAAAAACUACAUAUUUAAGAUUUAAGAGCUUGUUUCAUAAAACUACAGAUUUAGUGUCUCAAUUUAUCACAAAACUACAGAUUUAUACAAACUAUCACAAAACUAUAUAUUUAAGAAUAUGUUUCGCAAAACUAUAAAUUUAGUGCAUUUGUUUAUCAUAGAACUAUACAUUUAGUGUCUUCAUUUAUCACAAAACUACAGGUUUCACAAAACUAUAAGUUUAGUACUAAACCUGUAGUUUUGUGAUAAAUGAAGAUAUUAAAUUUGUAGUUCUGUGAAACAAGUUCUUAAAUCUGUAGUUUUGUGAUAUAUUGUGCAAAGUACAUAUAGUUUUAUGAUAAAUGAAGACAUUAAAUCUGUAGUUUUGUGAAACAAGUUUUUAGUCCUACGCUGAGAAAAGAUAGGGGAAAGAGAUAAGGAGUUAGAGGAAGGAAAGAGAUAAGGAUAGAGGAAAAAGAGAUAGUGGAGAGAUAAAGAUGAGAAAGUCUAAGUCUAUGGUGGUUCGAUAUAUUUAAGACGUGGGAGGGAGAUAGUUGGUGAUAUCAACCGGGAUUAAAGAUCUAUUUUCUCGGUGCUCUAACGUUGUCUAACACAAAUAGAACCGGGACUAAAGAUGAUUUUUAGUCCGGGAUUAAGGGCCUGUUUGGUACAGCUCCAACUCCUAAAUAUAACUCUAGGAGUUGAGUCUGGAGUGGAGUUGUGGAGCUGCCUAAACCCAGCUCCACAACUCUAGUACAUUUUGUGAGAGUUUUAUCCAACUCCACUCCUAGUUUUGGUGGAUCUGAAACUGUUUGGCUGAGCUCCUGGAGCUGGAGAUAGAGCUGUGCCAAAUAGGCCCUAAAGAUCAUGAAGUCCCCGUGCACUUUUAAACUGAGACUAAAAAUGGUUUUUAGUUCCGGUUUUUAGUUGAACCGGGACUAUUGUGGCUUUUUGGCAACCGAUCAAAAAUGGUUUCUCCAGUAUCUAGAUGUGUUAUAUUACACAUUAAUGUUACUGUAAUCAUACUAAACUUCUGCACGAGGUUUCAUCUACUAAUAUAAAAAAUAUUUCGCCCGAAAACUACCAAUGGAUAAAGAAAGUCACUAUCGGUCCCCUGUGAUCGCUCCCGCCUCCUCCCGUGUGUCACUCUCAUCAUCUCGUGCGUGCUACUAGAAACCGGCGUGCUCCCCAUUAGUGAAGAAUGAGAAGGAUAGGGAAGGGGAUUUCAUUUGCAAGUUAGUGAGGGGAACUGUUGGGGUGUACUUAAAACAACCAAAAUUUUGAGAUUAGAAGCCAUGCUGAGCAUCUGUUGGCGAUGCUCUUAGAGCACCAUCCAAAAAUCCAGUACCAAAACUAUUCAUUUACUUUCAUCUAACCAAACCUGGAUUUUUAUGAUCAUUUUUUUUUACAUAAAAUGGCAUAUAGGUGUUGAUGCGAAAAACACGAGGCCUGAGAGAUCUGCUUAACUCCAGUGCAGGUCCAAAAAUCUUGCCAUUAGGUUCGUGAGCGUGCCAGUUGAUUUGAUUCUGCAAUUAACAAGAAAUAAAGUGUUUGGAGAGAAAAAAUAAAUUUUCGUCCCUCCGCACAGGGAAAUAAAAUAAAAUAAGAUGCGCGGGCGUGCAGUGUACUAAGUACACAAAUAAAAUAGACGAAGGAAAAUGCAUUUAUUAUAAUUCUCAAAGAAUUAAAAAAUACAAAAUCCUUGGUCAAAUGCUCUCUAUGGCCUGUAGGCAAGGUGGAUCUGAAUUGGCGAUUGUGUUCUCCUGUUUCCCAGGGUCUCGGAAGACACCUGGUUAAUUACUCUCGCGAGUUAAACUCGUGAGAAACCUCUGAUUAAGCUGUGCUGGUCGUCGUUGGUCUUUGCUUCACAUUCUCCCACUAGAACGGAUACCCUCAUCUCAAUCGGGCGGUAAGCCCCAUCUCAAUCGGGCACAGCGUCCGUCACAGGCUAGAAGUCACUGAUGUGAAGAGUUAUCUCAAUCGGGCAAACGGCCGUCACGAAUGAAUAUAUCUCAAUCGGUUCCUAAGUAAAGCCCAUCACUGAUAGCUUUGACCCAGACGACCAGUCAAACUAUAGCCCGUCACAGAUGACCUAUCUCUAUCGGGCCACAACUAGCGCCCGUCACAGAUGACUACUAACCUUUAUCGGGCCUAAACUAGAGCCCGUCACAGAUGAUACUCAUCUUAAUCGGGCCUAAACUAUAACCCGUCAUAGAUGACUGAUGACCUCAAUCGGGCCUAAACUAGAGCCCGUCACAGAUGACUGCUGACCUCAAUCGGGCCUAAACUAGAUCCCGUCACAGAUGACUAGUGACCUCAAUCGGGCCUAAGCUAGAGCCCGUCACAGAUGACCUCAUCUCAAUCGGGCAUUUAGUUGUGGCCCAUCACAGAUGACUAUAAUCCACAAAAAAAAUAAAUUUUGUUUUUUGGCUAGCCUCAGGCCUUUGCUAGCCAUGUCCGCUGCAAAAAUGACAGAAACAAACACAGAUAUCCAAUAUCCCCAGCUCCCCAGCAUCACCCAUUCAUACAUAUGCAUUAACAUACACAGACAUCAACAUAUUUCACACAACCACACAUUCACCGCCAUCUCAUAUUUCACAUCCAUUCACAUAUUUCACAUCCAUUCAAAUAUUUAUCAUAUUUCACCUGCAAAACCGAGUUAAUUGGAUCAAAUAUUUAUUUAGCAAGUCUUAACAUAAACAUAUGAAAUAUAUACAUAAAUAUAAGCAUCACAGUUACAUCAUCACAGUUGCAUAAUAAGUGUUCAUCAUUGCCUAAACAUAGAAGUUCAACAUUGUUCAUCAUUUUAGUUUAAGCCUAAACAUUCCUUUGGGGUUAAUUAUUUCGCGGAGGAUGAAGCUGGCUAUCUCCUCGCGAACCUCCUCAAAGCUGGUAGUCAGAGACUUGGUUAUUGUGCCCUACAUUGUCAUAAUUCCAGAUUAGUUGAUCGAUCAUAUAUAAGUACUAAAAUGUAGUUAGUCUAUCACAAUUGAGACCACCGACCUCAAACUCAGCCAAAGUCUUCACCUUUUCUCUAUACAGAAGUCGCAUGUUGUGGCACACAUGGAAUUCGCACUGGUCACCUAUUUGUUGCUUCACCGGGAAGUCUUUUUUGUGGAUGAGGGUGUCAUGUCCUGUCUUCCUGAGGCCUCCUCUUUGCACGUAUUGGGCCCACGCUUCAUCUAUCGCUAGUUGAAUUGGGGUCCAAUCAUAUGCGUUCUUAUCAAUUCUGGAGUUCAGGUAAUGACAUGUACUCCAUUUAGGUGUUAUGACCAGAAGGAUCCAAUGGGCACUGCGGCAUUAAUAUAGUGAAAGUUAAUUAAGUACUCAAGCAAUAUGUCAUGCUGUUGUGUAUAUUUAGUUAACACACUUACUAUUGAUUAUAGGCACACAUAAUGUACUCCUUGUCUCGGCGGGACCACAAGGUGUCGUAGAUGUAGUUGACCAUUCCUUGACGGUCAUUCUGGAGAUUUGUGACAGUGACCACUUGUGGAUCAAGGAAGGCAACUUCCAGUGCAUGCUUCUGACACCAUUGACAACUUAACCUACACACAGGAUCAACAAUCUUGUAAGCAAGUUAAACCGAUUGUUAUUACCAGAAUGAGUUGGGCGACAAUAUUUACAAGGAGUAGCACUUAAGGAGGCUUGUGUCCACCGCUCGGAGCCUGUAGAGGUCGAAAAGAUCCUUAAAGUCGACCACGACAUAAUUUGUUGGACCAAGGAAUGGCUUUCCAUCGUGCUGUCCAAGGAUAUCGGUAGCUUUACUUGGCUUCCUGGCGUUAGAUUUCUCCAUGUAGUAUAAGUGAAGGUCCUUGCAAGCGGUGCCCAUUGCGGCAAGCACGUCAUCUCCAACCAAUGGCAUGCCUAGUUGGAACUCCUGUGGAGCGACGUAUUUCUUCUUGACCUCUUUGCCCUUAGUCUCUUCCUGGCCCUUGCCCAGAUCUAGCUUUCUUGGAGCUAGAAGCGAGGCCUGCACCUUUCCUCCUCUUCCUCUCCCCUUUGCUUCGGGUUUAUCGAGAGUAAUUCUCUGAGGGGAAGAGUGUGCCUUCCUGCUCUUCUUCAUCGGUGGGGGUUCAUGAAUCGUCUUGCUGUCGGCCUCCGUUCGGUCCUCCCCAAAAUCCGUGUCGUACUGCAUCUGCACAUCGUAAGAUUGUGCAUGACGAUCUUGAGCAGGAGGGGCUGAAGGAGCAGAGGCGGGUCUCUUUGGUGGACGACCGCCUGGUGCAAUGGUUGGCCUCGCUGUAACCCUGAUCUCAAUGAGGUCCUUGGGCCAUUGGAUGAAGGUACCACGGGCAUUUCCUAGUGAGAGGACCUCGUCGUUCGGUGGAUACUUCAGAGGGAACAGCUCGUAUUUGGGCUUCACCGAGUCGACUUGAACUUUUGCACAGUCGGCCCUGAGUUGCGCUCCAUGCACUCUUGUCUCUGGGGUUGGCUUGUACGCAAGUCCCUCGGCUGCUGGAACAGUGAAGGUCAGCAUCACCCUAACUAUGAGGGUGCAGCUCGUUGGUUUCUGCGAUAGAUUAAUCAAUUUUUUUAGAAUAUUAUAUAUCAUAUGGAUUCGUUAUGUCUUUCAUGUAUUGAGUAAGUUCACGGUUACCGUUAUGUGGUCGACGGUGCUGUCGACCGAUGUUGGAUUUUCCGCCAACUCAGUUGAUGUGCAACUGCUGCGUUUUUCGAUGGGACUUCCUAACUCUUUGUGCGCAGCAGCAGUGGCGGCCUGGGGGAUCUGUUGCUCUUCUCGGAUCUCUUGCCUAAUCUUGGCCCUCAUCGACUCGAGCUUUUCGUCGAAUUCAUAUGUCAGCUCAGCUCAUAUCGACUCCCGGAUCUUGGCUUCAAGGCGUGCAUCUUUCUCCGCCUUGUUGGAAGUCCGCUUCUUGUACUGCCACGCGUAGUCUGGAAAUCCAUACUUCCAGGGAACAGAAGACCCAACGCCCCGUGUCCGUCCACGGUGUUCCUUGUUGCCCAACGCUUUCGUGAGGAGGUCGUCCUCGCAUCUUUGAGAGCAGGCCUCUUGCGAGGCUUGUUGCUCGGCAACCAACUCCUUCUGCAUUACAAUUUAGUGGGGUCAAAUAAACUGCACGAUGGGAAACAAUGCGAACAUCUAGUUUGACUAGACACUUACUAUAGCUUCGUAUACUCGUUGAUCUUCUGCAUUUGGCAUGAAGAUUGUGCCAUCAUCAUGUUUCUGGUACCUAGCCCUGGCCCAGUUCCUAGCCCGAGGGUGUGGGAUAUCGCCAAACACGAGCGGUGUGCACGAUUCCUCCGCUUCUUCAUCCUCACGCUGCCAUUCCUCUUCCUUACCGGCAUAUCCGGCGGUACCAAGCCGGUGCGGAUGCUGGUUCUUGGUCUGGAGCAAGCGAUAUGCCUCGCUUCUAGCUUUGGACUCGGGGGUCGACUUCUUCGCAUGGAAUUCCUCCCAGACCUGUUCUGUGAUCCAAGGAAAUUUCUCUCUUGGAUCUGGAUUUGCCGGGUUGUAGACGAACUCACCGACUAGCUUAGUCUUGAAGUUCUUCCAAGCAGUGCCCAUAACCUUGAAAGCAGCCCGCCUGAGACGGUCCUCAUGCUCCGCAGGAUAAUCAAAGCUCUCCUUGAACGUUAGCCAAGCAAUGUCCUUCUCUGCGACCGGCACGAGCUUGAAGUCGUCUUGCAGAAUACUGAAUUUCUGCCUCCCUAUGACCCCGCAGAUAGACCUAAAUCGGCUCAAUAUUUUCCUUGGAGAUGUCGGCAACCCUACGGCGUCCACCGCUGUUAUGCGGAACCGUUCCUUAGGAAUUUUGUUCCCUGUCCUAGGAGUACGUGCCCUUGAGGACCCACUAGUUGUCGUCGACAUUGGUUCGCCUUGCUGAGACAUUGUCUACUUUUUUCCAAAAAAACAAAGAAAACACAAUUGAGUGCUACAAUCUAUUACAAUCUAUUAACCACAUUUCACAAUAAUUUCAUUCAUGCACCACAUUUCAUCCCAACAUAAAUAAACCACAUUUCAUCCCAACAUAAAUAAACCACAUUUCAUCCCAACAUGAAUAAACCACAUUUCAUCCCAACAUGAAUAAACCACAUUUCAUCCCAACAUAAAUAAAUCUCAUUUCAUCCCAACAUGAAUAAACCCAACAUGAAUAAACCACAUUUCAUCCCAACAUGAAUAAACCACAUUUCAUCCCAACAUGAAUAAACCACAUUUCAUCCCAACAUGAAUAAACCACGUUUCAUCCCAACAUAAAUAAACCACAUUUCAUCCCAACAUGAACCACAUUGCAUAUAAAUAAAGUUAAAUGAACUACAUUUCAUCAAUCACUACAAUCAUCUAUCACAAAAUUCAUAAAUGCACCACAUUUCAUCCCAACAUCGACAUGUCUCACUCACAGUUCAAUCACAUAUCAUCCACAUCCACAUUUCAAUGACAUGUCAUUCACAGUUAGCAGAGGGCGGCGCGAUGGAGGACUCACCUGAGGAUGGCCGGUGGGGCUCGGUGGCGGCGGCGCCCGGGCUCGGUGGAAAGCGGCGCCGGUCGGAGGAGACACCGAUCGGGCAGGUCGGCACCGGGCGGGCGGCGUCAUGCUCAGUGGGGGUCGGCGACGUGGGUCGGUGAGGACGCGGGCGGCGACGACGAGGAAGGCCAACACCGGUCCGGUCGGUGUAAAGGCUCGGUGGCGGCGGCGGCGGGCUCGGGGGCGGGGGUCGUCGGUGAGGAGGCUCGGCGGCGGAGGUCCAAAUGGAGGGCCGAGGAGGCUCGGUGGUGACGGCGGCAGGCUUGGCGAGGGAGGACGACUGCGGCGGCGGCGGGCUCGGUGGCGACGGCGGCGGGCUUGGCGAGGGAGGAUGACGGCGGCGCUAGGGUUCUAAGGAGGCGGGAAACUGUAGCGGGACUUAGAAAAAUUUUCGAUCCACUCUGAGAAACCCUAGUUAUAUUAGAGUGAUGAGUCAUCUCAAUCGGGCUUUGCCGUAGGGCCAGUCACAGAUGACGCAUCGGUGACGGGCUCCAUACUAAUGCCCGAUUGAGAUGACAUUCAGGCCCGUCACGGAUGACUCAUCUGUAACGGGCCCUAAGAUAAUGCCCGAUAGAGAUAGAUUAAUCUCUAUCGGGCUUGAACUAAGGCCCGUCACCGAUGACUAUUUUUCCAUUUCCCAGGUAAGUCUUUAUAUUUGUGAGUACAAAAUAUAUAGCUGCUGUAUAAUAAUUUAUUUUAUUAGUUAUAACACAUUUUCGGAUAGUAAAUGAUUUCAAAUCGAAAUAUGGUCAACAACAAAAUUGUAGAGGUUAUCAAGAUCUACAACUUUUAUUUUGGUCAUUUGUCUAUAUAACUUUGUUUCCAACAGCUUGAAAUUGAUUUUGACAAUAUGACAAAUAUAAUCAACAUUUGUAAAUACUAAAUGAUUUGAAAUGGAAAUAUGGUCAACAACAAAGUUGAUCCUCUCAUCAAGAUCUAUAACUUUUAUUUUGGUCAUUUAUCUAUAUAACUUUGUUUCUAACAGCUUGAAAUUGAUUUUGACAAUAUGACAAAUAUAAUCAACAUUUGUAAAUACUAAAUGAUUUGAAAUGGAAAUAUGGUCAACAACAAAGUUGAUCCUCUCAUCAAGAUCUACAACUUUUAUUUUGGUCAUUUAUCUAUAUAACUUUGUUUCUAACAGCUUGAAAUUGAUUUUGACAAUAUGAAAAAUAUAAUCAACAAUUGUAAAUACUAAAUGAUUUCACAUGGAAAUAUGGUCAACAACAAAGUUGAUCCUCUCAUCAAGAUCUACAACUUUUAUUUUGGUUACUUCUUCAUCCGACAAAGUGAUAGUUAUAUUAUUCAUAAAAAUCACAUUUUUCUCAUCUGGUUUACAAAUAUCAACACAGAUAUGUUAAUUUUGUAAACAUUGGUACUAUCACUUUGUCAGAUGAAGAAGUGACCAAAAUAAAAGUUGUAGAUCUUGAUUAGCUGUACAAGUUAGCUGUUUAUGGCUUUCCCAUUUAAAGUCAUGUAAUAUUUACAAAUGCUAUUUAGAUUUGUCAUAUUGUCAAAAUCAAUUUCAAGCUGUUGGAAACAAAGUUAUAUAGAGAAAUGACCAAAAUAAAAGUUGUAGAUCUUGAUAAACUCUACAAUUUUGUUGUUGACCAUAUUUCGAUUUGAAAUCAUUUAUUAUCCGAAAAUGUGUUAUGACUAAUAAAAUAAAUUAUUACACAGCAGCUAUAUAUUUUGUACUCACAAAUAUAAAGACUUACCUGGGAAAUGGAAAAAUAGUCAUCGGUGACGGGCCUUAGUUCAAGCCCGAUAGAGAUUAAUCUAUCUCUAUCGGGCAUUAUCUUAGGGCCCGUCACAGAUGAGUCAUCCGUGACGGGCCUGAAUGUCAUCUCAAUCGGGCAUUAGUAUGGAGCCCGUCACCAAUGAGUCAUCUGUGACGGGCCCUACGGCAAAGCCCGAUUGAAAUAGAUUAAUCUCUAUCGGCCGUAAACCAAGGCCCGUCACCGAUGACUCAUUUUCCAUCUUUCAUUUGUUGUGAGUGCAAAAUAUAUAGCCUAUAUAAUUUUUAUUUUGGUCAUUAUUCUAUAUAAUUUUUUUCCCAACAGCUUGAAAUUGAUUUCGACAAUAUGACAAAUCUAAUUAACAGCAUUUGUAAAUACUAAACGAUUUCAAAUUGAAAUAUGGUCAACAACAAAGUUGAUCCUCUCAUCACGAUCUACAACUUUUAUUUUGGUCAUGUGUAAUAAAACAAAAUUAGCCAUAUUAAUGACUACACAUAUCAAGUCUUUGCAAUAAAACAAAAUACUUCAUUCAUUACAAUAGAUAAGUACAAAUGCAUCAGUCACAAGGUUAUGCCUUCGGUAUGAUCUGAACGAGCAUAUGCCACAGGCUCUUGGGGAUCAUCGUCAAGGUCAAUGUGAGGUCUUACAUGAAGAUUAUGGUUGUAUUCUUCUUCAUCGACGAUGUUGUCAACUGCUACAAUUCGGCGCUUUCCAUCCCUCACGAUGUGCAUCUUCUUGUUUGAAGGGUCUUUUAUAUAGAAUAUCUGCUCGACCUAUUUCGCAAGUACAAAUGGUUCAUCGUCGUAUCCCACCUUAGAUAGAUCUACUAAAGUGAAACCUUCCUUGUCGGCUUUGACACCAGUGCGUAGAUUCACCCAACGGUAGCGGAACAAAGGAACCUUGAACUUGACGUAGUUUAGCUCCCAGAUCUCCUCAAUGCGGCCGUAGUAUGUGUUUGACCCAACUUGAUCCUGGAAUGCAUCUAUACGGACGCCACUGUUUUGCACUGUGCAUUUGUCAUCUUGUUUGACGGUGUAAAAUGUGUAUCCAUUUAUAUCGUAUCCUUGCCAUGUGUCUAUGGUCCAAGACGGUCCCAUCCCCAACAACUGUACUGUCUCAUUUGGGACAACCGUGGACAUUGUCACACGAUUCUUGAACCAUUCGUUGAACCGAGAAUUAUGUUCUCUGUUAAUCCAUGCAUCAGAUGGCCCCAAGUUCUCAUCUCGGAUUUUCGCUAAGUGCUCCUCAAAGUAUGGGCCAACUUCUGUCAUAUGUUGGAGCACAGCGUAAUGAGCCUGCGCGUACGACGCUUGAUCGGGCUUAAUUCUUUUCCUUCCGAUUGUGCCAACACCUGACAACCUUCCCUCGUGACGAGACGCUGGAACUCCGAUAGGAUCGGCAUCGGACAUGUAAUUGACACAGAACUCAAUAGCCACCUCGGUCGUGUAACCUUCAAUGAUGCUCCCCUCGGGUUUAGCUCUGUUACGAACGUACGACUUCAGAACUCCCAUGUACCUUUCAAACGGUCACAUUUCCCUUAGAAAAGCUGGACCACAUAGUUUUGUUUGCUUCACCAGAUGAACAGGGAGAUGAACCAUUAUAACAAAGAAAGACAGUGGGAAAAACAUCUCCAGGUGACAGAGGGUAUUCACAAUAUUGGUCUGCAGCCCAUCUAGAUCUUCUGGAUCUAUAACCUUCUGUCCAAUUGCAUUGAAGAAGGCGCACAGACGUUGGAUCGUGUGACGCACUUUCGGUGGUAGAAUGCCUCUGAUAGUAACUGGCAAGAUUUGUGUGAUUAGCACGUGGCAAUCGCGAGACUUCAUUCCAACAAGUUUUAGAUCGUCCAAUUUAACAUACUUACUUAUCCUCGCUGAAUAGCCCGAUGGAACUUUAAUAUCCUUCAAGCAUGAUAACAUUGCGAUCUUCUCAUCCUUCGACAGUGUGUGGCAGGCUGGAGGGAGGUACACUUUACCUGUCUCUGCAUCUUGUAUGGGCUGGAAUUCGCUGCGAAUAUUCAUGUCCUGUAGAUCAAGGCGCGCGUUCAACCCGUCCUUUGUCUUCCCGGGAAUAUUCAACAUCAGGCCAACCAAACUCUCACACACAUUCUUUUCUACAUGCAUGAGAUCAAUGCAAUGACGGACAUCAAGAUCUUUCCAGUAAGGUAGCCGCCAAAAUAUGGAUUUUUUCUUCCACAUACCCUUCUCCUUUGUCUUGCUACGUUUUCUUUUCUUCCCAAACUCAUUGCUUAUGUCCUUGACCAUAUUGUGGACCUCAUCUGCGGACAAAUCUUUGGGAGCAGGCUGAAGUUCUCUCUUACCAUUAAAAAUUUUCUUCUUUCUUCUAAAUGUGUGACGUAGCGGGAGCCACCUCCGGUGACCCAUGUAUACCAUCUUUCGUGAUUUCUUCAGCCACCGGCUUCGUGUAUGUUCCUUGCAAUCGGAGCAUGCCUUCUUUCCUUUUAUAGUUUGUCCGGAAAGAUUACCGAGUGCAAGGUAGUUAUUAAUGGUGCAAAACAAUAGAACUCUUAGCUUGAAGUUCUCCUGACCAUAUGCAUCCCAAGUUUCCACACCUUCUUUCCAAAGAAUCUCCAGAUCGUCGAUAUCAUUGCCGGGUUGCCUUGGACCUUGGAUUAACAAGCACAACAUAAUAUAUUUCCGUUUAAAGCAUAACCAUGGUGGGAGGUUAUAGUUCGCAAUAAGAACUGGCCAAGUGCUGUGAGUACUACUCAUGUCACCGAAAGGAUUCAUGCCAUCCGUACAAAGACAUAUCCUCAUGUUUCUAGGGUCAGCAGCAAAGUCUUUGUGUUUUCGAUCUAUAUUCCUCCAUUCAAUCGAAUCCGCUGGGUGUCUAAGCAUACCAUCAUUCCUUCUUUCCGUGGCGUGCCAACGUACUAACUUCGCUUCGUUCGGGUUGGCAAAGAUUCUCUUGAAACGAUCAAUGAUAGGUAGAUACCACACAACCUUUGCCGGACCACCCCUCUUUGACUUAUUUCCUUCGUCAGCACUUUUCUUUCGCUUGUAUCGAGAAGCCUUGCAGAUAGGACAAGCAUCCAAGUCCGCAUAUUGCUUGUGGUACAAUAUGCAGUCGUUGGGACAAGCGUGAAUUCUACGGACCUGCUUUGCUUCGUAUGUCGUCUCGGGCAAUGUGUUCUCAACAGGAAGCAUAGCCUUCAAAAUUCCUAAAAGAUCUGUGAAACUCUUGUCUGUCCAUCCACUACUUACCUUCAGCUUCAUUAGGUCCAAGGUAACUGACAACUUAGUGUGUUUUGCUUUGCAUCCAGCGUACAAAGGCGUCUCGGAAUCACUUACCAACCUGCUGAAUUUCAUUCCAUCUCUCUCAUUCUGGGCUGGGUCCUCAACGUCACGUAACAUGUCUUGCAGCAGAUCGUGAUCCACAUCAACCAUUUCACCGCCCAAUGGAGAAGGUAUAAACAUUUCAUGCUCAUUUUCAUCUUCCUGAUUAUGCGCACCACUUCUGUCUGCUGCUGCUCCACUUCCUGAUUCUUGCUCUCCAUACUUCACCCAACAUGUAUAGCCCUCCAUGAAUUCUCGUUGUAUCAGAUGACCGUGUACGUCCUCUCCGCUAUCAAACAUAUUCUCGUUCUUGCAAUCUGCACAUGGACAACACAUAUAAUCACUGUUUCUUCUUAUCCGAUCCUCCUCCGCGGCGUUCAUAAAUUUUAUUACGCCAUUUCGGUACUCCGUAGAAUGACGUUUCAAAUUUUUGGCAUACAUCCAACUUCGAUCAAUUGCUACAAAAUAAAAAAAACAAAUUAGAGGCACAUAUUAUAAGAUCAGUAUUGCAAAAGUAAGACGUGAUGAAAUUGCUCAAUUAAUGAUUUAUAUUACUCACUUGAUUGAUCCAUUUUGAUCACUUUUGGGAAUUUAAUUUCUGUUUUCCUUGGAAAAAGGACAAAAAAUGCCCCCAACAGCCUCCCACCAAAAUAGUGAACAGUGGGAUACAGUUACACUAGGUGGUGGGGGGUAUUUAUACUGUGCAACAAAUAUCUGUAACGGCCCUAAAACAAUCAACCGUGACGGGCAUACAAGUAAUCUCUAUCGGGCCUUAAUAAAAGGCCAUCAAAAAAUAGUGUCAUCUGUGACAGGCAAUAAACUUAUCUCAAUUGGGCCUCUAGUUGGAGCCCAUCACAGAUGACCCUCAUCUGUGACGGGCUUCUUUUAGGGCCCGAUUGAGAUAUGGAACCCUCAUCUCAAUCGGGCAUCAACUAUAACCCGUCACAGAUAAGUGUCAUCCGUGACGGGCUUUAGUUUUAUGCCGAUAUACUAUGGCUGUGCGACCAUAUCUCAAUCGAGCGAAACUUCGGCCCGAUUGAGAUUACUUCCUUGUGACGGCCCGCAAAUUCCAGUCUUGUUAUGGGCCGUCACAGAUGGAAGGAUCUGUACUAGUGUCCCAUGCAUGACGGUGAUGGUGGUGUAGAUGUGUGUGGGCAUCGACAACGGUCCACGGCCUCGUUGGUCCGUGCGCCGGUGUUGGUGACGUCAUCUUCAUAUAGACUCUUCCCGCCCUGCCAUUUAGCCUCGUCGGUGGAGGUAAAGAUGGUGCUCGUAGUGGGGACUAGCAUGGCAUUGGCUGGGGUGAGAAUAAGAUGACGGUGUCGGUAGUGGUGCUGAGCUCGAGUAUGUUCAUGGUGGCCAUGAAGAGGUCAUCAGCGAAAGCACAAAUGACAUCGGUGGUCACAAAGAAGUCAUCUUGAUAUUGCUAGGAGUAACAGAGACACCAGUGGAGAUUCCAAGCUUGUGGUCACUUGCGGUUGGGGUAGAAUCACCCAUCUAGCCUAGAUGGCACUGGUCGACCAUUAUCAUGGUACAUGAGUCAGCCUACUGAUCGCUGCAGCACGCACUUAGUAUUGAGUGGUUUUAUGGGAUGUUAGGGGCAUAGCCUAGCCUGGGAACGAUGAGAUGCGUUCCAGGAGCUGGGUGGCCCUCUUGUAUAUGCGCCGACAAUCGGGGCUGAACUCAAAUGAUGUUGAGCCGUCUCCGAUCGUAGUGACUUGACUCGGGAGUGCGCCGAUGGCGGCCAUGAAGAAGCCGUCAUGUGUAUGGGCGCUGCGGAGUGAUAGAGGCACCGGUGGGGAUGCCGAGUUCGUGAUCACUAGACGGUGAGGUGAGGAUUCAUGUGAGGAUGACACUGGUGGCAGCAGCGAGUCGGAGGACUUCGCCGGCAGCAGACGAACGGUGGCGGGGCAUACAUAUAUAUAACUGUUUCGUUCAUCGAACGGAUGAGGUUGGCGAGCGUGACGCCAUCGUCGUUGGCGUGAGGAUGACUCCGGUAGUGACGAUGGACGUGAGGUCAUCAUUAGCCGGCGGAUACUCCAAGCACGUUGGUGAUAACAGUCGGCGGAUCCAAACUUGCACGUUGGCGACGAAUGCGCGAUUGGCACCGGCAACGGUAACAAGGCCGAGCUUGUCAUCGGCAGAGAAACGACCGGCGCCAGGACGAUGACCAGGGACAGGUUCGCCAUUGGUGGCAGCCAGGAGUAUAGACGCCGAUGGUUGAUGACCACACCGACGGCAGCUCCAAGCUUGAGAGACGGUCGGCAGGGGAGAAACGGUCGGCGCCGGCAACGAUGACCAGGAUCAGGUUCGCCAUCGGUGGCAGCCGCGAGGAUAAACGAUGAUGAUUGAUGAUGACACCAGCGCCGACUCCAAGCUUGCGCCCGUUGUCGGUGAAGGCACGGUUGGCGCCGGCGACGAUGACGGGGUCAAGCUCAUCAUCAGUGUCAGCCAUGAAGCGAACACAGGAGGUCGACGAUGCGCGAGCACAUCACCGGUGGUGACGGCAGGAGUGAAGACGCCUUGACCGUGCGGGCCGGUGUGAUGACCGACGGCAGCGAUGCCAUGAUAUCUCCCAACAGACCACCGAACCUCGUCAUCACCGAUGAUCCGCCACCCUUGCGUGUAUGCUAGCUGAAAUGGAGAAGACAAGAGACAAAGAAACAAAUAGCAUUACACAUGGCAGGUAGCAGCAUCACCGCCAUGUGCUGCCGAUCACGACGUUCCACCUCUUCUUCUCUGUAUGUGUGUCUGCUCUCGGCGGCGAUAUGGCGGCACAACUUGUGCUGCGUGUGUGUCAGUCUCUCUUCUCGUAUGCCUCUGCGUUUCUGUCUUCUCCCCUCCUCCUUAGCACGCCUCCUCGCCGGACGCCGAGAUACUGCGGCCAACGUCACCGGCCGCCGAGCACACGCGUUCCCGCCGGACGCCGAGAUACUCCGGCCGAAAUGGCGUGUGCCUCUCUCUCUCUCUCUCUCUCUCUGUGCCUUUUCGUGUGUGUGUUCUGUCUCUGUGUGUUGUGUCCCUGUGUUUCUCCUGUCCCCCUGUAAAAUGAAAUGGACAAUCUUUUAUAGGGGUGAUAAGUCGGUUCACAGGCUAGCUCAUACAUGGAUUAGUAUCUGCUCAACCAGCCAGCCGCUUCCAUCUAUAAGCCAAAUUUCCAUUUAGCAAAUAUCAUGAUUAUGAUAAUUCCAUUGUAUUGUGAUAUGAUUAUUGAAGCUUCCAUUCUAUGGUGAUACGGAGAGUAGUAUUUCCAUGUGAAAUCUCAGGUGCUUGCUGCUAUUAUCUGUUUCGUUUCCAAUCUGACGUGAUAUGGAUCAAUUUUCCUUGUAUACUUAUACGCUCACGCACUGCUCAUAGAAAGAAACUUUCAUAUAGAGCUAUCUUGCCCUUUUGAUUUCCUUGGUUUCCAUGCAAGCAUGUACGUGGUUUCCAUGCAUAUGAUGUGAGAGAUUAACGGCCGGCAAAUCAUGUGAUUAACUUCCUCUAAUGACAGUGAUACAGUGGCAUAUGCUUCCAUUCCCAUGAAAACAUUCACACCUUUUUCCUUCCAUCAGCCAACCAUGAAAUUGGAUCGAUCACCCUAUAUCAAAAUGUCGCGAGUACGUAUAUACUAGAGCAGCCGACGGCAAGUGUCUCACAAUAUUCAUACGUAUACGCCAUGUACGCCAGGUUGUGUUAUUAGUGAUAAUUAAUCACCAAUUUCGUUAUUAUAUCGCCGUUCCCGAAAUUAAUACUUUGACACACUUCAUUUCUUUCAUUUAUAAAAAAAAUGUACAAAAUAUCGUCGAACAUAAAGACAGAAAAAUAGCAGUUAAAUCUAUAAAUGAUAGCCGAUCGGCCAGUUGCCGAUGACAUAUCAUCUAUCUUUGAGCCAAUGUUGUAUUUGAGUCGAUCGCAAAUAUAAAUAAACAAGAACGAACUAAAUCUAUUCGAUCAGCUGUGGUUAUUAAUGAAAUAUAAUCCUAAUAUCGAUAUAUACUUAAAUCAAAUGAUUGGGAUAGAUCGGUCGCCAUGCCGAGACAAUAUAAAUCACUUAGAUCGAAAUAUAUAUUAACAAGAAGAUUAUAAGCAUUCAUAGCGUAGUCGAUUAGAUAGAUCUAGCAUGUAUCGGCUAAUACUUCGAUACAACUCUAUAUUGAGAUACUAAGACAAGCAGAAUAUACCAAACAAGAAGCUUAAUAUACCUAAAUGCAGUAAUAUCUUAACAUAAAGGGCAGAUAUAGCAUAUCAAUUAAGCACAUAAAAUAUGAAGCUAAAUCAGGUAAGAUCGGUUGAAACCCCGACACUACCCUAAUCGGCAACCAAAAGCAGGCUAGAGAUUAUGAUUCUAAUCACGACUUAUAAGAUCAAACUCAACUGAUACAGCUAUAAGUAUGAAAAGAACAAUAAAAAUCUAGACAAUCAAGCCGUUGGUUGUUUCAUAGGAUGGUAGAUACCCUAUAUAAUCUAAGUUAACAUUGAUAUUUAACCUAAUCGGCUGCCUUCCAACGAUAGAUGUUAGCCGAUUUGAAGGUUAGAUAACGAUAUUGUCAGAGAUUAUAUAGAGCAUAUGAUAACUCGACGAAUUACAUAAACAAGAUUAGAGUAUCAUAAAGAUGGAAGCACUAAUCCUGAGAACGCAAGCCACCAUAACAAGUUUUACCUCUGGUUGAAGAUCGAAACCAAUGCAGCUCAACCCGAAAGCAAAAACUCGUCGAAAGUAAACGAAAAGUAAAGGGUAGCGAUGCGCCGAGAUUGUUAUUGAACGUGUGUUAUUUGAUUACAUGGGUUCGGGUCAUAUUUAUACCCAAGAUACAAAAUAUGUCCUUGUCGGACAUGACUCUUAUCUCUAACAAACUCUAAGAUACCAUAAGUCUUUGCGGCAGACUUUUGCCUAAACUUAUCUCUAAGGAAAUUACAUAAAAUAUCCUAAUUAAUAGAUACAAUUGCCUCCUCAGGACUCAAUCCGUGCAUGGCAAUCCAUAUGAAGCACAUUAACUCAAUCCGACAACGUGAACCAAGUCAUAUUGCUGGAAUAGGCUUAAUCGGCUAAUCCUUGUUCGACUCGAACUCUGCUGAUCCUGAUUGCAGCCGAUUCAGACUUUAGCCGAUCCUCGCUCUGUUUCCGUAACGAUCUCCAUCCUGGAUUCUGCUUUGGUUUUAUCUUCAUCUCCGAUACUUGAAUUAUCAAAUUUGGUUAUUAACAAUAGGUCCAAGGGGAAUUCGAGUUUUCUCCAUUUUUUAAUGGAAAAUCACCACAGAACUUCAAGCAAAAUGGAAAUUUCUUUUUUUUUUGAAAAAGAAAAGAAAAGUAGCUAUUCCUCAACGCACAAUCCCAACCUUGUAAACAUUUAAUUAGGAGAGUAACUAUACAUCGCUAGAUAUUUUUUUAAAAAAAAUACUUUCAAUAGUAUAAUUAGUGUUUAAUUAUAUUAAAACUAUCAUGUAACCAAUAUAUAACUCGUAUAUAACUUAAAAAAACACGUUUGUACUUAGUUGGCUAGCACCUUGAGCAUCCACUUUCAACUGUUGCAAGUUUUUUUUCCCACCCUACAUGACUCGAAGCAACCCAACAUUUAGAAAUUUGAAAGUUCUAGAAGACCAAAAAAUUUUCUAAUGUUUAGUGAUUCCGAUAACCAUCGCAAGUCAUCAAUAAUACUUUAUGUGAUUGAUCAUUGAUACAAAACAAAUCCACCCGACAUGGUGUCAGAAAUGUUGUAGCCAUAAAAUUGCUUCCUCAUUUUUUUUGCAUAUGGUUCGUAUCGCCGAUCAGACAGAUGACAUAAUAGCGUUGCUUAAUUAUACAAAUAGCACGAAUACACUAACUAAAUUAUUUACCCUACUAUAGUUUAUCAACUGCAGUCCUAUAGAAACUUUAUUCAUUAAAUCCAACGACCUAUAUCGUCCAACCCAACGCUCCAAAUCAUCUCACGUUCCCCCUCCCCUCUCUCCCACUUUGCCUGCACGGGUCGCACGCCACCCCCACCAUGCGCCGUAUCUCGCAUGCGUUGCACCAAAUCCUAGCUCAAGUAUGCCGCAGCCCGCAGGCGCUGCCGCGCCAUGCCCCCCGACCCUCUUGCCGGUCUCCUCAGCGCCACCGUCGCGCUGACCACAUCCCCUUCUGUACCGCGGCACCACCGAAGACUGUGUCGUGGCAGGCGUAGUGCUGGGGGACCUACACCCACACCCAGCCAUCGAUGAGCUCCUGGAGGUGGAGGGCAUCUCUCUUGCCAGUGGCCUGACUUCUCCCUCCUCGGCUCCUCACCUACGCCGACCUCCUUUCCUCCGCAGCCUACCUCGGAGUCACAGAUUGUCACCACCAACAAGGUCAGUUCCUAUCACCCCUGCUCCACUUCUUGAAGAGCUGUUCCAUUUGAUGAUUUUUGUGGCAGCAGAGCAUAUAUGUGAGCCUGACAGGGAAGCUCGAGGACGUCAUGUGGCAGCCAUGCAGGUGGCCAACUCGACGAUGGCAGGCACAUCAGGCACAACUACAAGAGAUUUUAUGAUAAGUGACGUUUCAUUUACGUCACAAACAGUGAAAUUUACGUCAUGUUAUGUAAUCUGUGACAUUCGUCACCUAUCAUGCGUCUCUAAUGGCGUUCUAUGACGAAAUCUUAUUUUUUGUCAUUAAUCUAGUGACGAUUCUUCUGUCGUGAUAGAGUUAUGACAUCCAUUUUCGUCACCAUCAAGCCUAAAAAUCGUAAUGAGAUUCUAUGUGGCCUAUUAAGGUCCAUAUAGUGAGCAACUUGUUUAUGGGGUAGACCUAUUGUAAGUCCAAUUAGAUUUUAAUAAAUUCAGCCCAAUUAUACUAUAUCCAUCCAUAUUAAGUGGGCCAUACAUAUUCAAAAGGGCCAAUAGGCCCAACCAUUGCAAUGAAAUUGAAUCUAGGCCAUUGUCACGCCCAGAAAUUCCCGAAUAGAAUUCCAAGCAGAAUGUGCAUUAGAAUCCCCGUCCAGGACCGGCCGAGGUACAUAAACGACAAAGUUUACAUACAGAUCCACGUCUUACAAAUAUUAUAAAAGUCUUACAUAAAUGCAGCGGAAAAUUAAAAGGCAAUUGGAGCUAAGCCUCGACUUGGACUGCAGCGGGAACACCACUCCACAGGCAUCCUCGACGGCACGGACGGAGUCUACUCCUCGGAGAAACAACCAUCUGACGCAUACUCAAACUCUGGGGUUUGGGGAAAAUAGAGCAAGACUAAGUACAAUCACCGUACUCAGCAAGUCAUACCGGAAUAGGGGUAUGAUGCAGGGAAUUAUCAAAGGAUAGCCAUAGAGGUUCUUUUGCAUAAAGCGAGCAUUUAUAAACAGUAGUUGAAAGCAGAAAAACAGUUGUAGUAAUUAAUCAAUAUUAACCAUCCACUGUCCAACGCUACACCACGUUGCAACAGGCCCAACCAUCCACCUAGACUAUUCAAUUCCAUUAGACUAGACUAGGGUGAGACUAAUCACGGUGAAUCUGGUUGACCGCCCAGAACCGCGGGCACGGCUAUUCGAAUAGUUUUACUCUGAUCAGAGGUGUACAACUGUAUCCACAAGACACAGCCCCACGACACGUUUCCGUGCGCCGACAUGCCACCAUGACAUAACGAAUAGAGGCCGUGACAGGACCCUUCGCAUAACCCCCUCUAACCAAGCACACCACACCUCAGGUUUCACCCCCACUCCUCGCAAGGCAGCGGGCAGUCCCCUCUCGUGCCUAGGUGAAUCCGGAAGCCGCAUAGGCCGUCGCAGGGCCCAUCCAAACUCCAUCACGCCCACCCUUGCCUGGAUGCGUCAGCUAGAGGAAAGCUACACUACAAGCCCAGCCGUUGCCCACGCUGGAUUGUGGUAAGUACGAUAAGUUCUUCCACGGCAUCCCGCGAACCGGUCCUUAAAUGCCAUGGGCGCGACCAGUAAAACCAUGCACCCACAGCCCACCAUAUGAUUUAUUUUAAUUAAGCAACACCAGGACGGUGGCACUAAUCCAACAUUAACAUUAGAACCUACAGUCUAUACAUUAAUAUGAUUUCCCCCAUUGUGUGCUAGUUGAACUAAGCAUGGCUAAGCAAUCCCUGGUCCAACAUCUAGUCAUGUCACAUCCCAAGCUAACAAAGGAGCAUGGUACAAGAAUAGCAUGGCUAUAACAGUAGGUAAACAUUCCAUAGUAUUAUUGCAAAACAAUGCAGUAUUUGAAGGAAAACAAUAGACCAUUUGCAAUAUAGGAUCAACAUGUUCAAGUGACAAGCAUGACUUGCCUUGCUCUGCUGCUGGAGGAACCUCGGCGACUAUUUCAAAGUACACCGGAGCGUCGGGAGAGCCGGAAUCUAAGCGACAUACAAAGCAAACAAUAAAAACAGGCUAUAAGACUAUUGAAAUAGAGAACAAAACCAUUUUUGAUGGACUCUACAAAUUUUUCUUGAUUUACUGAGACUUGAAUGGGCUUAAACGGAGCUCGGAUGAAUUAGAUAUGAAUUUUAGAAGAUUCACUGUGUUUUUACUAUAAACAGAAAAAUCCUUAAUUGAAUUAUUGCGCAAUAAAUAAAUCCCGGGAGAGAGAGAGGGGCGGCGCCGACAUGCGGGCCCCACAUGGCAGUGACUCGGGGGGGCGGUUCACGGUGGACCGAGUCCACGGACCGGGGAAGGCGCGGUGCACCAUGUGGCGCUGACGUGGCGCCGACGCGGCGGCCACGCGGCAGCCACGCGGGCGGCCGAACGGACAGCCUCGAUCUACCGCGGACGGCGGAUACGGCUCGCGGCCGGCGCGCGCGGGCACGGCUCAAGCCGGCCCGGCGGCCAUGGCGCUUAUAGCGGCGACGCGAGGCGGUGACCGGCGGCGACCGGGGAAGGGGUGGCGCACCACGUGGCGCUGACGUGGCGCUGACGCGACAGCCACGCGGGCGGCCAAGCGUGGAGUGGGUUCCGGUGGCGGAUUCCGACGGAGGAGGGGUGGACGGGACGGCCCGCACGACGGCGUCGACGGCGCGGCUCGGCACGGCGGCUAGCGGCAGCUAGUGGCGACCGGAGCGGCGGCGGCGGCGGUGGAGAGGAGGGCGACAGCGCUAGGGCGAUAGAGGGCAAGGGGAAGCUUGGCGAAAUGGGGAAAAAGAGAGAGGGGAGAGUGGGGAUGCUUAAAUAGGGGAGAGGGAGCUCGGACGUGGCUGGGAGAGGCGGGAAUCGCCGGCCAACGUGGGGGUAGUGGGAGAAGGGAGAGAGGCGGGAUUCGAAAAUCGAAUCCCGGCCGUCUCGAGCGCGGGCGUGGGCGGGAGAGAGAGGGAGUGGGCGCGGGAGACGCGGGCGCACGCGCGGGCGUGGCCGACGUGGCCGAUGUGGCCCGAAGGAGGCGGGAGCGUGGGCGCGGCGGCGGCGGCUGGAGGUUGGGGGAGGACCCGACAGGUGGGCCCCACCUGUCGGCGACCCCGGGAGAGAGGGAGUCGGGCGGCCGGUUCAGCUGGGCCUCGGCCGGGCCCAACGGGAAAAAGGGGGCAAGGAGAGAAUGGGCCGGCGGCCCAUCCCGAAAGGAAAAAGGAAGGGAAAAAGAAAGAAAAAGGAGGAAAAGAAUUUCCAGGGAAUUAAAUAUUGCUUGUAAUCAUUUUUAAUUGGUUAAAAUUAUUUCUAGAGCUCUGAAAAUUCCAUUAAAAAUCUUGUUAGCGUAUUUUGACAUGUAGAACUCAAGAAAAAUUCCACAUGCCAAUUCCGAUUAUUAUUUACAUUAAUUCCUUUAGGGUUUCACUCUUGCUUUUACACCGGUAUUUUCUUGGGACCAUUUAUAAAUUCAAUUUAGGCUUGGGAGAAGAACUUCAGAGUGUGACAAACCUACCCCCCUUUAAACAGAAUCUCGACCCCGAGAUUCGGAAGAGCUGGCGAAGAGGUGCGGAUGGGCGGCCUUUAACUCAUCUUCCCUUUCCCAAGUUGCCUCUUCUUCUGAGUGGUGGCUCCACUGAACCCUGUACAACCUGGUAACCUUAUUUCUGGUUCUUCUUUCUCUGGUCUCAAGAAUACAAACCGGCUUUUCCACAUAAGUCAGAUCUUCUUGAAUGUCGAUGUGCUCCGAAUCGGCUUGUUCUUCGGGUACCCUCAAGCACUUCUUUAACUGGGACACAUGGAACACGUCAUGGAUGCCGAUCAUGUUGGAUGGAAGUUCUAGCUGAUAAGCAACUUCUCCUCUUCGUUCCAAGAUUUUGUAUGGUCCCACGAAGCGUGGUGCUAACUUGCCUUUCGUCUGGAAACGGUGCACUCCCCGGAGCGGAGUAACACGAAGGUACACGUAAUCCCCUGCUUCAAAAGUGAGCUCCCUUCGGCGGUUGUCCGCGUAGCUCUUAUGUCGAAACUGGGCAAUUCUCAGCCUCUCUCUGACGGUUCUGACUUUCUCUUCUGCUUCCGUUAACACUUCUGUUCCAAACAGUUGACGUUCGCCUGUUUGAUCCCAGAAGAGAGGUGUGCGGCACUUCCGGCCAUACAACGCUUCGAACGGCGCCAUUUGUAGACUGGCCUGAUAGCUGUUGUUGUAAGAGAACUCCGCAUACGGCAAGCUUUUGUACCAUGUUCCACCAAAAUCAAGCACACAAGCCCUUAACAUAUCCUCCAAUAUUUGAUUGACCCGCUCGGUCUGACCAUCGGGAUGGUCUGCGGGUGGUAGGCUGUGUUGAAGUUCAGCCGGGUUCCCAAUUCCUCUUGCAAUUUCUGCCAGAACUUUGAAGUGAAUUGGCUCCCUCAAUCAGAUACUAUCUUUUUGGCUACUCCAUGCAGACACAUGAUUCUCGAGAGAUAGAGCUCCGCCAACCUUUUGCCCGUAUAAGAAGUAUGCACUGGAAUGAAAUAAGCAACUUUGGUAAGUCAAUCCACGACUACCCAGAUUGAAUCAUGGCCCGAUGAUGUCCUGGGCAGACCUGUUAUGAAAUCCAUUUUAAUUUCUUCCCAUUUCCAUUCCGGGAUCUGAAGAGGUUGUAACAAUCCUGCGGGUCUCUGGUGUUCUGCUUUAACUCGCUGACAGACAUCGCAGAGCGUGACGAAUUUAGCUAUUUCCCUCCUCAUGUUGGCCCACCAAAAUUUUUCUUUGAGAUCUUGGUACAUCUUGGUACUACCCAGAUGAAUGGAAUAUUGAGCCUGAUGAGCCUCGGUGAGUAUCAGAUCUUUCAGCUCUUUGUCAUCAGGCACGCAUAAUCUUUCUCCCAUCCAGAUUGUGCCAUGUUCAUCCUCAAGGAAGUCCCGGGCUUUUCCGACCCUCAUAUUUUUUUUUCAGUUCAGCUAUCUCCGGAUCAUUUACUUGAGCUGCUCUGACUUGAUCCACGAGCGUAGGCCGUGCCUCUAGAGCAGCUACGAACCCGUGUUCUACGAUUCCCACGUUGAGCCGUUCAAGCUCCUGCUGCAAUUCCUUACACACGUCCUCGGUGCAUAAGGCAUUGCAGUAGCUCUUCCUGCUUAAUGCAUAUGCCACCACAUUGGCUUUGCCCGGAUGGUAGUGAAUGCUCAUGUCAUAAUCUUUGAUUAGUUCCAACCAUCUUCGCUGUCGGAGAUUUAGAUCAGGUUGGGUGAAGAUAUAUUUCAGACUCUUGUGAUCCGUGUAUACUUCGCAGCGGUUGCCAAUCAGAUAGUGCCUCCAGAUUUUCAAAGCAUGAACCACCGCUACCAAUUCCAGGUCAUGCGUUGGAUAGUUCCCUUCAUGUGGACGCAACUGCCACGAGGCAUAAGCGACCACUCUGCCCUCUUGCAUUAGAACACAUCCAAGCUCGUGGCGGGACGCAUCACAGUAGACCUGGAAGUCCUUUGUUUGGUCGGGCAGAAUCAGAACUGGAGCAGACACUAAUCUCUUCUUGAGUUCCUCAAAACUCUUGUCACACUCGGCCGUCUAUUUAAAUUUCUCGUCUUUCUUAAGCAACUAAGUCAUAGGUCUGGCAAUCCUGGAGAAAUUUUCAAUGAACCGACGGUAACAACCCGCAAGUCCAAGAAAACUCCGAAUCUGUGACACGGUCUUAGGUGGGGUCCACUUGGUAACUGACUCCACAUUCGAUGGAUCGACUACCACGCCCUGAGCUGUAAUGACGUGACCCAGAAACUUGACUUCCGACAACCAGAAGUCACACUUGCUGAACUUGGCAUAUAAUUGGUGCUCCUUCAACUUCUCGAGUACCAGACGGAGAUGUUGCUCAUAUUCUUCUUCAGAUUUUGAAUAGAUGAGUAUGUCGUCAAUGAAUACCACAACAAACUUAUCCAGAAAUUCCAUGAACACCUUGUUCAUCGGGUUCAUGAAGAAUGCAGGUGCGUUGGUAAGUCCAAAAGACAUAACCAUGCACUCAUACAACCCAUACCGAGUGGUGAAGGCUGUCUUGGGGAUAUCCUCUUCCCGAAUUCUCAACUGGUGAUAGCCUGAUCGCAGGUCUAUCUUAGAAAACACUUUAGCUCCUUUCAGCUGAUCAAACAAAUCAUCAAGCCGCGGUAAAGGAUAUUUGUUCUUGAUUGUGACCUCAUUGAGUGCGCGAUAAUCAACACACAUUCUCUUCGUCCUGUCCUUCUUCUUCACAAAAAUGACCGACCACCCCAAGGUGAAGUACUUGGUCGAAUGUACCCUUUCUGCAGUUGCUCAUCAACCUGCUUCUUGACCUCUGCUAGCUCAUUGGCUGCCAUCCUGUACGAUCUCUUGUAAAUUGGAGUGGUCCCCGGUGCCAAAUCAACCCGGAAUUCAAUCUCUCUCUUGGGUGGCAUGGUAGUGAGGUCUUCGGGGAACACUUCUGGAUACUCGCAGACUAUGGGGAUAUCUUCCAAUUUCCGCGAACUCUUCUCCUCGGUGGCCACAAGGUUUUCCACCUCAAUCUGAUUUAAGGAGAUUCCUUGCUUCGGUGAGACUAGUGACUUGUACACCACAGUUUCUCCCUUCUCAUUGGUCAAGGUGACUGUGCGAUUCGCACAAUCAAUGACUCCCUUGAACUUGGUCAGCCAAUCCAUCCCAAGGAUGACAUCUAGAUCUUUGGAUUCAAGAAGGAUGAGGUUGGCUAGAAAUCGUGAUCGGUGUAUUUCUAUUAGCACUGAAGGGCUAUAACUGAUCGAGGUUGAACUAUUUCCCGGGGUAUGAACCCUCAUUAGUGUACUAAUCUCUUCUUUUCUUAACCCAUGCAUCCCAACAAACUUCUUUGAAAUGAACGAAUGCGUUGCACCAGAAUCGAAAAGUACGGUUGUAGGGAUUGAGUUAAUAGGAAACGUACCCAGUACGACCUCUGGUGCUGCUUGCGCCUCUUCUGCGGACGCGUGGUUGGCACGAGCUUGGGCAAACCUUGGCCCGGCACGCCUUAGCUUAGGGCACUUGUCAGCAAAGUGACCAUGCUCGCCACAGUUGAAACAGGACCUUGGCUUUGCUCCAGUCUCCUUCUUGGCUUGGGCUGAUGGAGCUGACUAUGCUGGUGCCAUUGGCAGGCGCGGAGCUGCACUGCGGUUGGGCUGACUUCCCUGGUGAUUCUGGCUGCCACUGGCGCCCUGGUGGAAGCUGCUCGAGUUGAAAGGGCGAUGCUGGCGGACGAUCAUGGUGGUAGGUCCACCCUGCUGUCCGGGAGUGAAGCGCGGGCGCUGGUGGCUUCCUUGGUUGGACCGGAACUGCGCUGCCUUUCUCUUCCUGUCCAUUUUGUUGCGCUGAUCCUCCUGACAGAUUGCCUUGUCAACCAGCUUCUCAAAGUCGGCAUAGUCUCUAGAGAUUAACUGGUUGGUCAGCUCGUCAUCCAGGCCUGCUAGGAACUUCUCCUGCUUCUCGGCGUCGGUGCGGACAUCCUCCGGUGAAUAUCGCGCUAGACGAUUGAACUCAUGGAGAUACUCAGUCACUGUCCUGUUGCCCUGGUGGAGUAUCCGGAAUUCCCUCUUCUCCUGUGCCACAACCCCGUCUGGCACCUGCACCUUCCUGAAGCUGCGACAGAACUCCGCCCAAGUGACUUCUGUACCUGGCGGGCGGGUAGCCAUGUGAUUGUCCCACCAAGCUGACGCGGGGCCCUGGAGCUGGUGUGUGGCAAAGGCGACCUUCUCCUGAUCAUUACAUUGCAGAAGGUUUAGCUUCUUCUUUAUGGCAUGGAGCCAGUCAUUCACCUCCAUGGGGUUGGUGGUGCUAGAGAAAGUGGGUAGCCUGACGCAUAGAAACUCUGGUAGCUUGGACUGAGGGGGAGGGGGACCAAACUGCUGCUGCUCGGCUUGCUGCUGCAUCCUCUGGUGCAUCUGCUGGUGCUGCUGCUGCAUCUGCUGCAUCAUGGCCGCCAUCAUCUGAGUCUGAUGGGCCAUCACUUGUGCGAGCGUCGGGUUCUCGGGGAGUGGUGGUGGACCGUGGCCAGAGGCGCUGUUGGGAUGCCCACCGUCGGUGCGUUCUUCGCCGUUGCUGCCCUCACCUACUGCACGGCUGCCAUUCCUGGUGUUGACCAUCUGGAGGGAGAGCAGACGGAGGGGGUGGAAAAGAAGAAAAACAGAUGCUCAGGAACUAAGCUUUAUUAUAUAGGAAUUUAAACUGCAAUUGUUCUGAUCUGAAUUAAAACACUUAAAACAGCAAGCAAAUCCUUAUUAAGAUAGCCAUAUCAUAGGCACAUGAUAUCGACCGUCGACUGACCCCCAAGCGAACAGACCUAAACACUCAAACUAAUAGACAAAUACUAAGCAGUCGGUAAACUAAGGGAAAGCGAGCCUAAUGCUCGGAACGGCUCCUGCGGUCGAUGGAGUCGAAGGCGUCCUCCUGCUCGUCACCAGGUCCCUCUGAGCGGCUCCUGGAGUCUUGCAGAUAUGUCUCGCCGCUGCCCGGCUCUGUGCCACUGGAACUGCUGCUGCUGUGGUCGCAGCUGCCACUGGGAGUAGCAGGCAACCAACCUCCAUUGCCACCGGCUGGACCCCUGGCGACUGAUGCUGGAGCGAAGGAGAGAGCGGACGCGGGAGCUGACACAGGGACGGGAGCCGGGACUGGAGCUGGAGCUACGGGAACUGCUGGAACUGCGGGAGCUGUGGGCGGAACUGGAGGAGCUGCGGGAGCUGCGGGCGGAGGUCGGUUCCUGGGCGCAAGCUGAAUGCGCACGGGUGUAGUCGUCGACUUGCGGGGCGUGGUGCGGAUCCGGACUCCUCCUAGCGCUGGGAGGCCCUUCAACUGAGCGUUCUCCUUCUUCAGGCGUGCUAUCUCAUCCUUCAAAGCUAUGAUCCUCACGAGCUUCCCAUCAUUCAAGGCCUUGGACAUCUUGUGCAGAUCCGAGUGCAUCCUGUCCAUUCCCCUCAUCACGGCGCACAUGUGACUGAAGGUGGUGUCGUUCUCACCGGCUGUCAGGCGAAAGGUGUUGACAUCGUCACCACUUGCUCGGCGAGGGUGGAAAUAGUACGCCGUGUUGCAGAAGAUGUAGUUGUGGCGCCCACGAAGUCUGGCCAUCAUCCGAUAUGCUGCCUCUUGACAGGCGUGAUCUGCGGUGCCUCCAGAUGCUUCAACCACCAUGUUAGCGAGGCAGGUGCCCACAUAGCCAUGAACCUCCAGACGAACACGGUGAGGAAACUCGCCACUGAGCGGCGGAACAGUCGAGUACUCUGGCGUGUUGGGGUAGCCCACCACUAGGGUCAUGUGAGCCAACUCUGCCACAAAGUCGUCCACGCCUUCUCCGCGGUGGUUGGGUGGGUGGUCGGCCAUCUAGAGAAGACAAAGGGGUAGGAUCAAUGCAUGCUCAAAUCCAAUUUAAAUAAAGCUGUAAAGGACUCAAAUAAAAUAAGCGAGUAAGAGCGGAAUUUUAUGCAUAGAUCAUUUUGCAUGAGAGCGAAUAAAUAAGACAGACUUACAUAGCGAUCAAAUAAUGAGAAAUUAUAUACUUACUAAUAAUAACAAUAAGAGCAUAAAUACCUAGCAACCCAUAUUCCUGAGUUAGGACCUAAUGCAUUCUUCCCAUCAAAUCCCGACUGACUGUCAAAUAAAUCUCAAAUAAUUUUACUAAAACCCUAGACUGACUUGAUUUGACAAAUCUCACUUAAACUAGCGACCAAGAUUUUUCCCUUGAACCACAAGAAUAGAUCCUAAUUUUCCUGGAACAAAUCCAAUUGCAAAGAAUAUAUGCAAUGAAAAGGAUUCAGAGGGCUCUUAGGUUUUUCCAUUUGGCUUGUCCUACGGUCAAGGUCGGCUCUGAUACCAACUUGUCACGCCCAGAAAUUCCCGAAUAGAAUUCCAAGCAGAAUGUGCAUUAGAAUCCCCAUCCAGGACCGGCCGGGAUACACAAACGAUAAAGUUGACAUACAGAUCCAUGUCUUACAAACAUUAUAAAAGUCUUACAUAAAUGCAGCGGAAAAUUAAAAGGCAAUUGGAGCUAAGCCUCGACUUGGACUGCAGCGGGAACACCACUCCACAGGCAUCCUCGACGGCACGGACGGAGCCUACUCCUCGGAGAAACAACUAUCUGACGCAUACUCAAACUCUGGGGUUUGGGGAAAAUAGAGCAAGACUGAGUACAAUCACCGUACUCAGCAAGUCAUACCGGAGUAGGGGUAUGAUGUAGGGAAUUAUCAAAGGAUAGCUAUAGAGGUUCUUUUGCAUAAAGCGAGCAUUUAUAAACAGUAGUUGAAAGCAGAAAAACAGUUGUAGUAAUUAAUCAAUAUUAACCAUCCACUGUCCAACGCUACACCACGUUGCAACAGGCCCAACCAUCCACCUAGACUAUUCAAUUCCAUUAUACUAGACUAGGGUGAGACUAAUCACGGUGAAUCUGGUUGACCGCCUAGAACCGCGGGCACGACUAUUCGAAUAGUUUUACUCUGAUCAGAGGUGUACAACUGUAUCCACAAGACACAGCCCCACGACACGUUUCCGUGCGCCGACAUGCCACCAUGACAUACCGAAUAGAGGCCGUGACAGGACCCUUCGCAUAACCCCCUCUAACCAAGCACACCACACCUCAGGUUUCACCCCCACUCCUCGCAAGGCAGCGGGCAGUCCCCUCUCGUGCCUAGGUGAAUCCGGAAGCCGCAUAGGCCGUCGCAGGGCCCAUCCAAACUUCAUCACGCCCACCCUUGCCUGAAUGCGUCAGCUAGAGGAAAGCUACACUACAAGCCCAGCCGUUGCCCACGCUGGAUUGUGGUAAGUACGAUAAGUUCUUCCACGGCAUCCCGCGAACCGGUCCUUAAAUGCCAUGGGCGCGACCAGCAAAACCAUGCACCCACAGCCCACCAUAUGAUUUAUUUUAAUUAAGCAACACCAGGACGGUGGCACUAAUCCAACAUUAACACUAGAACCUACAGUCUAUACAUUAAUAUGAUUUCCCCCAUUGUGUGCUAGUUGAACUAAGCAUGGCUAAGCAAUCCCUGGUCCAACAUCUAGUCAUGUCACGUCCCAAGCUAACAAAGGAGCAUGGUAUAAGAAUAGCAUGGCUAUAACAGUAGGUAAACAUUACAUAGUAUUAUUGCAAAACAAUGCAGUAUUUGAAGGAAAACAAUAGACCAUUUGCAAUAUAGGAUCAACAUGUUCAAGUGACAAGCAUGACUUGCCUUGCUCUGCUGCUGGAGGAACCUCGGCGACUAUUUCAAAGUACACCGGAGCGUCGGGAGAGCCGGAAUCUAAGCGACAUACAAAGCAAACAAUACAAACAGGCUAUAAGACUACUGAAACAGAGAACAAAACCAUUUUUAAUGGAUUCUACACAUUUUUCUUGAUUUACUGAGACUUGAAUGGGCUUAAACGGAGCUCGGAUGAAUUAGAUAUGAAUUUUCGAAGAUUCACUGCGUUUUUACUAUAAACAGAAAAAUCGUUAAUUGAAUUAUUGCGCAAUAAAUAAAUCCCGGGAGAGAGAGAGGGGUGGCGCCGACAUGCGGGCCCCACAUGGCAGUGACUCGGGGAGGGCGGUUCACGGUGGACGGAGUCCACGGACCGGGUAAGGGGCGGCGCACCACGUGGCGCUGACGUGGCGCCGACGCGGCAGCCACGCGGGCGGCCGAACGGACGGCCCCGAUCUACCGCCCGGUAGAUCGGACGGCGGAUGCGGCUCGCGGCCGGCGCGCGCGGGCACGGCUCAAGCCGGCCCGGCGGCCAUGGCGCGCGGCGGCGCGGCGCGCACACAGCGGCGACCGGCCCGCGGCGGAAGACGACGGCGUCGCGGCGACGCGGGUGGCGAUAGCGGUGGCUAAGCGGUUAGGCGGCGGCGCGGCGGCUAAGCGGCGCGGGAGAGAGGGAGAAAGGGGAGGAGGGGCCUCACCGGCGACGAUCGGCGACGGCGAGCGACGGAGGGCGACGGCGAUGGCGGGACGAGCUCUGGAACCACCUAGCGAACAAGAUGAGAGGGAUUAAAGGGAGAGAGGAAAAUGGGAGAGGGCGAGGACGCCGGCCAAAGGCGGCGGCCAUGGCGGUGCUCACCGGCGCACGGCAUGGAGUGGAUUCCGGUAGUGGAUUCCGACGGAGGAGGGGUGGACGGGACGGCCCGCACAACGGCGAACGCAACGGCGCGGCUCAGCACGGCGGCUAGCGGCGACCGGAGCGGCGAUGGCGGCGGCGGAGAGGAGGGCGACGGCGCUAGGGCGAUAGAGGGCACGGGGAAGCUUGGCAAAAUGGGGAAAAAGAGAGAGGGGAGAGUGGGGAUGCUUAAAUAGGGGAAAGGGAGCUCGGAUGUGGCCGGGAGAGGCGGGAAUGGCCGGCCGACGUGGGGGAAGUGGGAGAGGAGAGAGAGGCGGGAUUCGAAAAUCGAAUCCCGUCGUCUCGAGCGCGGGCGCGGGCGGGAGAGAGAGGGAGUGGGCGCGGGAGACGCGGGCGCACGCGCGGGCGUGGCCGACGUGGCCCGGAGGAGGCGGGAGCGUGGGCGCGGCGGCGGUUGCGGAGCGCGGUGGCGGCGGCUAGAGGUUGGGGGAGGACCCGACAGGUGGGCCCCACCUGUCGGCGACCCCGGGAGAGGAAGUCGGGCGACCGGUUCUGUCGGCCGGCCCAGCGGGAAAAAGGAGGGAAGGAGAGAAUGGGCCGGCGGCCCAUCCCAAAAAGAAAAAGGAAGGGAAAAAAGAAAGAAAAAGGAGGAAAAGAAUUUCCAGGGAAUUAAAAAUUGCUUGUGCUCAUUUUUAAUUGGUUAAAAUUAUUUCUUAGAGCUCUGAAAUUUCACUAAAAAUCUUGUUAGCGUAUUUCGACAUGUAAAACUCAAGAAAAAUUCCACAUGCUAAUUCCGAUUAUUAUUUACAUUAAUUCCUUUAGGGUUUCACUCUUGUUCCUUUAGGGUUUCACUCUUGCUUUUACACCGGUAUUUUCUUAGGACCAUUUAUAAAUUCAAUUUAGGCUUGAGAGAAGAACUUCAGGGUGUGACAGCCAUGCACACUCAAAAAGCCCAUAUAUCAAACAGAAUUAGCCCAAUUAAAAUCUAAAUCUGACAUCUUAUAGCCCAAUUAACAAAAUUCAGCUCACAUUUAAUACAUAAUCACAAAACAGGCUAUCAUAAAUUCAGAAAAAAAAAAGAUCACAGGUUAUCCGUAAAUCAGUUACAUGACAAGUCAGCUAAUUACAUCCACAAAUCACUAUCCAAAGCAUGUUCAAUUACAUCACAGGUUCACUGACCAGAUAUAAUACAUCACUAGUACAAGUCACUGACCACCAAAUCCAGCCAAAUGCCAAAUAGCCGUUCACACAUUGACCUAAGCAAAGUCAUAUCCAAAUCACACGAAUCAAAAGAUCUUGAAUUAGCAAGGUAACAUUAAGAGAAUAGACAAAAACCUUAUUGAGGCUGACCUGAGUGUUGCGGCCAAUCAAACGACAAAAGGGCAUAUGCUUCCUUGUUGCUUCCGAUUCAUCUAUCCAUAGCAAAAGAGGUGUUACUUAGGCACAACAAAAUCCUGAUGUUAUAUAUAGAAUUAAGCUUUGAUUAUGUGUAAAUUAAGCAAGCAAAAUGUGAGAUUGUCUAAUGCCAGUUGAUGUGCAUGAAUACUACCAUAAAUCCAAGAUUUUCCUUCAGCUAUCACGUUUUAUUUUGCUGCUGCAAAACUCUAAAUCAGCUACCGAAGCUAGCCAUUUCAUCAUAAAAAAACAAGCUCGCUGCGCCAUUGGCUGCGUAACUACAGAACUGAAGAGGUACAAUUUCAUGUAUUACACAAACACAUACAUCUCAUAAGUGCCCUUGCCUUAAUUAGCAUGAUAACUUCAAAGAGAGAAGCAAUAGCAGCUCCAUUUAGUAAUAACCCAAUUAUGUGGGACUUUUUGAAACUUCCUGAAGGUUCCUUUGAUGCAUGACAACCCAAAAUCAUCAAGAAUGAGGGUCCUACUGAAUUUAUGUCACCUUAAGCAAUUCUAUGACAUGAUGGUCUAAAUUUUAACAAUUGGAAGCUCUACAUGUACAAUUGCAGACACACCAAUAAUCAUUCAGAUCAGGAUACAAUUGUAAGCUCUACAUGUACAAUUACUUUCCAUGAAAUGAACUAAUAUUCUAGCCACCUAUGCAUUUGUAAUGCUUAGCAUAUCCAACUCUGUAAGCAAAGCUACUACUUCUACAGUUGUACUGCUUGGUUCGACACCAUCAGAAAUAGGACUAAUCAACAUGGCAAUAAUUCCCAACUACACGUUUCAUCCCAGAUUUGAUUGAAGGGUUAUUGCAGUUAUCUGCUACAUGGGAAUCACUGACAUUCAUUGUAUCAGUACUUACCAAAUUAUACAGUUCUUUAUAUAACAUCGAGACUGUCUAGAUGUAGGAAUUCAUGAUACUCAAUCUUCAAGAAUGAUUUUCCUCCUACAGAACAGCUUUUAUAAUCUGCACAUAGCAUUUACAAAUAUUUUGGGAUAAUGAAUAAUUCAUGUACCAUAUAAGAAAAGGAAAGAUAUUGUGCAGAAUUAGCCUUUUCGUACGUGUUUAAAUCAGCGCAUUACAUGCUGCAUUUGGCCUUCAUGUACUCCCGGCUGCUGCCCGGAGAGGUGGCGGCGGUAGUAGGUGUCCAUGCCACAGCCGCGUGCCUCCGCUGCGUCGCCAUGGUGGUGAUGCUACACUGGGGAAGCGGUGAGGGGGGACGAGACCCUGCGCCCUGACGAAGUCAAAACACUCCUGCAGCCUCCGCCUCUCGAACUUGGCAAACCGCAGCUCCGCGCCUCCGCCACCGCAGCUCGCCGUGUACACCAGCUUUAUCAGAGUCCCUGCGAACAAAAAGAAAAAAAACCCACGAGUCCAUCCCUCCACCACGACCGAACUACUUCGCGCGUGAGAGAGCGAGGAAAACCCGCGAGCCGAUGUCGAGCGCGAGGAGCAGGGGCGCGGCGGGCUGGCGCGGGAGGUACACGGGCGGGAGGGGAGCCGCCGCCGCCUCCACCGGAUCUGGGAGGAGGGAGGGGAGCCGCCACCGCCGCCGCCUCCACCUUCCGCGCAGGAACCGCCUGGAGCCGCCGCCGCCACCGCCCUCCGGCAGCUGCUCCGGCCGGAAUCCGCGCCGAGAGAGGAGAGGUGAGAGGGGAGGUGAGGGAAUGGGAGGGAUACCUGCCCCGGCUCAGACGCCGCCGUGAAGAGGCGGAGACGGAUGCCGGCGCUGUCGGCGGCAGAUCCGCCGCUCCCGAGCCUGGCAGCGGCAGAGACGGAGGCGGCGCGGUAAGCGGUGAGGGGGGGAGUAAGCCGGAGAGGAGAGGAGAGGAGAGGAGAGGAGAGUAGAGGAGAAUGGAUGGUAGUGUGGCGGCUGAGGGUGGAGAGAGAGAGAGGGGGGAGGGGUGGAGAGGAGGGUUUUAUAUGGGGCUAAGGUUAGGGAUGGCGAUGAGAACUAUUAGAUCGGAGAUGGACGGUCAGAAAUAGUUGGGCCAUUUGGGCCUAAACAUGAAUGAUCUUAUGGUAUUUUUAAUUUUAAUUUAUGAACAACAUCAAAUUUAAUUUUAGGCUGCUUUUUAUGUUUCAAAUGCAAAAAUCACAAACAACAAAAUUUUAGAACUCAUCGAGAUCUACAACUAUUGUAUUGGUCUUUUUUACAAAUAAGUUCAUUUGAACAAUUCAAAUUUUGAAUUUUUAGAAUUUGACAACUUCGAACAAAAAUUGGGGUUAAUAAAUGAUUUCAAAUGGAAAAGUCACCUAAAUUAAAGUUGUAGAACUCAUCAAGAACCAAAAUUUCUAUUUUGGUAAUUCCUCAAUCUAACUCUAUUUAAACAAUUUGAAAUUUGAAAUUCAAAGUUUGAGAACUUCAAAUAGAAAAUUUUAUUAGUGAACGACUUCAACUGAAAAAAGUCAUCAACAACAAAGUUGUAUAAUCCAUCUAGAUCUACAAUUCUUAUUUUGGUCAUUUGUUCAUCUGAUAAAGUAUUUUUUAACAUUGUUCAUAAAUUUUACAAAUCUUCCAUAUGGUUUCAUAAAUUAUAAGAGAGGUGUGUAAAUUUUGUGAACAAUGUUACUAUCACUUUAUCGGAUGAAUAAAUGACCAAAAUAAAAGUUAUAGUUAUUAAUGAGUUAUACAACUUUGUUGUUGAUGACUUUUUCAGUUGAGGUUGUUUAGUAUUUGAAAAUGUUGUUUAAAGUUGUCAUAAUUUGAAAUUCAAAUUCAAAUUAUCGAAACAAAGUCAUAUAGCAAAAUGACAAAAAUAAAACUUAUAGAUAUUGAUGAGUUAUACAACUUUGUUGUUGAUGACUUUUUCAAUUGAAAUCAUUUAGUAUUUGAAAGUGAUGUUUGAAGUUGUCAUAAUUUGAAAUUCAAAUUCAAAUUAUUGAAACAAAGUCAUAUAGAAAAAUGACCAAAAAAAAGUUGUAGAUCUUGAUAAGUUAUACAAUUAUUAUUGACAAUUUUUUCAUUUGAAAUCUUUGCUACCUGAAAAGUUAUUUGAAUUUAGAGGAGGGAGGUAAAAUGGACUUUUCGGCGAGGGGUAGCAAAAAGGCUGGGCCGGCGGCCCGAAGAGGGAGGAAGAGGGAGAGAUAGGCUGCGGGCUGAGGGAGGGAUAGAGUAAUACUUGGGCUGAAAAAGGCCCAAGUACAUAGAGAGGAAUUUUAAUUUGUUUUCUAUUUAUUUUAAUAGGUUAAAUAAGUUUUGUGGUAUUAAAAUUAGUUAUUGAGCUCUGAAAAUUCACGAAAAAUUUAAAAUAAUAAUUUAGACCACGUAAAAUAUUACAAAAAAUAUUUCCGUCCAUGAUUUUUAAAGGAAAAUUUUAGUUUCCUCAUUAAUUCACUUGAUUAAAUUGCGUUAACUUUUAAUACUCCAUCCAUCCCAUAAUGUAAGGUGUGCACAUAUUUCAAGAUUCAACUUUUAAACAUUUGGCCAACACUUAGUAUAAUAUAAAAUAUUUUAUUUGUUAAAAAUUAUAUCAUUAGAUUGAUAUUUAAAUUUACUUUCAUAUGAUUAUAGUUUUGUUGCUAUAAAUCUUAUAGUAUAUGAGAAAUUAUAAGCUAAAUAUUAGUUUUGGAGACCGUGCCAGCUUUUACCGCGCCUUAUAUUAUGGGAUAGAGGGAGUAUAUUUUUUUCAAGAAAUGCAUUAUAUAUAUCUAUGACAAAUUAAUAUUCGUCACAAUGUCCCAUUGAAAUACUUUAUGACGAUUUCUAGUUGGUGUUAAUGACGAACACAUUUUUUUCGUCACUAAGCCAUCCUCAUCUCAUACUAAUCGUCAUAAAAUGGAAUGUGCUAAUGACGAAGAGCUCCGAUGUCACGAGGAAUUCGUCACAGAAGAUCAUAUUUCUUGUAGUGAUGGCAAGGCAUGCAAUGGGGUAAUUGAGGAAUUGAAUCGUGAGUACUGCUAGCUCCAUGUAUAUGUAAUUCGCUUUCCAGUUAGCAGCACCAAAUUUUGGUCUCCUGCUGUCCUAUUUAGCAGCACUACUGAUUGUACUUUAGUUCCUAAUGAGAGUGCACACUAAUUUUGUUGAGGAAAACAAUUGCAGUUCCAACUAUAAUCAGCUGAUUAUUUGUGUUUAUUGUGUUGAGUGCAUUACGAAACAAAUUGAUUUCAUUUGAUCUGAAUAGUUUUUAAAGCAUAUCGAACAAAAAAAAACUACAAAACUGCUUUGAUUGUUUGAGAUUAGGCUAUAAUAUUACUUCAUAAUGGAGCUUUUCCUGACACUUUGACUAUCAUCUUCCGGUGUAGACAAAAAAAACCUUCUGUCGACUAGAGUUUGAUGUCGAUUUAUCCACACUUCUAUGACUUUUAGAGGAAAUGUGCUGCUUCAGUUCAUCACAAAUUAUAUGUGUUUGGAAGACUUAAAUUCAGAAUGAUGCGGUGCCCUAAUAAUUUUCUACAUUUUCUCUCAGGAUUGACCUUUCAAUUGCAUCUUAGACUUUUGCAUGGUCUACAACCGGUAAUAAUCUUCUGGUAAUAUCUACAUUUCAGGUGACCAGAGACCAUAACAUAUGCAAGGCAUAGACUUUUGUAUACUUUGGCAUGCUGUAGACUUUGGCUGGUUCUGAAACAUAUAGUCAUGAGGUAACCUAUCUGAUUAUUAAGUUUUAAUAUUUUCAAUUGGUGAUUUACGGUGUUGUCGUUGUCCACAUGCCUCCGCAGACGAAAAUUGUGCCUCGCCCGAGCCCCACUCUUUGUUAAUCACCACCACAGUCCCCUCGGCGCCAAGACGGACACCACCUGCUAGUCCAUAGGUUGCUGGUGGAUCCAGUCCGCCGGUCAUAGAACCCAAACCUUGGACUAACGCGGAUAACCUUUUUUUAGGAAAACUAUCAGACAUUUGUCCACAGUAUAAUUUUAUGAAAGUGAAUCAAAAUGUUAUUUACAAGACAAAAGAAGAAACACAAAUAACCUUUAUUGGGGCUUGAGAAUUUUUUUCCCCGAGAUAUUGGAUAACCAUUGCGUGGGCUUGAGAAUUCUUUCACCGGGCAUAUUGUUUUGGUAGGUACAUCUGUUAGGAUGUUGCCGUUUUCAUCGAAAGCACUCUUAAUGCUGUGCUUUGUGAGGGCAUAUAAUAACAGGUGAAUCUUCCCCUUAUAGAUGUUUUUGAGGAGCUGAAUACAUUUCACAAGGGGCUUUCAUCAGAAGAUGCUGCAGAAUGCUUGCAGCUGUCUGGUGCAAACGGAUUGGAGAAGUGUGUAAAUUGACUGCCUUUUUCUGAUCAUCGUUUACGUACAUUCCUACAAGACAAAAUUGACUGCCUUUUUCUGAUCAUCGUAUAAUUUUAUGAAAGUGAAUCAAAAUGUUAUUUACAAGACAAAAGAAGAAACACAAAUAACCUUUAUUGGGGCUUGAGAAUUUUUUUCCCCGAGAUAUUGGAUAACCAUUGCGUGGGCUUGAGAAUUCUUUCACCGGGCAUAUUGUUUUGGUAGGUACAUCUGUUAGGAUGUUGCCGUUUUCAUCGAAAGCACUCUUAAUGCUGUGCUUUGUGAGGGCAUAUAAUAACAGGUGAAUCUUCCCCUUAUAGAUGUUUUUGAGGAGCUGAAUACAUUUCACAAGGGGCUUUCAUCAGAAGAUGCUGCAGAAUGCUUGCAGCUGUCUGGUGCAAACGGAUUGGAGAAGUGUGUAAAUUGACUGCCUUUUUCUGAUCAUCGUUUACGUACAUUCCUACUCUGAACUUCUAGUCUUUUUCUUUACUUCAUUUUGGAGUAGAAGAAGAGCAUCACGUUCCUUAGCUUUAUGUGGAACCAUUUGUUGAGAUUAUAAGCAUAUAAUGAUUUAAUCUAUUCCAUAAAUAAAUCAUGACAUUACAGAUGAAAACUAGCAUGAACGCAUCAUUAGAUCUACAUAUAUAAACUACACAGUAUAACAUGAACAGAUCAAAUAUGCGCAACAUAUUGAACACGUACCGAGGUGGCGGAAAGACCGGCUGCUUGGUCGAAACUUUUCGCAGGCGUCUACGAAGGCAUGCAGCACGCGAGCGAAGAGGAAGACGAGCCGUCGCGGACGAACAGGGAGCAGUUGCGCAAAGCGCUUCCCAAAAACCUUAUUGCCGCCUUCUCCCGGUGCAGGACGUCGAAGGCAGAGGUUCCGGAGACCUGCUCUCCCGAUCGCCGGUGUACGCCGGCGAGCGGGAUGGAGUAAUCUACGAGCGACGGCGCAGCACAGAGUAGGAAGGCAAACCCUAGAUUGAUUUCGCGUAUAUUGCGUGAAGACGGCGGGUUGGUUUAUAUAGAGAAGGGUCGCUUGAUCAGGGCGCCCGCACGAUCUCCACUGCGCGUAAUCGAAUCGGAUAAGUCGCGCGUAACUUAUCCGGACUCCACGCCGUUUGCACGCACCGGAUUUUUCAGAACGUUUCCAAAACAAAAACGAAUCCGAAUUUGCAGCAAAACAAAACUGCAAAAGGAGGCUGCAUCUGCGCAAGGUGAGGAACCUGCCCUGCCAGGCGAGGCGAGGCGAGGCGAGCGAGUGCGCGCGUGUGUUCCCCCCUCUUCUCUCCACCACACAUGCUUCAAGUGGCUAGGAGGGCAUCCUCCCUUUUAAGGAGGUCCCCCUCUCCUAGAAUAAGCAAGGUGGUACUAAACUCCACAUGCAUGUCAUCCCAUGAGGUGGGCUUUUGUGAUUUUCCAAAUAAUUAAUCUUCGAGUGAGCUAAGGCUCAUUCAUUAAUUCCAACAAUCCCCCACCAAAUCUCAAAAUCCCACUGAGAUUUGCCUUUUCCAAUGUACUGUUUAUAUACCAGCGGUUCGAUGGAGACCGAUUAAGGUUGAACAUCCACCUAGAACUCCAAGCUACACUUACUCACAAAUUGAACAAUGGACUAUGCCUUGAAUUGCAAGUCUUAUGCAAGCAAGUUUCACUCAGAGUCUUAUCUGGUACUAGACCGUUUGUAGACUACCCCUCGGGUGGAGCGUAUAAGUCAUACUCCUAGGUCUAUAGUAAGCUUCCUAGAAGAUUCAGCCAAAAUCUCCAUAGACUGCGACCAACAGUCAAGCUCACAAAGGUGAGUUCUUUCAAGAAUGCUAUGCAGGACAACAUCUUCGCUAAUUAAAGCCAACAGAACUCAUUAAGGCAUAGCCAACCUGCCUUGCAGCUCACGAGAGUACAUGCAUCUUCACUUAGAGAGGGUAUAGAUUGGUACUCUCCUCUAGUUUACUAAUGGUUUGUUCUUCCCAGAUUCUAAUUCACGGGAUCUCCGAUCACAUAGACUGGGUUACCACCAUAGUAUAACUCACAUGGGUCUCAAACCCAUCUCCUUCGAUGCAUUGUCUAUCACAUUUCGUGAUAGUCCCUUCGUGAAGGGAUCUGCUAGGUUUCUAGCUGUUUGGAUGUAAUCCAACGUUAUAACUCCGGAGUUUCUUAAUUUCCUGACAGACUUCAAUCGUCUUUUCACAUGUCUAGACGAUUUCAUAUUAUCCUUAGAACUAUUCACUUUGACAAUUACCGUUUGAUUGUCACAGUUCAUAAGGAUAGCCGGCACCGGUUUUUCAACAAUAGGCAGAUCCAUUAAUAGAUCACGCAGCCAUUCUACCUCAAUAGUAGCAGUAUCCAGUGCCGUCAGCUCUGCUUCCAUGGUUGACCUCGUCAAAAUGGUCUGUUUGCAAGACCUCCAUGAAACAGCACCACCACCCAGUGUGAAGACAUAUCCACUAGUGGCUUUUAUCUCAUCCACAUCAGAGAUCCAGUUAGAAUCACUAUAACCCUCCAGUACCGCAGGAUACCCAGUAUAGUGAAGCCCCAAUUCCACAGUACCUUUCAGAUAGCGCAUUACUCGCUCAAGCGCACACCAGUGAUUAUCUCCCGGAUUAGAGGUAAAUCGGCUCAACUUGCUCACAGCAAAGGAGAUAUCAGGCCUAGUUGCACUAGCCAGGUACAUCAACGAGCCAACGAUUUGGGAGUAUUCUAGUUGAUUCCUAGCAAUUCUCUUGUUCUUGCGAAGCAACAAGCUAGGAUCAUAAGGUGUUGGAGAAGGCUUACUAUCAAUGUAGCCAAAGCGAUUCAAGAUCUUCUCCACAUAAUGGGACUGCAAGAGUGUAAUCCCAUUCUCACCUCUAAUUAGCUUAAUGUUUAAGAUAACAUCAGCUACUCCUAAAUCCUUCAUAUCAAAAUUUUGAGACAAGAAUGAUUUAACCUCAUUUAUCACCUCAAGGUUUGUCCCAAAUAUUAGUAUGUCAUCAACAUACAAGCAUAAAAUAACUCCCUCACCUCCACCAUGGCAAUAGUACACACAUUUAUCUGCCUCAUUGACUGCGAAGCCUGCAGAUGUCAAUGUUUUGUCAAAUUUCUCAUGCCAUUGCUUAGGAGCUUGUUUCAGACCAUACAAAGACUUCAACAAUUUGCACACCUUGCCUUCUUGACCUUCAACUACAAACCCAUCAGGCUGAUCCAUAUAGAUCUCCUCAUCCAGCUCUCCAUUAAGAAAAGCUGUCUUAACGUCCAUUUGAUGAACGAGAAGACCAUGUGAGGCUGCUAGGGAAAGUAGCACACGAAUUGUGGUCAAUCUAGCAACAGGUGAGUAAGUGUCAAAGAAAUCUUCGCCUUCUUUCUGAGUAUAGCCCUUAGCAACAAGCCGAGCCUUGUACUUUUCAAUAGUACCGUCAGGCCUAAGCUUCUUUUUGAACACCUACUUGCAUCCCACAGGUUUACACCCAUAGGGUCGCUCUGUCACCUCCCAAGUCCUGUUAGCGAUAAUAGAAUCUAUUUCACUACGGACAGCCUCCUUCCAGUAGUCUGCAUCAGGAGAUGCAUAUGCUUCUGAAAUUGACUUAGGAGUGUCAUCCACAAGGUACACAGUGAAAUCAUCACCAAAAGACUUAGCCGUCCUUUGUCUCUUACUCCUUCGAGGAGCUUCACUGUCAUCCUCCUCAGUGACAUGUUCAUGUGUAUGUUCAAUUUGUUCUGGUGGUGUGAUUGAACUGGGAAUUAUUUCAGAUGGUUGGCUCGAACUACUAUGUGUAUUCUUCAUUGGGAAAAAGCUCUCAAAGAAGGUAGCAUCACGAGACUCCAUAAUUGUACCAACAUGCAUGUUAGGUACCUCAGAUUUAACUAUUAAAAAUCUAUAGGCAAUGUUGUGAUAAGCAUAUCCCAGAAAGACACAGUCUACAGUCUUAGGUCCAAGUUUGUGCUUAUUCGUUAUUGGUACAUUGACUUGCGCCAAGCACCCCCAUGUGCGCAAGUAAGAAAGUGAUGGUUUUCUCCCGAUCCAUAUCUCAUAUGGUGUUUUGUCCUUAUUUCUGUUAGGAACUCUGUUUAACACAUAAUUUGAGGUCAACAAUGCCUCCCCCCACCAUGCCUUAGGUAGUCCCGCAGUGUCCAACAUGGCAUUCACCAAGUCAGUCAGUGUGCGGUUCUUCCUUUUAGCAAUCCCAUUAGACUCGGGAGAAUAGGGGGGCGUCCUCUCAUGUAUGAUGUCCUGUUCCUCACAGAAUAAGUCAAACUCGUUUGAGAAAAACUCUCCACUACGAUCAGACAUAAGUCUUUUUAUCUUUCUGUCAAGUUGAUUUUCAACUUCUGCCUUAUAAAUUUUAAAAUAGUCUAGAGCUUCGUCUUUCGUUUUCAACAAGUACACAUAGCAAAAUCUAGUAGCAUCAUCAAUCAAAGUCAUGAAAUAUCGUUUUCCACCCUUUGUCAACACCCCAUUCAUUUCACAAAGAUCUGAAUGUAAGAGUUCUAGUGGUGCCAAGUUUCUUUCCUCGGCAACCUUGUGAGGCUUGCGAGGUUGCUUCGAUUGCACACAACUAUGGCACUUAGAACCUUUGACAAUGGAAAACUUAGGAAUUAAACACAUGCUGGAAAGCCGAGACAUCAAGCCAAAAUUAAUAUGACAUAAACGUGAGUGCCAAACAUUAGCCUCAUCAUCCACACUGCCACAAAUAUGGUUCACAGACUUAUUGCAGAAAUCAGAAAGGGAAAAGCGGAACAGGCCUCCGCACUCAUAACCUUUACCAAUAAAAUAUCCAUGUUUGGACACGACUACUUUAUUAGACUCAAAAACCAACUUAAAUCCAGCUCUAGUCAGACGGGAGCCACUAACAAGAUUCCUGUCGAUAGAAGGGACAUGCUGCACGUUCUUCAGCUGCACGAUCUUUCCCGAAGUAAACUUCAGAUCUACCGUGCCAACACCAUGAACAGAAACAUGUGACCCAUUCCCCAUUAGGACGGUGGAACCCCGUGCGACCUGAUAAGAAGAAAAUAAUGAGAUGUCAGCACAAACAUGUACAUUGGACCUAGUAUCAACCCACCAAUUAGUAGACUGAUUAACUGAAAAAAUAGCAGGUAAAUUACCAUACCCGCUUCCAUCUCCAGUGUUGCUAAUGGUCACAUUAGCAGACUUAGAAGUCUGCCCUGUAGGUGCCUUCAUCCCCUUGCGCUGUGGACACUUCCUAGCCAGAUGACCAAGUUGGCCACACACAAAGCAAGUCCUCUCAUCCUGAUUAGGAUUGUUGUUGUUCUUCUUCUGCUUCUUGAAGUUGGUGGUCUGCUGAGCUUUGUAUUUCCCCUUGCUCUUGUUCUGGGCCUUGUGCACAACAUUGGCACUGGACUGCCCACCAUCGCCCUUAGACGCGGCAUCUUUUUCCCGAGCUUUCUCCUCAACAUCAAGAGACGCUAUCAACCCCUCAACGGAGUAUUCCUGUCUCUUGUGUUUGAGUGCAGUACCGAAACUUCUCCAAGAUGGAGGUAGUUUCGCAAUAAUGCACCUGGCCACAAAUUUGUCGGGUAAAACACACUUAAGGAGUUCAAGUUCCUUAGCCAUGGUUUGUAUCUCAUGAGCCUGUUCGACUACAGAACGGUUGUCAGCCAUCUUGUAGUCAUGAAACUGCUCCAUGAUAUACAGAUCAUUGCUAGCAUCAGUAGCACCGAAUUUAGUAUUCAGUGCAUCCCACAACUCCUUUGCGUCGGUCAUAUGCAUAUACACCUCGACCAGACGAUCGCCAAGAACGCUAAGAAUGCAUCCUACACAGAGAGUAGUGGCUUCCUCGAAUUGCUUCUGCUGUUCAGCAGUAAGAACUCCUUCAGGUUUGCCAGUACUCACCCAGAAGCAUUUCAUAGCUGUCAGCCACAGAGUGACCCUGAUCUGCCAUCUCUUAAAAUGCACACCGGUAAAUUUAUCCGGCCUCAGUGCAUCGGCAAAACCAGCCAUAGUAAAAUCACAGUGCCUAUAAUAAGUUUUUGGAUUGUUGAGAUUAUAGGCAUAUAAUGAUUUAAUCUAUUCCAUAAAUAAAUCAUGACAUUACAGAUGAAAAUUAGCAUGAACGCAUCAUUAUAUCUACACUUGUAAACUACACAGUAUAACAUGAACAGAUCAAAUAUGCGCAACAUAUUGAACACGUACCGAGGUGGCGGAAAGACUGGCUGCUUGAUCGAAACUUUUCGCAGGCGUCUACGAAGGCACGCAGCACGCGAGCGAAGAGGAAGACGAGCCGUCGCGGAUGAACAGGGAGCAGUCGCGCAAAGCACUUCCCAAAAACCUUAUUGCCGCCUUCUCCCGGUGCAGGACGUCAAAGGCAGAGGUUCCGGAGACCUGCUCUCGCGAUCGCCGGUGCACGCCGGCGAGCGGGAUGGAGUAAUCUACGAGCGACGGUGCAGCACAGAGUAGGAAGGCAAACCCUAGAUUGAUUUCGCGUAUAUUGCGUGAAGACGACGGGUCGGUUUAUAUUGAGAAGGGUCGCUUGAUCAGGGCGCGCGCACGAUCUCCACUGCGCGUAACCGAACUGCCAGGCGAGGCGAGGAGAGCGAGCGCGCGCGUGUGUUCCCCCCUCUUCUCUCCACCACACAUGCUUUAAGUGGCUAGGAGGGCAUCCUCCCUUUUAAGGAGGCCCCCCUCUCCUAGAAUAAGCAAGGUGGUACUAAACUCCACAUGCAUGUCAUCCCAUGAGGUGAGCUUUUGUGAUUUUCCAAAGAAUUAAUCUUCGAGUGGGCUAAGGCCCAUUCAUUAAUUCCAACACCAUUUGUCCUGAAUGAUGGAGGAAGCAACAGUGAUGGCAUUGGUCUUAACCAAUGGUGGUGCAAGUGAUCCGAUUUGUUUUCUAUGGUGUAUAGGAUAUAUACAUCCAUGGUUGUUCACAAAGGCAAAAUUCAAUGAGAGCAACCCAUAAUGGUUUUUUUCAAUAUUCAUUCACUCACUGUUUUUUUUCUCAAAGCCGAGGUCCUGAUUGGGAAGAUUUUCUGGGAAUUGUUUGCGUCAUGAAUCAAUUCAACAACCAGAUUCAUUUAGGAAAACAAUGUAGGCAAUCUUGCUGCUACACUCAUGGCCUAGUUGGCACUAAAAACAAAUGUUAUUUUGUAAUGUCGCACUAAAUUCCUUGUUUGGGGUCAUGCCUGCAGCUUGCAAGGAGUUUGGGGAAGUCAGGCUCACACUUCAACACAAGCAGUCAUCUGUUUCAACCAAAUGAUAAGAAGGAUCUGAUAACAUCAACUGCAUCUUGGCUAGCAAUGGGUUGGAUUCUCAACGGUCUGACCUUUGUGAUGGGGCCUCUUAAAAUGUUAAAGCUCAAUGGUGUUCCUCACAUGGUAUUAAUACAUUCUUUUGAUACACUCUUGCUUUUAGGCUACAAGGAAAGUAUUGACUGACAUAGCAUAGGCUACAAGGAAAGUAUUGACUGACAUAGCAUAUGGUACAGAGCAAUUAUGUAGUGUGCCAUAUACUUGUGGGAUACAAUUACAUUGUUUCAAACAUGGUAGAUUGAUUUCUGUUUCAAAAAUAUAUGAUGAUGUUCUCAACAUACUACUCAGUGUUGGUACUAUAUUGAUUUUUUUUAUAUAUAUUAACUUCUCAAUAGGUAACCAUCUGGUAAUGAGAUAAUGCUUCAUAUUUGAUACAUGAAUUGCAUUAUUUUCAUUUUUUUUUCAUUGGUAACCAUAUCUGUGUGUGUGUUGUUGAAGUCGACAAAUAUUGCUGGCACACACACAGGUCCUCUUUUGUUCCGUCCUUAUCAUUGAUGUUUAAACGCACAUGUUCAUCAUAGAUAUCGAGACAUUGAGUAGAGAAUGCUAAGUUUUUCGGAGACAAAGGUCUUUUGCAAGAUGACAGAAAAGUAAAUGAGAUAACAAAUUCUAUCAUAACCCAAGCUAAAUGAUUUGGUCUUCCAAAACCAAAGUGCUUUCAUAAAAAAAAGGGCUAUUCAUGACAAUUUCCUCUACAUGCAAAAUGUGAUUAGGCUGCUUCAUCGAAAGAAAAAAGGCACUCUCUUCAUCAAGGUGGACAUAUCGAAGGCCUUCUCGAAACCCUGCAAAAUCUGGGGUUCGGUCAAAAAUGGGGAAACUGGAUCUCCAACCUUCUGGGAACCUCAUCUUCCAGAGUGUUGCUUAAUGGAAUCCCAGGGGAACACAUCAAUCACGCGUGUGGGCUCAGGCAAGGUGAUCCUCUAUCACCAACGUUGUUUAUUCUCGUGAUGGAACCUUUGCAACAGAUCAUAAAGAAGGAGGAAGAGUCCUUUGUAAUCACUAAUCUUCCUCAAAGACAGGCAAGAUUCCGAUGCUCCUUAUAUGCGGAUGAUGUUGCUCUCUUCAUGGCACCAUCACAAAAUGACCUUCAAGCACUGAAGAAGAUCCUUUCCCUCUUUGCUCAAAUAAGUGGACUGCACACAAAUCUCACCAAAACUGAAAUCUUCCCAAUAUCAUGCUCUGGUAUUGAUGUUGAAGGCCUUCUCCCUUCUUUCACAGGAAGCCUGAAAUCUUUCCCCUGCAAAUACCUCAGUCUCCCCCUGCACUUCAAGAAAAUUAGGAAAUUAGACUUACAACCACUAAUUGAUAAGGUGGGGGGGGGGUCAUAUUCCAGGGUGGAAAGGAUGUUUCUUCACAGCUACAGGCCGCAAGGUCUUGGUGAAAUAAACUCUCUCAGCUAUGCCAAUUUACCACAUAUUUGUCAUUCCUUCUAACAAAUGGCUUUACAAAAGAAUUGACUGCUUUAGACGGCAUAUUUUGUGGAAAGGGGAAGAUCCGGAAGUGUUUCCGUGGGUUGUAGCCUGCUAAAUUGGAACUCGGUUUGCAAACCAAAGUAUUUGGAGGGGCUUGGUAUUCUAAACCUAGAAAAAUUCUCGAGAGCACUCAGGCUUCGCUGGCUAUGGUUUGGAUGGAAAGAUGAAACUAAGCCGUGGGUUAACAUGGAGACACCCUGCGAAAAAAUCGACCAUGCCCUUUUUCAGGCGGCAACAUAGAUCUCGAUAGGAAAUGGGAACAAAAUCAGGUUUUGGACAGACCAUUGGCUCGAUGGAAGAGCACCUCAACACAUUGCGCCCUCUAUUUUCAAGCUUGCCAAAAGAAAGGGAAAUAAUCUCCAGGUGGAACUGCAAGACAACCAUUGGAUUGCCAUGCUUAACCCGAUUACAUCUGUUUCGGAGAUUGAGGAACGGGUUCAGCUAGGGAGCAAAAUACAGGGUGUCAUUUUAGAUGAACAAAGAACAGACGACAUCUCCUGGAAGUGGACUGCAAAUAGAGAAUACUCGGCAAAGAGUGCAUAUCAAAUGCAAUUUCAAGGGGAGAUAACACAUACAAAUUUCUCAACUCUUUGGACAACGCAUUCUGAACCAAAGCAUCGUUUUUUUGGCUGGUUGAUCCUGCACCAAAGAACACUAACAACUGAAAACCUUCUCAAGAGACAUUGGCCAUGUGAUUGGAUAUACAGUCUCUGUAGAAGUGCUUUUGAAGAUUCAAAUCACCUAGCUAAAUAGUGUCCUUUCACAAGCAGAGUUUGGCACCACGCCUCAAGUUAGAUGGGCUAUAGUUCUUUCUUUCCUCAACAAACGACUCAUGAAAGCACAACAGAUUGGUGGGAUAUCCUAAGUUCUGUAAUGCCAACCGCUAUGAGAAAACAAAUCCUAGGAGCCGUGCUAACUACCUGGUGGAAUGUCUGGUUGGAGCGAAACCGUAGAAUCUUCCAACAUGUCUCACAAAAUGAGUUGCAGGUCGCCUUUGCUAUAAAGGAAAAUAUAGGCCAUCUUAUUAGCUCUAGACUCUCUUGAGCUAGAGAUCUGUUUAGGGGGGCUCACAAUCUUUGUAAUAUCGUAACACAGGCCCCUACUACAUGAGAGUCUGCGAUUUUUUGUAACCUUUAUUUAUUUCUUCUAAUAUAUCCUGCAAGUCUUUUGCCGUUAUACGUUUCAAAAAAACAUUAGAGUUGAUGGAUGGUUUCGAUUUUUAUGUCUACGCACUGAUUGUGAAGUUGUGCAUUAGGAAUUAUUUCCUCUGUUUCACGGUAAUAAGACGUUUUGGAUUUUGAAUAGAUUCAUAGAGAGAUCUACAUAUAUGUUUAAUAUAUUUGUCCAAAUUGAUAUGCAUAUCACUGAAUCAAGACAAGGAUGUCAAAAUGUCUUACAGUGUGUAACAAAGGGAGUAUAUGUUUUCGAAACAUGAAACUUUUUUACAAACAUAUAAUAACUCAUGUUUAAUUUUGAACCUUCUAUUUUAUGCUUGUUUGACAAAAACAUAUAUUGUAUUCCUUUGAUUAUUUAAUUUGUAUUACUAAAUAUUACCGUAGCGUUAGCACGAGCAAAUUACUAGUAUCAAAUUGUUUCUAUAUACUCCGUAUUUAGAAGUUUUUCUUCUGUCACUUUUGCAAGCAUGAAUUUUGAUAAUUUACCAUCUAAUUCGUGCGUCUUGAUCUUUUUACCACCUAAUUGCAUGCCUUCUAUAAUAUACAAUCAGGACUGCGAAUUGUUUUAUUUGACACCACUUUUUCCUUUUCUUUUAUGUAUUUCUGAUUUUCUAAUUCCAUUUUUUGUUUCCUUGUUAGAUUGUCAACAUUUUUGCCCUUGUCCCACAUGUCAUAUCAAAGAAAUGUUCUCUCCCAAAUUCACAAUCUUAGUCUGUCGCCGCCGAGCAUCACCCCAGCCACUGUGCGCCCUGCGGUGGUGCUGCCCUAGCCACUGAGCGCACAGCCCGACGUCGCUAUCCCCAUCUCAACGCCUCGUCCGUCGCAUCAUCAUGCAGUGGCCCUUGGUUGAGAAGAGGAGGCGAGGAGCAGGCCCCAAGGGCAAAGCAGCAAUUGGAAGAGAAGAUAGUGGCAAAGUUGCUGGUUUCUUUUCAAUUUUUCAAUAGAUAGAUUUUGGUCUCUGUUGGUGUCUCACGGUGCGACACGUCUUCAUUUCUUUUUCCUUAUUUACAUCUGGGUGAGUUAUUUACCAUUUCAUCAGGUUGCUCAUCGCUGCUUUACCAUCACGUGCAGAUGCCGGUUUGUUUGUUAGUUGGAACUUACUACUCCCUGUGUUUCUCUUUGAUUGGCUAGUCCAGUGGCUAGCUUAGAUGAGGAUGAGUUACCGCCUUUGUGUGCUGUCACAAUUUUGUUUGUUCUUCCUUCCUCUCCUGGCGUAUAUGUUUGCUUGUGUUUCCUUACACACAAAGGUGAGUUCCUCCACCGCGUCUACCUUAAUGUGCCUAUCUUCCAAGCUUUACCCUAGAGCUUGGGGCUAUCACUCCAUUUGCAUCGGUGGUUUGUAGGAUCGUGCACACCUUCGUCGUCGGUGUUGACGAUGGAGGAGUACUCCGACCAACAUUCACCACGUCGUAUGAGAAGAUGUUUUCUCAGUGUCCGCGUCGAUUGCCACGUGAGUGCAGCGUCUGACGAUGAUUGUUCAUCUCUGAGUCCGAGCUCGCCUACACAAUUAUAAGCUUCCGAGGUCGUCGAUUUUAUUGCUGGCUUUCACUGUCACCCAUCUCUGACGAUAGUGACUAUGGGUAUUGCUGGUGUUCACUAUCACCCAUGUACCACGAAUUUUGAUCUCCUUGAUGUUCCCUGAGCCAGAGUCCCACCGUUGUUUGGGGUUCAAUGCUAGACAACAAACUUUGGCGACUCUGGUUUGUGGCAGAUGGUAACACCGAUGCAUGAGGAUCAGCGGCUCUACCAUCAUUAGAGGACCAAGAAGCCUUUUUACGCCUCUAGCUGAUCUUGCAAGAUGGCCACAAUGACCACUUCGGCUAUGUCGUGCACACUGCAUUGACAUAGCAUCUUCAACAUUGGUGAAGAGCUCACCAAACCCCCUAUCGCUCACCUUAUUGGCAUGGACUUCAUCAAGGUUGGUUCGAAGAUCAUCGGCAUCACCGGAAAAUCCAACGGCGCCAACAAUGUUGAGAGCGACAUCACUGACACCAGCUCAGGGAAAGUGUUCACCGGUUCGCCAAGUACAACGCUAUCAAGCUCGAUAGCAAGAUUUACCACAAAGACAUAAUUUGCAAGCUUGCUUACGGAACCGAGCUUAGAGGUGGUUGACUAGGCCAGGGCUGGCAUUGGCGAGACAUGGUCACCCUUACCGCAACCUUUUGAGCUGCCACAUCAUGUCGCUUGGACCAUGCACCACAGGUCAUAUCACCAUGGUCUCCUCCUCUCCACAGGGGACUACACGAAACCUACAUGCUCGACAACGGCCGAACGAUGUCACAACCUGGGUGAAGCUCCACGGCGAGCCAAUGUCAUUCGAGGAGCGCGCUGUGUAUACCGACGACUACAUGUGGCCCUCUCUGUGCACACUGAUAAUUAACCUCCUCUCACCAAUUUGUUCACAUUUUGUAUACAACUCUUCUCAGUCUUUGAAAAUUUAAAUGGCUGUUCAAUCUAUGUAUGAAACUUUAUCGGUCGCGCAGCAUGACGCCGCAUGCUCUCUUCUAGUUGCUCCCAAAAUCAAUUGGAAGAGAAGAUGGUGGCAGAAGGAAUUGCUUGAUUUCAUUUUUGCUCAUUUGCCCUGUGUACAUGAUACCCUUUCAAGCUGAUGUAUGCAAUUUUCUGGUAGCAUGUAUAGUGUAACCAUAUGUUGUACAGUGUUGCUCUCAAAUGCAACUUUUUGAUAGCAUGUACCUGUAAAGAAAUGGGAACUAUCUAAAUGCAAUGAUCAAUUUUUGACAGGAUAUUGCAAUACUGCCAGCUACCUGAAAUGAGAACUAAAAUGUUUAGUUCUUGAUAAUAUAACAUAUAUGUCAAUUAACUAAAGAAAACCUAUGAAAACCUUUGGCAGCUUGUAUCCGUAAUAUGUAUUCAUACAUGAAGCCAAACAAGUUGAAUAACCAAAUUUGAGAAUUCCAUCUAGAUUACUUAACCAAAUAUGAGAAUGUGACCCAUAUUAUACAUAACCAAGUCAUACAAGUUCAGAUUUGCGACAACAUCUUGUCGCCGGAAGGCCCCAAGCUAGUGUUUGUACCGUUGCCCCACUGCCGUGAUGUCCCCCACAAACUUCGCCAUUUCUUGAGCGCAAAUGCACAAUCGUUCCAUCGCCUACGUCUCUGGUGCCAUCAAGUUCGUCGCAUUGGUUGGCUACGACGAAGCUUCUUGUCCCGAGAACAAGGUGAAGCUCAAACACUAGAAAGAGGAAACAACAAUGGGUAGCUUGACUAUCAGAGACAUUUGGACGAGCGAGAGCUUCAACGCGAUGAAAAGGAUAAGAACAAUUCACAGUCCCGACAGUAUAUUAUGAGCAUAUUGUCCGUUUUCAAAUGCUUUAUUUUCAGCGAGAGCUUCAACAAAUAUGUGGAUAUCCUCUUUCUAAACAACUAGGGAUAUUUUGGUCUCAAAACUCAAAGUGGCAAAGUAUUCUAAAGGUAACCUAUUAAGUGACAUUUUAUCCUUUGCUUUUUAGUGGGUGGCAUUUCAUUGAAACCCCACAAAUAGAGUAGCAUAUUGUCCGUUUUCUCCAAAGAAUGGGGCGGAUGGAUGGAUCAAUCGAUCCAAAGAGAGGAGGAUAUCCUCUCUGGAUCUGACAGGUGGGGCCAAGGGCAAAUAAGUCCAGAAACAUGUGAAAAAUAAAUAAAAUGGAAUAAAAAAAGGUGAAAAUACAGUAAAAGUAGAGAAAGUGGUACCAAAUAGAACAAUUCGUAGUCCCGAUAGCGUGUUAUGGGAGGCACGCGGAUUAGGUGGUAAAUAAAACAAAGCGGACUUAUCUUUACUUUAUAAAAAUUGAAGAUGUUUUUACCGGUACUUUCGUACGUCGUUCGUGCCCCAGUCUAAUUCACAUCCUCACACAUGCCGUGUAUAACCCACCACUUUGCCAUGUCUCCGAUUCGAUCGUUCUGUUUUCGUGCUUGAGCUUUGGUACGUCUUACGAUCACUUGUGUCCGUAAGUCCUAGUCCAUAACCAUGUGGAACGAACGGCCAUGCGUUGAUCGUCGGAGGAGUCAAUUCUCCUUACGUGAGCCUGCUGCACCUAGCUGCUCACACAGCCACACAUAACAUGGUCAAAGCCAAAGCCCAACAGGCUACAAACCUAUGGCCCAGCUCUCAAAUUGGACCUUUGUUGACGGUCGUUAUAUACCAAUUUCGACCAUCAAUACAUAUGGAAAUAAAGGAGAACUAGCAAUGCUUGCAUGCAUAUUGGUUUAAGCAUAAUCUAUUUUUACUUGUACUUGUCAAAGUAUUUGUAUACAGGAGAUUUUCAUAUAAAUGGAGGAGAAACGAUGGAAAAUAAUCGUUCAAUCAAUCAUAGCUCGACGGGUGGCAGACUUAUGGAUGAAUGGGCCCACAAACCCACUAGAACACCUGCAAUUGGGCCCAACCACCAUGCCACUGAGCUUAGGAUCCAUCAAGCGAGGUACGGGAGAAAAGAUGGGCCAACCCAGGUGAAGCAUCUAAGCCCCCGAUGUUAAUUUUGGUAAUUAAUGAUAAACACAAAUUGUGGACUAACUGUUCUUUUGAGCUAUAUAUUUUAAGUUAGGUUCGCAUUAUGUGUGCGCAUGGAUGUCUAUCGAUGGAUUAAAAUUGACGGCGCAAAGCAAAAGGAAGAGAAGACGGUAAACUAGUGUUUUCAUUUUAAAUUGAUCGAGGUGUUGGGUGAUCAAAAUUGUGCUUGUUUAUUUAUAGCUUUGCCAUACUAUUAAGAGGGGUAAUGACCUAGCAAAGAGAUGAUUUUAAUUGUCACAUUAGGUCAUUAUGCAUCUAGACUUGUGCUCACAUUUCACAACACACACCUUUUCACUAAGUUCGCCCUGACCAGGGCCGGUCUGACCACAGGUCAGAGGCUGGUUUGAUCGGCCACCUAGUGGCGGUCUGACCGGCAUGAUUGGCCAGUCUGACCGGCGGCACUUGUGCGGCCAGACCGGCCGCCUGGAGGCUGGGAUGGUGUUGCUCUGGUUUGGACGAUACAGAGCCGACGGAGCCGUAUUCGGUCAGACCGAGCCGAGGCCAGUCUGACCGGCCACUCAACGUCGGUCUGACCGGCUAGGGCAAUGGGGCCCAAUGACAGGCCUACAACGGCUAGAAAACUAGAAGUUGUAUUCUAGCUGUUGUAGACUAGCACGGUCUGACCAGCCAUACACCUCAGGUCAGACCGGCAGAGCACUGAGUUGGGGGAUUUCGCCCCCAACGGCUAGUUUUGGUGGGUGGGAGUAUAAAUACUCCCCCACCAGCAGCAAGGGGUCUCUCUUGGCACCCAAUUCAAUUGCAUACACCCCUUGCACCUCUCUCACACACAUUUGAGCUUAAUGUUCAUCCAUUGUAGUGGUUGAGGGUUGAUUUAGCCAAGAGUCAAGUGCAUUGCUUCAUUGUAGAGCUAGUGUGGCACUUGAUCUUCUCCGAGCCGCGUCAUUGCUUGUUACUCUUGGAGGUUGCCGCCUCCUAGACAACUUGUGGAGGAGUUUCCCGGUGACCUCUCUGGGAAGAUUGUGGAGGAGGCCCUGGCGCCGGUGUUGACUGGUUUGGAGUUCACCACCUUCGGAGUGAAGGAAGAACUACCCCGAGUGAUCGAGGCUUGGGUAGUCCUCUCCGUGGGCUGGCUCCCGCCUUGCCCACCCCUUGACGAAGGGGGCGUGCGGUGGCUUUGUGGUUGAGCGGUGGAGUUGGGCUCGCCUCAACGGGGAGUAGGAAACCGGCGAGUUUCCGAACCUCAGUGAAAAAUCUACUGUCUCCUUGUCUCAUUUAUUUGUUGCAUUUACAUUUGUGCAAUUUACAUUCCUAGAGACAUACUUGAGAUCAUAUCACCCUAGGAUUGCUAAACUAGACUUAGGAAUUGUGAUUUACUUUUAUUUGAGCCACUUUCACCCUAGGAUUGCAAAACAUAACUUAGUUGCUUAGUUAGACUUAUCCCUUACCAAGCCUAGCAACUUAGGUUAGUUUUGAUUAGGUGUCAUUUAAUUUUAAAUCGCCUAUUCACCCCCCUCUAGUCGACAUCUCGAUCCUACACCAGGGUUCGGCCGAACCACCACCGGCGCCUCUGAUCCUUGCCUUCCAUGUGGACGUCCUAGAUUGCUCCCCAAUGACGGUUGCGGGGUGUUUAGAACAUUUCCAACCACCACAGCCGUCAUAUGGAGGCUAUUUAAGGAUCUCUCCCUCUCCAUUUCAAUACACACCAAGGAGGAUCAAGCAGGAGUUCUCUAGUUUAUUUACUUUGUGUCUAGUGCUUGUGGAGUAGAAUUAGAAUAAUUUAUUAGUUCUUCAAGUCUUCUGGAGAUUUUGAGUAUGACUCUAGUAACUCUUCUCUCUCUUGUAAGAUUUAAUUCAGUAAUGAAAUAUUCUUCUUUGUAUAGUUUUGGUCCUUUACUUCAUUUAUAUAAUUAUUUGAGUACCUACUUUAGUUCAUACUUGUCUCGUAAUAAUUAUGUAGCUAGCUUACUGGAGAUAUGCAAUGGUAUUGGUUUGAUAUUCAUUUAUAUGAUUUCUCUAUGUCAUCUGCAAAGAUGUAGAGUAAUAUUUAGUAAUGUAAUCGUGGUGCUUAGAUUAUUAGAUAACAUUAAAUGGUGAUGUAUGCCACGAGUAUUCCUCCAUGUGCGUAUAUAGGGCUAAGAGAUUUUCCUGGUGUGGGUACUCUUCCGUAUCUAUUACCAGUUGAAUGGCCAUAACAGAUUGUCGUAAGAAACUCAGCAAUUAGGGGUGGUUUCUCGAAAUACCAGGAGGGCAUAGUUUGGGGAUAUUGGCUACAUAAUUGUAUAAUGGCAAGUGCAGACUAAAAUGACUAUAUACUAUAAGUACAAAAAUGAUUAUGUUAUUAUUCUUUCUCCACUUAGUUUAGAUUAUUAUUUUAGUGAGAGUAUUCUGGUUAGUUCCUUCUGUGUGUUAAUCUAUCUAUCCUUGAAUUGAUGAACCCCUGCAUUAGACUUUGAUCUGUACGAGUGAUAUAAAUUUCUAGCAUAGUACUCUAUUAUCAUAUCUUUUCCUAGGAUUAAAUAAAUAUGAUACCUUAAAAUACUUCUGGGUAAAAUGCUACAGCGGUGUAUCCGCGCGCUUGCAGAUUAUAUCUGUAACCGUAAAGAAUACCGAGUAAUAUUUCGGGUGUCAUUGCUAGAAAUUAUAUUUUUAGUAAUAUCAUUAAGAAAUAUCAACAACCUUGGAAACCUGCUGGCUUCAUAUUUAGUUAUCCGCUGGCUUUAAAUAUGGAAAUUUUAGUUUCUAUACGAAACAUAGUUUCUAUACGGAACAACAUAUUAUUGAAUUGGUAUAAUGGUUGUUUACAUAAAUAUAAUUGUAUCCCAUUCUACAAUUUAAAUAAAAUUAUACUUUACUAGAAAAGAUGCCCGUGCGUUGCAACGGGUAGAGCCAAUUUAAUUUAUACAUAUGUAUCGGUGGAAAAAUAAUCACAGCCCAUUGUUUCAUCUAUUCAUGUGCUUACCAAAAUCACUUAUUGGCAAAUAAAAGACUAUUUGUGUGUAAAUAAGUUCUAAAAUUUAAAAUUUGGCUUAUAGGAAUAAGCAUAAGCCAAACAAUAAGGCCUUCAAACACGAGCUCGAUUUGUUGUCCAGCUUUAUCUCAAGUUGGGCAUGAAUUGAUAGCGGACGAAAUCAGCAACUUUGAUCAUCCUUUAUUUCAGUUGGCAUGUUCUUUUCGAAAGUAAAAUUGAUUAUUACAGUUUAUUGUAACGACAUCCCUGGUAGUACGUACAAUCAUGUGUGGAGACUGACUUGAAAUCAUGCUAACAUAUCCUAGAAAUCGUGUCUUAUAAUACAAAUAGAAUUGGAUGAUCUGAGCAACAAUACAUGUGAUAUCCACACGGAUUCUGUGAGUAUCAUUCGCUUGGUAUCCACAUCACACGAACUCUCUUUCGCAGUUCACUCACGAGUUAUUACUUUGCAAUGAAUGUUACGUGUGACGGGAAUCAGAUACGGACGACGUACCAUAGUUUUGACAAAAACAUCUUCAGAUACGGGCGAGGGCGACACAAUCUCAAUCGAACAUGCGGCAAAGGCAAAUCGCGCACGCGAGGGCGUUGCGGGCCUAAUCUGGCAUGCAGAAAAUCACGGGCGUGAGGGCAUUGCGUGCGGCAAGGGACACGUGAAAAGUGCAGGCCCAAUUAAUUCACGCACGUCUCGGAUAAGAGGGACACUUUGACAUAAGAUAAAAGGAAAGGAUUUGACAUAAACAUUAAAUUAAAACUAAAACAUAAAAUGAAAACCGAUUCAAACACAGAUGACGCAUCAAAUUUUUAGGGGAAACAUUUCUAAUUUUUAUAACAGUAGAUAUGGAGAUAGAGAUAUGGAUAGAUGAAAAAAAGGUCACCACGUCAUCUGAAGGAUGGAAUUGAAGGAUGACGUGGGAUGUGGGACAUGGGCCAGGAUACAAUCGAUUUGGGGCCUGCAUGUAAUAGAUCCAACGCGUGGGAAGGAAAUCACACGGAAAAAAGUCGAUCUCAAUGAACCGCGAUAUACCCGUAUGCGGGGUAAAAAGAAAAGGGAAGAAAAAUAACUGCGCGCGUGGAUAGAGUCGGACAACGUACGAAAUUUUUUUUGACAAAAACAUCUUAAACUUUUAUAAUAGGUAAAGAUAAAGAUGUACAACUAUAUCGAUUAAUCUACACCGUUAUAAUCUAACUAACAAAGUCUAAUUCUUAAUGUAAGAAUUUCUAGCCCUCUAAUACAACCAUCAUGGUUUUUUAAAGCUAUAUCUAUAACAUAAUACGAUGCAUAUAUUAUCUUUACUGUUACAACGCACCGACAUUUUGCUAGUUACAUAAAAUUAUCAAAAUCCCCAAUGCAAACCGGACGAACUGAUGCCCAAAAAAGGAAGAGCCUUAAACCCUAGCAAGGGACCGUUCACCCCAAACCAAAAAGAAAACCCCCUUUGUCGACAAAGCCAGUCCCAAGCUCCUUUCCCACCCACCCGUGAGAUGGCGGCGGAGGCCCAAGCCACGGCGGCCGGCGGCCUCGCCGGCGAGAUGGAGGUGGAGGCGUACCGCCGCCUCUUCCCCCUCGCCUUCCUCGAGCGCCACCUCCGCGAAUCCGUCCGCCCCGACGCGCGCCGCCCCGCCGAGGCCCGCCCAACCACCGUCGCCCUCGCCGCCGUGUCCUCCGCCCACGGCUCCGCCCUCGUCCGCCUCGGCGACACCGUACGACCCCCCAAGCCGCCGCUCUCCACCCCUCCCUCUCCCCGCCACUCUUCCUGAUUUAGGCGUCCGUGCACCACCUAUUUGACGAAAUGCCUCCCGUAUCUGUUUGCGGCAGGCCAUGCUCGCGUCGAUCAAGCUCGAGGUGAUGUCGCCCUCCGGUGAGGCCCCCGACGAAGGAUCUAUUGGUAUGUUUGCCGUUGAUUUAUCUUCUCAUAGUGCUUUUGCUUUGCGCGUUUGGCUAAUUUAUCUGCGUUUCUAUUGUGGCGUGGUGCCGUGGUGUUCUGCAGCUGUGGAGUUCCACAUGCCGCCUAUCUGUUCCCCGCUUGUCAGACCAGGACGGCCGGCAGAGGUGGCGCCAGUCAUCUCCAAGAACCUAGAGGACAUUCUCAUGAGGUAUAUCGUGCCUUGCUGUUGCUCCAUUCGUCACGUACCAUGUCCUUUGACUGAAUGGGCAUAUCAUUGUGCUUUCCAUGUGUAUAAUCUGCAUUUUGCUUGAAUGGAUGAAUGCCUGUCUGCAGGAGUGAAUUUAAUUUAUUUAUUUUCUGCAGUAAAUCAUGCUGAUUUGCUAUAUUGUAGCAAUUGGACUUUAGAGUUUAAUCAUGGGGUUCCUUUUUAAUCAGCAAAGUAGUCAUGUGAAACUGCAUUAGCACAAAUGGAACUAUUGAAGAGUAUUUUGUUGAUUCGCUUUUAGCUAGCCAAUAUGAUCUAUAUGUAGGAUUGGGCAUGAUAAAAUGGCAGUUCGUUUGCAUACUGUACAGUGGGGCUGGUUCAUCUUGUUCUACUUGUUAGUAGAAAACCAGAAAUGGGGAAUUUAAUUUUGUGGAAUCAGUCUUGUUGAUCAUAUGACUUAUCUAUUUUUCUGUAUGCCCGUGAAACUUCUAUAUCCGUUUGCAUACAUGGCAUAUACAGAGGUGGCUUUAUUUAAUCCUCUCGUGCAGCUCAGGGAUGCUAAAUUUGAAGGAGCUCUGUUUGAUCAGUGGGAAGGCAUCUUGGUUAGCAUACCUGGUAAUCACUGAUUUCAUUAUUGGUUCCUUCUCUUUGUAAGGCUUACUGGGCAUCUCCAAUAAGUCAAAUUGAAAAGCUUCACCUGAAAUCUAGUCGUGAUACAUUAAAUAAGAUGCGCAAGGCUUCUCAUCCUUGAAGCCUGGUCCAAGCAUCAAUUGCUUGCUGCUUGCCUAAUGUCAAGUAGUCAGCAAUAGCCUUCCUCAAGGGAUGAUAGUUAUUUUGUCAUGAUUGUGGACAUUAAUGUUUAGAGCACUUUCAUAGUGGUCUCUACUGGAAUUUAUCUACUUCCAGUAAUACUACCAGUAGAAACAACCUAACUCACAGCUUUAUAAGGAUCUUCAUUGGACAAUUAUACCCCCAUUGGUUGUACCACUGGUAUUGAGUCAGUACUAUAAACAAAUAUGGUCCGUUUAAUGAAAAAAGCCAGAAGGUCUAGAUCAGUUCUACUUUCAAUAGAACCACUGUAAAAGUUGUCCAAUGUUUUAUGGCUCGGAUGAUCGACACGAAGUAACUUGCUUGCAACAACAAACUUUUCAUCUGGGACAACAAACUUAUUAUUAGUGAAUUUUGUCCCCCAGAUAAGUCGGAACUAAAUAAAUAUCUUAUUUGGGCUCUUUUCUUAGUGCUUCCUAUCCUUAAGUAUUUCUCUAAAAAAGUGCUGAAUAUUUUCUUGGAAAAUGUAUGAAUAAUGAUAUGCUUUAGUCUGCUACCCUGUUUUCCCUUUUUCUUUUCCCUUCUAGGCUUGUACAUAAAACUAAAUCUUUUAGAGCAAAUCUGCUCAAUACCAUCGCAUAGAAAUUGGAGUUGGAAAAUGCCAUAGUGAAUGUGACAUGCUGCCAAAUACCAUUCGCGAACCCCACAAAUGCUGGAGAAUACCAUCACCAGUGCAUUUUCCCAUGAUUGUUAAUAGGGGUGGGCAUAAAAACCGAGGACCGAAGACCAGACCCGAAAAGACCGAACCCGAACCCGAAAAAACCGAAAUCACGGUCUUCGGUCACUAGUUCGGUUGUACGAUUUUAAAGACCGAACUUAGUUCGGUGUAUUCGGUCAUCAGGCCUUUCCGACCGAAGUAACCGGACUGACCGAAGUGGCCCAAUACCUUCUCUUGCUCACGUAUAUAUGGCCCACAAGCCCAUUAGCGUAGCACAUAUACGUUCAGCUGGUGGGCAACAUCUCUAAAAAAAAAAAAAACAAGAAAGGGGAGUAGAGCGGCAGUGCCGCCAGUGCUAGGGUUAGCAGCUUGGCGCCUGCUCCCUCCCGUCUUUGGCGGCGGCGCUUCAUCUGAUCCACAGAGGCAGCGCGAGAUCUGGUGGCAGGACGGCACAAGAUGAUGGCUGUGGCUGCUGCUGAGGGGUCUCCGUCGGUGCGGUAGCGGUGAGGUCAUCGUCGUCGUCUUGCUCAUAUCCUGCCUGCUGUGCGUGUGCAGCCUGAGCGCCAUUGUCAGUAGCGCCGUGGCCUGCUGUCGAGAGGAUUGUCUCUCUCGUUGAUGAUUGUUUCUCCUAUACUCUCUAUCCUUCGAUUGUUUUUUUUUUCAGAUUUCUAACACGUAAUCUUUGAAUGAUUGAAUCCCAUUUUCUUGAACGAUUGAAUUCCAUUUUUGUCAGAUCUGGGUUUUUGUGCUUAAGAGCAAUAGUUGCGUGUGUAUGCUUGUGAUUUACUACCUGCUUCGACUAGCAUCUCAUACUAAUUUUUUUUCUCGCCCUCGUCCCUAUAUGCAAGUCUGCAAUCCAGUGCCACAAAGGAUACUUCAGUUUGGUCGGUCAGACUGAAGACCGAGACCGAAGUAUCAGUUAACCGAACUGUCGGUCCACAAGUUUCUUGAGACAACUUCGGUUUCCUUUUUAUAAAGACCGAAAAAACCGGACCGAAAUGUCGGUCCUGACCGAACGCCCACCCCUAAUUGUUAAUGACCCAUUCUUUCUUUUUUCUUCUUAUAUUUCUACUAGGUGGGCCCACAUUAUGCCUUUUCCUCCUUUCUCAUGUGCUUCCCUUUUUUCUCUGUAAUUCAUAUCACAUAGACGUGCCUAUUCUUCUCAUGCUGCAUGGCCACAGACCUCUUCUCCCCAUGGUGCGUGGUAGGAUGAUGCCAUUAGCGUCUCCCAGCUGCCACAUCCUGUGAAGCCACUGUCACCAAGAGCAAAUGUGAGGUCAGAUUUCAUGAUGGCGUUGGCGUCCACCCAGAGCAUCUUGGCCAUGACAGCGAUGACUUCCGCAUUGGGCAGGUCCUCAAGCAUGGUGGCUGGCAACAUCGUACUGCCUUUAUCUGUGACAUGGAUCCAGCGACUGGAGUUCUGUAGCAUGAUGUAAAAGGGUGUGGACAAAGUGGGAAUCUUAGAUCACCACUGCCACUUGUCGCAUUUCCUUGGUGCUCAACAACUGCCGCAUGACAUUAGAACGUAUUGCCAAUCUUGCCAUGUCACCUCCAUGCUGCUCCUGUCAAUUUUUCUCUGAUCUCUUCUAUAUGUCCAUAAAAAUGGAACCUUCUUGUCGUGUUCUAUGCCAUGCUCACCAUUUGUUGCUAUUUCAGUCAUUGGAGCACGUCAUGUGUGGUCGCGCAUGCUCGGUGCUUGUCCUCAAUCACGCUAUAGCAGCUCCCAGAACGUCAAGAGAUGAGGAGAAUGUCAGAUAACCUGUAUCUUUUAUUUUUAUCUUUGUCCUAGUAGGAUGGAAACAUUAGAUAUGGAUGAAAAAAGUUUACGGGGAUGGUAUUCUCAAGAAUUUUCUGUGUUAAUGGUCUUUGGAAGCUUUGGUUUCUUGAUGUUAUUUUCCUACUCCAAUUUCCUUUUUAUGGCAUUGAACAAAUAUGCCCCUUUUUUAACGGAAACUCCAACAGGGACUUUCCCUGCUGUUUCCCUAAAAUACAGUUCAUGUGGCAGCACCAAAUCUGUUAUCUGCGGUUGCUUGCUGCAAUAGAACUGAGCGCAUGAUGUGAGAUUUGCCAGUAUACUAUUAUUGUACCUGAGCAUUGUGAUAAAUGCCAACUAGUACCCUGAAAUCAGAAAAUCAUAUAUACCACUAGAUGAGAUUAAUCAACAACCUAAACGCACAUAUUUGCAAAAUUGCAAUUUUUGCAGAAGAUAUUGCAAUAUGCAAACAACACACACAUGUUUAAAAGAAUACACUUUUUUAAUGGAAGAUAUUGCAAAAAUGCAAGCAACACAACAUUUCUACGUACAUCUGUCAGCUGAAGGUCUUUAAUAGAGGUGGGUGUAAAGUACAACAUCAACCACAGCUCUUGUAAAGGAACAAACAAUGGCAUAAAAAUAAGUUCAGGCAGUGCUCGUCCAAAAACAAGUUUGCAAAAAGUAUUUGUGUUUUAUACAACCACAGCUCUUGUAAAGGAACAAACAAUGGCAUAAAAAUAAGUUCAGGCAAUGCCCGUCCAAAAACAAGUUUGCAAAAAGUAUGUGUUUUAUACUUCUGUUGUUUUCUUGACAUCUCAACUUUACAGGAUGUCUAUUGUUUGAAUGCUGAUGGGUCUCUAUUCGACGCUGCACUAAUCUCAGCUGUUGCUGCAUUUACACAUUGUACGUUCCUUAUUUCUGAUAGCUUAUCUUGAUUUGACAUUUUUCACUACUUAAUUACUCUUCAUUUUGAAAUGUAAAUAUGCUAUUGUAAUAUGUGCUAGCAGUUAGUGCUUUAUUCAGUCAGUAUGAAUCAAAUUACAGAUUUAGUGCCCCCAUUAAAUACUCUUUUUGAUAACUACAAACUCAUGGAAUUGCCUAUUCUUCUCCAUUAGUUAAGCUUUUGGGUGAACUUUCUGGUGCAUGCAAUUCAAUUUUGUAUCACUACCAAGAGGUCUUGAGUUCAAAUCUUGUCAGGCACUGUUUAAAUAAAACGCUGGCAAGCCUUGUAAGUGUGAGGUAGGAGGGAUCCUAGAUUGACGAGGAGUGUUAAAGGAUAAGUGAAUUGUCCAUCCUUCUCCAUCAGCUUAAGCUUUUGGUUGAACUGGUUGGUGCAUGUGACUGAGUGUUAAACAUCCAUAGUUAGUUUAAUUUUUUAUUGCUAAUCAUCUAAAUAUUGUACGCAUUGGUUUAUGAGACAGUUCAUAGCACAUUUUGAGAUUAUUAGAUGAGAACCAUAUAAAAUAGAGUAGUUUAACAUGUAAAUAUUGUUGAUUUUUCUAUUCUACCUAGUGAAACUUCAGGAAGACCGCAAGUUUUUUAUGUAUAUAUAAAACUAGUUAAUAGCCAUAAAUAUAUGCCCUCGUCUAUUUCAUUUUACAUGGCGUAUAGUUUUUCCUCAUUUAUCAUAUCAUGGCAUUUUCUGUUGGUUUUAUAGACUUAUUUAAUCUUAUGCAAACUCGUAUGAUUUCUUAUAUGCUAAAUAAAAUAGAGGGAGUAUUACUUGCCAUACUUCUUAGAUUUGUAAAGUUUGUUGACGGGGAAAAUUUUCAAUGGAAAAUUCUCCCCUAAAGUAAACAUUGAGAAACGGGACUCAUCAAGAUUGGGGUAACUUGAUCCACAUUCUGUUUUGUAUCAUUUGAAAGAUUGUAAUGUUGGAGUCGAUGUCGUGAAUGAAGAUGUUAAGUGGUCUUUCAUUUAAUAUGGUUUCAUGUGGCUGUCUCACAAACCUUUUUCUUAUGUUUGGUGGUUUAUGUGCGUGAGAAGCUUGCCUAAAUAGAGUAAUGGAAGGUGUGUUUUGUUUUGACCUUAUGAGCUCUGGGCGGAGUGUGGAGUGAGGCUAUAUGUGAUCCUGUUAUCAUAACCAACCCUGCAUUGGUGAAAAAAAAAGAUGAAAACAUUGUAGGUACAAAGAGAUUUUUAUGUACAGGAUAUUACUGAUUAUUUCCUGGUCAUUUAUGAUUCUUGAAAUUCAACAAAAAACUUCAGAUGGCAAGGCAAGUCCUGUUAGAUUUGACAUGGAAGUAUUAUCUGGUCAAAACUCGCUGCUCUAUGCCUGUUCAUUUUCCAUUUUAUAGAAAGUUUGUGCAUCUGAAGUUCUUGGUCUGUUCCAUUUUCUUCAUGUUAACAUCUCAAGGUGCUUUAGUUAAUUUUCAUUACUAAUACUAUGUUAUAUUUGCAGUGGAAAUUCCUUUGGUAUCUGUCGGUGAUGAUGGUAGAGUAUUUACUGUUGGGGGCAAUGAAGGCAAAGCCAAAUAUGAAUUGGUAAACAGAGAAAAGAGGAAGCUUACGAUUACUAAUGUUCCAUUUUCCCUUACAUGUGCACUUCACAAGGAUAAUGUUCUAGCGGAUCCAACUGCUGAAGAAGAAUCAAUAAUAGAGACUUCUGUGACUAUUGUUCUCGAUUCUUCAGACCAGAUAGUGUCAAUACAAAAACCUGGAGGUGCAGUGACAUCUAUGACAACUAUUAAGGUCUGUUAGCUAAUCCGUGCUUAAUAAAAAUUUCCAUAGUAUCUGUGGUAGUUUUUUUUUUUGGCUUUUGGUAAAGUAUUCAGGCGCGAAACAGGCUUCAUGUAUUUGACAACAAAGGAAUUACAUUUGUAUAUUUGAUUCAGGACGAAAUAGCAGCUGUCUGAAGUUAGAUACUACUGAGUUUUAUGUUUUGGUGAUAUUUCCUAUUCUUAUACUGUUAUCAAGGGUUGGCUUGUCUCUCUACUCUACCAAAAUUUAGAUGCCAAAAUUUUGGCAUUGAUAAAUUUUAAUAGGGUGUAGAGAUGGAGAACUAUUGCUUAGUUUUGUGCCAAAAUUAUCUUAAUGUUAGAGGAAUAUAUAGGCUCUACCAAAAUUUUGAUAUGCUAGUCUUGAUGGAGUACAUUUUGACAAGGUAGCAAACCAAACUAGCCCCAAGUUAAGCACAUAUAUUUUCACUAAUUUGUUAGUUCUAUUUGAUUCUGAAAACUUUGCACACCAUGUGGCAUAGACAACCAUUUGAGGAUACACCUGAUUGACCUUUAAUUUCUGCAGGAAUGCAUUAGCUUGGCUAAGGACAGGAGAAGAAAGUUAAGAGAAAUUCUCAUGGACAAUGUUGAAGCAAUGGAAGUCGACCAAACUGAUUAAGUUUGUCACAGUUCUGAUUCAGUGAAUCUAACCAAAUUAUUUUUGUAGUAGCUCUUUCCUAUCUCUUGGUUGUACUCGUAGCGUGAUAAAUUUUAGCACCUUUGGCUACUAUCCGUUUAAUUAAAUAAGUAACAGUCCGUACCUGCCUAUGAUUUUAUUGAAUUAAAGUGGUAUCAUAAUUUUAUUUGAGUCUGUCUUAUGUCUUCUUUGUAUUCGUAGUAUGAGGAAUUUUAGCGUCUAUCUACCUUCGGCUUACCUUCUGUGUUUAGUUACACACAACAAUACAAGUAUGUAACAGUCUUUGCCUGCCUAUGAUUUUUUUUUCUUACUAAAGUCGCAUCAUAAUGUUCUUUGAUGGUAUGGUUCGGAAAGCAAAUUGUGUGCAGUCAUGAUUCUAGGAGAUGAAAUUGAGUUUUUCUUUCUUAUUUUUGGAAAAAUUACUGUAGGAGAGGCUCCUACAGUUUAUAUAUUGGUUUAGUUAAGAUAAAAAUUUACUAUGAGAAUUUACUUGAAUAUUUA